RNAcentral lists this long non-coding RNA (107874 nucleotides) under Gossypium raimondii (Peruvian cotton). RNAcentral's name for it is "long non-coding RNA (GRAI_LNC010342)". The stretch from base 76176 to 76281 matches the Rfam family "Plant small nucleolar RNA R71". The record is from RNAcentral. Lineage: Eukaryota; Viridiplantae; Streptophyta; Magnoliopsida; Malvales; Malvaceae.
UUUUUACUCCCCCUUCCCCCCAAAGAAAGGGUUAGCAGGAAUGUUGGAUUUCAAUCAUAUGGUGGGUUUUAAUGACAUUUUAUACUGCAUUUUUUUUUUUGAUUUUCAACUAAAACAAGCAUUCAUUUUGUUUCCUAAGCUGCUUGUCAUCUCAUCGUAAAUUGUUAUUGCAAAUACUAGGGCAUCCCUGAGCAAGCUGAAGCUCCACCUGUGGCCCGUGCUCCUGUAGUUGGGCAAACCACUAACCCUGCAGAACAACCUCAACAGCCUGCACAAACGGCAGCUAUUCCUACAAGUGGACCAAAUGCAAAUCCCUUAGAUCUCUUUCCCCAGGUAAAAUUGUCAUGCGGUAGACAUUUGAUAAAUUUGAUGAUAGGCAAAUGAAUCAGUGACUUGACAGCCUUUAAUUUAUACAGGGCCUUCCCAACAUGGGUGCAAGUGGUGCUGGGGCUGGCUCUCUUGAUUUUUUACGGAACAGUCCACAGGUCUCUCUCUUUCUCAUAUUUGGUUGUAUAUGGGCUUGUUAGCAUGACUGUCAUGUAAAUACCUACCUAGAACUACACUCAGUUUGCAAUUCUCUUUUCAGUUUCAAGCUUUGCGAGCGAUGGUGCAAGCCAACCCACAAAUAUUGCAGGUUAUUUUCUGGUCCCUUGUUUCCCUCUUCAAUCCUAGUGUGUUUUUCAUCGUCUUUUUCAUCUUUUGUUUUUUACCUUUCACCUUUCCUCAAUGUCUCCCUUUUUUAUAUUUUUGGCAGCCUAUGCUUCAAGAGUUGGGGAAACAAAAUCCUAAUUUAAUGAGACUUAUUCAAGAGCAUCAGGGUGACUUUCUUCGCUUGAUCAAUGAACCUGCUGAAGGUGGAGAGGGGUGAGUCUUCUUGUUUUUACUUGCUCAUUUCUUGAACUUAUAUACUGUAUGUAUAUCAAGUGCUUAUUUGACAUCUCCUGUUGUAAAGAAACAUUUUGGGGCAAUUAGCUGAGGCGAUGCCACAAGCUGUGCAAGUCACACCUGAGGAACGUGAAGCCAUAGAACGGGUAUGUCGUCUUUUACAUAAAGGCUGACUUGGAUGUGUUCACUAUUCUCUGUCAUCAUGGAUUAUUUAGCUAUCUUCCCCACUGCCUCUGGAAAUGCCUUCCAUUUCCUUGGCCUUUAUCUGAGUUAUGAAAUAUGCAUCACAUCUUUAUUUUAGGUAAUGGUUUUGCUUUUAGAUGAUUAAUAAACUCAAAUUUGUCGCAUUUAUCUUGUGCCUACAAAUACUUUUGUAGUCUCCUUAUUCUCUUGUUCAUUCCGCAUCUCUUGCAGCUUGAAGCAAUGGGGUUUGACCGUGCAACUGUGCUCCAAGUGUUCUUUGCUUGCAACAAGAAUGAGGAACUUGCAGCCAACUACCUUUUAGAUCAUAUGCAUGAUUUUCAGGAUUGAGUUGGUAAAAGAAAUGGCUUGGGGAAGUACAAUAUCAUUUUCUCUUUCGUUCUUUGGGGGUCCAUUGUCAUUCAUGUUCCCCCUCCCCUCCCCCCAAAACUUUACCGACUUUAUUCUUAAUCAAGUGAUGUAAGUGUUUGGUGUAGAGACAAGGGAUGUGAAGAUGUUAACUUCAUUUUUUUUCCUUUUGUCUUUUUAUUUCCGAAGGACCCAUUAUUUAUAACGUUAUAUACAAGUUUCUUUCUAAGCUUGUGUGUUUUGUACUUCACAUUUUAUGCUAUUAGAAGCACUUGCCACAAGGAGCUCCACCCAACUUUCAAGUUUUUCGAUCAACACUCUUCCCUAUACCUUGUGCAUGAAUUUGGUAGCCCGUCAGAAUGGUUAAGAGUUGGCAGUGGAAACUCUAGAACCGUGGAAACAGUUUGAAUAAUAUGCAGUGAAAUUUAUGGUCGCAAAACAUGUAAAAUUUUUCUAUUUUCCAAAUAUGUUGGCCAUGUAUAACACCUUUAGUGUAUCCGUAAUAUACAUUAUCGAAUAUCAAAAUUAUCGACGCCUCCUCAAAGUAUUAGCGUCUUGUUUCAUAUUACGUAAAUAAAUCUCAAUAUCAAUAUCUUAAAUAUAGCCAAUGAUAAUUUAUAUUUCAUAUUUGUUUAAUUAUUUUGGCCCCUAUUAAUUGACUCAGACUCAAGGACGGAUAUACAGAUCAAACCAUCAACACACCAGAAUAUGCAUGUAACACCUCACACUUGACUCAAUAGUCAGAUCCAAAUAUGUGAUGCCACAUUAUGUUGCCGAAGUAACUCAAGUUAUCUCAUUACAUAAUCAUAAAAUUUAAAUCAUAAUUACCAUUCAAACAAAUUUAACCAUAAUCAAUCAUACUAGCAAGUAUUCAUUUGUAAUGUUUAAGUUUCAAAUUCAUCGUUAUACGGAGUUAGGAAAAGUCAAAUUUAGAGUUAGAACUUGAAUCCAAACUCAAUUAUUAAAUUUCAAUGCUGUGUCUUGAGACAAGUCUCAUUUUAAUUUAGGUAUUUUAGCUUCGAAGUUAAUCUGUCUCGAGACAUUAGAAAUUGUGUCUCCAAAUUAUGUCUCAAGAUCAACCUCCUAUGUUUUCCUAUUUUUGCUUCAAUGUUUGAAUGUCUCGAGAUAUGGGGUUCUUGUCCUGAGACCUAGAGUAGGACAAAAUCUAUUUAGUUUUGAUGUUCUCCUGUCUUGAGACAAAGAUCAUUUGUCUUGAGACCUAGGAACAAUUGUCUCGAGCUUAUACAAAUAUGUCUCGAGACCUGAGGCUCUUGAAUGCAAAAUUUAAAUGAAAUUUGAUCUAGCGGUCUCGAGAUUCGGUGAACAAAUGGUCAAAAAUCCUAUACUUCUAAGUGUUAAAUACCUUAACCAAAUGAACUUAAACCUACCUAAAACUUACCACUAAACAUAUUCAUCCUAUUAACCUAUCUAAACAUGUUUAAACAUUACCAAAUUAUAACCUUCAAUAGAUCAUUUUCAAACCAGCCAAUUUGCACAUUCAAACUCACAUAAUCAAGCAUUAUUAACUUGUAAUCAAGAGAUGAAAUUCAACCAUAAAGACAUUAUAGGCCAAAUUACCAAAAGUAUCAAAUCAUCGUUAAGAGUAACAACCAAACCAACUUAGGUACAUGCCAGAAGACUCAAAACACAUAUAAAUACAAAAAGUAUUGAGAUGCCUUCUGAGCUAAGUUAGAGAAAUUAGAUUCUUGGGCUUGAGUUUAUUGAAGCUUUUGCUUGUGACCUGCGCACAGAACAAACAAAACUAUACGCUGAGCAAUAAAGUUUAGUAGUUCUAACAUGAUAUAAAACAACAAUCGAUUAUAAGCAAAAUAAACAAAUACAUUUAAAAUGAAAUUCAACCAUAAUCUAAAUCAUUUUUAAAUUCCUUGUCUCAUGCUUUUAUUAUCUUGCUUUAUGCUUAUUAUCAUUUCAUAUAUCAACAUUUAAAUUCAUCUAUCAUUCUAUCUCAAUUACAUGCAAAUUUAGGCAUAACAUAUAAGUCAUUUCACUUUUUCAUUUCUUACCCAAAUCCAUUUAUUCGUAUUAUCACCAUAUCGAUCCUUGAUCGCCUCUCGAUGUGCAAACGUCUAGAGUGUAAAAUCGUGCAAAAAUAUAAAGAUAAUAAUUAAGUACAGUUUCUGCAAGCGAACAGGUCAUAUUGUAAUAUAGUUAGUUUACAACGAAACAAUUGGUAAGUAUUCCGAGGAUUGUACCUAAAGGAUUGCAGAUUGGAGAAAUUCACUAUGAAAUCAAUUACAAAAAAUAAUUACUAAUUUAAUUGAGUUACAAAUUAGUAGUGUUAAUUAACUAAGACUAAAGCUAACCCUAGGUUAAGUCAAUAGGUUUUUCCUAUUCCUUAUUUCGAUUACGCGAGCUACUUAGCCUAGGAUCAAUUGUGCUGCCUGAUUAUUAACUAAGUCAAUAAUUACCUUUAAUUAAGUAUUUACCAUUAUUAGCUACGAAUACCCUCUUAGUCCCAUCUUCACUAAGGAUUACCAUCUAAGAUACCCAAUCGGUCUCACUUAGGCAUACGGAUACCCUCUCGGUCUCACCACUUGGCAUAAGUUUUACUCAACAGGAUACUCUCUCGAUCUCACUUGUGUAGGUCUUCUACUAGGGGCGUCACUUCCUAGUACACUAAGUACUGUUGAAUAAAUACUCAAGUUCAGGUUAUUAUUUACUUAAUCAAUUAAUUAGGUUAAACAGUUGAAACAUGCAAGAUAUGUAUAAAGCAUAAACUCAUUUUGAUAUUCAUACAAACAUUCAAUAAUCAAAGUUAAAGAAAGAGAUAUAACUAAGAGAAUAAGGGAAGAGAAUGCUCAUGGAUUAAUCGAUGUAAAAGUGCAACUCCAGAACAAUAUCUGUUCACGAUAGUCUCACUUUGAAAUAGGAUCUUCUAAUUAAGCAAACAUAAAAAUAACUAAGUAAAAACUAAGAGAGAAAUAAAAGCUAAAUAAUAAUCUAUGUAUCCCUCAAUUUGUGUUUAAUGUGUUGCUUUGAGAUAUUAUUUAUAGAUUACAUGUAUUAUGACCUAAUUAAGUUAAGUAAAGACUACUAAACAUGUUAAUUUAGGUUCUACAUAUGAAAACACCCUCAGUUGAUAUUUGGCCUUGUUGCAGCUGUGUUGCGACACCCUCUAGCUUGUGUCGUGACAUCGUAGGCAGUAUAUUUUUUUUGGCACGUUCAGGGCUACGUCGCGACAUCCCCUGGUGUGUGUCAAGACAUAGAAGGUAGUAUGCUCCAUAGGUAGUUUGGAAGGUGUGUUUGCGACAUCCCAACCGUGUGUUGUAACAUCAAAGGUAAUCCACUAACUCCUCGGCCUAAAUUAAUGUCAUGCACACUUAAUCAACACAUUAGUCUUCCUUUAGGCCCAGAUUGGCCUAGAAGGUCAUAAAACACAUAAAAAUGCUCAUUUUAUUAACUAAAUACUCUAAAUAGAAACUUAAGAAAAACAUUACUUAUUUGCUAGAAAACAAGCUCCCUUAAGUGUCAAAAAUGACCUAAUUUGCCACAACAAAUUGUGGCAAAUCAACCCUCAAGGCUCAUAAUAAUCGUAUCACAUGGUCUUUCACAUGCUAUCAUCAAUGUUAUAAUGAUCAUAUACAAAUUUCAAUUCCACAUUCAAUAUCAUUUACCAAUUUUCAUGUUUUCUAAUCCUUAUUAACUGGACAUAGACUCAAGAUGGAUACACGAAUCUUCCAACCAUUACAACAAUAUAACUAGCACUGAGUGCAUCAUUGGUACAUCUGAAGUAUAUUGCGCUCUGUGUCUUACCGGUAUAAACUGAAGUAAAUAUAUAAAUGUGCCUAGCACCUCAUCGGUACAUCCAAAGUGUAAUGUAUGCUCCGUGCCUCAUUGGUAUAAAUCGAAGUAAAAUACCAUGCACUAAUCCUAUGGCAUGCCAACUAUACCUGACUAAAUUCGAAACCGUUAAUUGGGUAUUCAUUGUUUCAAAACACAUAUUUCUCAUGUCACAAGUCAACAUAUUCGAUGGAGAAACUUUUAGAAACACUUUCUCACCUAUGACAUAUUCAAUUUCAACAUCGGCCCCUUGUUUGGUAAUUUUAAGUUGGUAAAAUUUUUGGAAACCUUUCAAGAGUGGAGGUUCAUUUCUUUGGCAAAAGUCUAUGAAAUAGGCUAUAAGGAUCCACCAAGACAGGGUCGAUAACUACCCUGGUGCGAUGUCGUACUCUGAAAGCAUUGAAAAAGAACGGAUGUAGGGGCAGAUGGAAGCCAACUUCUAAUAGAAUAAGAGGAAGGAUGAAAUCUUGAGUGUUGUCAUUGAGACAACACCUCGGUGGUAUUUUGAUGUUGUAGGAAAAGUUCAGACAACAAAAGCCUCAGGCUAUUUAGAAUCGAUCCGUUUCUUCUUGGGUUGUACUACAUUCAUACAUAGGAGUGGAAGCUCGGGGAAGACUAUUUUCAAGCUAUUGAGGUCCAAAGAUGGUGUAAUUUGUGGGGGAUUAAAGUUUGGCUACUGUAACACCCCUAACCCAUCUCCGUCGUCGAAUUAGGGUUACGAAGCAUUACCGUACAAAGCAGAACGUUUAACUUCAAUAUAGAAUAUUAAUUCAAAUUACAAAGUGAAUAACAAUUACACAAUUGAAUCAUAGCCAUAAUACUAAUUUGGGCCUUAAACCGAGCAUUUGGGGCCCUAAAAAUGAUUUAAAAAUGAUCGGGGAUUGAUUUGAAUAAAUCAUAAAAUUUUGAGAAAAACAUAAAAAUUGUGAAAACAAGGGUCACACGACCGUGUGACAUAACCUAGACCAUGUGACUCCAAACAUGGCCAUGUAGCUAUCCACACAUUUUUGUGACUAUAACACAUGCUCGUGUGUGCAGACCGUGUAACUCACUGACUUGGUAUACACGGUCGUGUGUCGGACCGUGUACCAGAUCGUGUAACUCACUGACUUAGUACAAGGUUGUGUCUUAGAUCGUGUAUAACCUGUACCUAAAAUAAAAAGUGACACACAACUAUAUAGCCAAGCCAUGUGAGUUACACGGCCGUGUGACAGCUCGUGUCCCAGGCCGUGUACUCCAUAAUUAACCCCUAAAAUAAGCCAUUUCAAAACCAAAACUUGUCCAACAAGCUACUCCAUUUGUACAUACAUUCAAUGGACCUAAACACACUUCAAACAUUCAUAAACAUACCAAUUCAAUCAACCUAAAUCCUAUAACCAUAUGCCAUUCAAAGGCACCUCAUUUCAUACCAUAACAAUAUCAAUUAAGAACAAAACUACAAUGCCACAUCUCAAACACAAAACAUAGGUAAAAUAGCUACCUAAUGACAAAAAUUGUCAAUCCGUUCCACCAUUCAAAUUAAGCAUAUCAAAAUGACCAUAUUCAUAUAACUUUUAACAUAUAAACAAACCAACUACACCAUAUAUGUAUACAACCAUUUAUAAAAGUAACCAAAACACCCAAAAGCAUAAAUGACCUUAAACCCGAUACAUGCCAUUUAUAACCAUAGUUCAAAAUAACCAAAAACAACCAAAGUGAUUGCUGGAUAGUGUGAUAAGACUCCGAAAAGGUUCCAAUCGAUCGAGCUUCUGAUGAUCUACAAAACAAAGGAAAAACAACCACAUAAGCAUUUAAUGCUUAGUAAGUUCGUAUUAGGUAAACUUCAACUUACCGAACAUUAAUUAACAAUCCAUACAAACAUGCUCAUUUCAUCAAUUAACAUAAAACUUUCCUAUGCACCAUAAUUCACAUGGUUAGUAGAAAUCAUGAAAACAUAACAUCUCAUAUACUAAGAAAUAAAUUCCAUACAUUUCUUUGUCAUCACAUAGCAACAUCUCAUUCAUUACAUUUCAUAAAUUCAUACCAAUUUUACCUUUUCAAAUGAACAUUAGCAAUAAUGGAUUCUUAUACAUGCUUUUCCAUCAUCCUUUUCUUACCCCUUGAACCAUUUAGAAUUUCAUCGGAUACUUGCGAAUGCCCAGACAUAGUGUGCCUUUUCAUGUAAUCGUAACCUUUCCUUUUCAAUAGUGCUCACAUGAGCUGUAAAAUGGGUUUGCUCACACAAGCAAUAAGUCCGAAUGUUAGCUACUCGGUGCUAUUCACACGAGCUGUAGAAAAUUCGUAACAAAUGUAGGACCUCAGCCAUCGGUAGAACAUUCAAGACCAACACCCAAAAUCGUAUAACCCUAAUGACAUGCCAUUUGUAUCCUAAGAAUUCUUAAGGUUCAAACAGGAUUACUUAACCAUUAAUUGUUCAAAACAUCGUGAUAUUUUCGAGUCUGAUUUAUAUUCAACAUGUUAUAACAAAUAAUCAAAUCAAACUAUAAUUAAUAAGAUUAUAAUUCAUACGAACUUACCUCACUAUCACGAUCAUUUAACAGAAUCAAAAAUUAAUCCAAUAUCUUAGCUUUGCCUCGAUUUAAAACCAAUUGUUAUGUAUCUUGAUCUAAAUAAUAAUUUCAUUCAAUCAAGUACUUCAAAUAACUUCAAUUAUUCAAUUUAAUAUAUAAUUCAUAUUAUCUUAAAAUUACUCCACCUAUUUUAACUUUUUCACAACUUAGUCCUUAAGCUAAUAACUUGAAAUUUAACCAUUUUUUAACCUAAUCCAUGAUAAUCGAUUCUUUCCUAAGUUUAAAUAAUCUACAUUUUUCCAUUAUUUCAUACAAUAUACAUGAAAUUUAUGAAUUAAGCAAUUGAAUCCCUAAACCUUACAUUCAAAAAAUUCCACUUAACAAAUCAUGAUCAUUUAACAACCAAAUUUAAUUAUCUUACACUUAUAAUCUCAAACACAUCAAUUUCAUUCAUGGAAAAACCUCCAACCUUUAACAGCUUUGCAAAUUACUCCCCGGGCUAAAUAGAUUAAGCUAAAAGGAUAACAAAACCAUAAAAAUCAUUAAAAAUGGGACUAAAAAACAUACUAUGCAUGAACAAAACACCAUAGUUGAAAGCUCCCUAUUCUCUACAAUGGUUUUUGGUUUGAGCAAAGCAAAAUUGGAAAAUAUGAUAGCCAUUCAUCUUUUCUUUAAGUCAUUUAUUUAAUUAUUUACUAUUUUGCCCUUAUGUUAUAACUUAAUAAUAAACAUAAGCAUGCCCAUAAUUGUCCGCUAUCAACAUGUAUGGUGUAAUUACCAUCUAAGUACAUCAUCUUGAGAUUCCAUAGCCAUUUGAAUCCUUUAACUAAUACAAAUCAACUUUUGUACUUUUUUUAAUUUAGUCAUUUUUACCUAAUUAACCAUUUAAACUUCAAAAUUUCUUAAUGAAAAUUUAAUAAUACCUUAAAUUAACCCUAUAGACAUUAAAUAAAUAUUAAAAUAAUAACUCAUUCUUCAGAGUCGUGGUCUCGAAACCACUAUUUUUGAUACCACUAAAAAUAGAUUAUUACAGCUACUCUGGUUACGGCCUUUACCACGAAUACUCAUCCUUGACAUUCUUGUAUGAAAAUAAGAAAAAGGAAUGAUAAAUACAAUUAAAUAAUAUUACCUUCAAAGAAUCUAGAAAAUCGGAGAAGACGAAGAUAGAAAGAGAAGUCGAGAAAACUGUUAAGAAAAUAUGAAGGUUUGACGAAUGUGUAGAAGAAAGCUUAGAGUUUUUGUUCUAUAGAGAUAAACAUGCUCAAGAAGUUACUUUGUGAAAAUUUUUUACAUUCUCCAAUGCAAGCUUGACAUUGGUCAAAGAGGUAACCAUGCGGUGUCUAUACCAUAGUGUUUAACUGCCAAAAUUCGAUUUCAUUCAGAGAAGCAGUCUGAUGAUAUCUUUUUAAGACUUUUGAAGGUUAUGUCAGUAAGAGGGAAAAAAACUUGAAGUGUGGGUGAGGGAAUCUAUAUCGUCGUUGAUUUAUGCUUGGCGUGAGCAACCAAACAUCAUGGUAAUUAAAAUCCUACGGGGGAUAAAAAUUUCGAGGAUAAAAUUUUAUUAAGGGGGAAAGAGUUGUACCAUCCCAGUUCUAGCGGGCACAAGGUCUGGCGUAGUCAUUUAGAAAUAUGUUGGCGGAGUAAUAUUCGCCAAAGUACCCCUUCUGGCAUAUUGAGUUGGUGGAUACAAUUAUGAGCUUAGGUUAGCGAGUGCUCCGUGCUAGAUUGCUAUGAUUUGUUGGAAAUAGGAUGUAAUCAAGUAAAUCAAUAUUAAGGGUAUGAAUCAACGUCAGAGGUAUAGUGCACCCUUUUCUCUGUUGUAUUGUGCAGGUUAAGUUACAAUGUAAGCUGGUUAGGGUUUAACCAAACGUGAACCAAGAUAGUUAAUUGACGAGGGAAAUACUUAAUUAGGUUUCUCGAAAGUUGUAAACUUUGAUAAGACAAUUCAAUAGUGAUGUGACAUUUGUCAAGUUCCAAUAAAGACCUAGAUUAUAUUAAUAGGUUUUCUAAUUUGAAUAAAGAAAGUUCUCUUCUUCUUUCUUCAAACAUUGAAAACUAAUGUUGGAUGGAAUAGAAGCAUUCCUUUAAGCUAGAUCUAAAACCCUGUAUUCUACUAGUGAUAUCUCCAUGUCGAGGUGAGCUUUAUGACUCUAGUAGAUCUACAUGAAUGCCUAAAUAAGUAAGGCAUUGUAUAUGGGUUAUUUGUGUUUCAAAUUAUGGGAAAGGUUAUUUGAAUGAGUUUUGAUGGUGUCCUUUCAUUUUUAAAAGGAAGUGGUUGCAGCAGUUCCUGAGUGGGUCUUGGAUCUAGAACUCAAGCUGCUACACAUUUUUGUCAGGUGAGUCUUUAAACUGAUUCAUGUGUGUAAAAUAUUUAUUUUAGAUGAUUCCGUGAAGAAACAUAUAAACUGCAAACUGAAACUAAAAAAGAAUGGUAUGAUAAAUAUGUUGAUGUGUGAAUAUUAUUCGAGGGUUGCAUGUAUGACUCGUAUGAACCUUAUUGGUAUAAAGUAUGUGAUAAAUAAUAUGAAAUUAAAGCUUGAUUGUAUGACCAUGUUUUGAAUGUAUGAGGUAAACAGUCUAUUAAGUUUAAUGGUGUUAAUGCAUGAAAGGCAUGUUAAGUGUUUGUCUGUUCAUUGCGGUGGAGUCUAAAGGGGUUCGUCGAGACUUUAAACAUGAUCUCUAAAAGGAAAGCCCAUGGCCAUGGCACCAUAUUGUGUAAGACAUAUCUGGUGGUCUAUGACAUCAUAUGGAAAGAACUAAAGAAAAGUUAUUACCUAAUGGGGUUCUCUGCGUGACCUAGGAUGAUGAGGGGCAAACUUCAUGAAAUAUGAGUCUAUACGAAUCUCUGUCAUAAAAACACCAGAAAAAUAGAAUCCUUUAUGGUGAUCUAAAAAAUGGAUGCCGUUGUGGCGAUCUAAGAAAUGGAAGCCUUUGUGACAAUCUAAGAAAUGAAAGCCUUCAUGGCAAUCCAAGAAAUAGAAGUCGUUGUGGCAAUCUAAGAAAUGGAAGCCUUUGUGGCGAUCUAAAAAAACUGGAAGCCUUUGUAGUGAUAUAAGAAAUGGAAGCUUUAUGGCAAAUCUUGUAAAGGAUGCCUUUAUGGCACACUCUAAAGAAUGGCCCUUAUGGCAAACUUCUAAAGGAACGCCUUUGUGGUAGACCCUGAAAGAAAGAAAUGAUUACCAUGGCGUAUUAUGAAGGAAUGGAAUUCUUGGAAAAUAAGAAAAGAACAGUAUGAAAGGCAGAUCCUGGACUUAGAGCCUUCGUGGCAAAGAAUCCUGUAGAGAAAGUUUUUUACGACACACAAAAAUUGGGCUACUCCUAUGGCGUGUUCUAGAAAGGCUUUCAAGAAUAAAUCAUGAAGGACGCCCUUUGUAGCAGACUCUAUACUAAGUUAUCGACGUAUCUCUUACUAUUCUUAAUUGCAAAUAGUGGGAUUAGUAAGUACAAAACGUAUAUAUGAGUAUUCCGAUAAGGUACUAGUUACGAUUAAGAUUUGUAUAGAGAUAAAGUUUUUAAGAGACAUAAUUUUUAAGAGACAUAACAAAGUAAUGAGGAUGUAUUCUAAAAAAUAACGUAAAUAAUAUACGCUCGAGAGGAAGUAUCGAUCAUUUUUGUAUGGGUCUCUUCCUAAAGUUGAGGAAGUUAUGGCUUACUGAACGAAAAAUGCAUGUGAGGUCUCAAAGGCACUGAGGAGAAGGAAAUGGUCUCAGAGUAAGGUAUGGUAACAAAUGUGAAUAAAGAAAUGAAAAUAGAGGUAGCUUUUGUUAGAGAUGUGAUGAAGAAUAAGAGUAAUAAAAUGGUUCUGGAAACAUUAGAUGUGGCGUGCAAGUAUGGUUCAUGUAAAUGGUUUCUGCUUCACUAAGUCUCUUCAAACUUAUCUCUAUGUGUUAUGUUUCAGGAGGGUUUUUAAAGGUCUUGCUUAGAAGGACGAAGACUACAUUGAAGGAGUGGCGUAUUGGACUAUUAUGCAUACAGAGCGAGCUUGAUGGCUAGAUCAAGUUUGCGUCAAUAAUUAUAGAUAUUCCUACGGGAGAUAACUAUAUAGACCAGGGCAUCAAUUCAGUCCUAAUUGUAAUUAAAUUCUCUAUGUAUACCAUUUGAAUUUCCUCAUUGUUUACACUUUUGUAUUUUAUUAAAAAGUUUGAAAUUUAUUAGUUGUAAUAUUUGAUAAUUUGAAUAAUUAGGCUUAAGUACUUUGUAUUAUAGUGGUAUUACCCAAUAUUCAGGUUUGAUUCACCGGACCAAGUUUGGGGUGUUACAAGUUUGGUAUUAGACUUUGAUUUAGCCAGUUCUCAUAUCGAGAAGACAAAAAAGCCUUGUAUUCAUAAUACACCGAACCUAGUAGAGUUCUUCAGGUAUGUUGAGAAUUUUCUCAUUUAUAAGAUUGAUGCGUUAAUAGUGACUUAAUGAAGAGUAAUUAAAAAGAACAAAAAGAUAAUAGAAAGGAAAGUAUCACUUCAUUAAUAAAAAGAGAUGUUAUACAAGGUGGAAGACAAUAAAAGAAAAAGAUGGGAUAAAAAGAAAGAAAUUAGUCCUCUCCUUUUGAGUGCUGUCCAGUUGCCUUGGCGGGGACCUCUUAUGUUGGCUCCAUUUCCCCUGGAAUUUGCUCUGAGUUAUUGAGCUCCUCAAGAUUCUUAUCACCCUUUAUUUUGGGCGAGUUAGGAAUAAAGAAACCAAUAAUUUAUUUCCAUUUUGAUUGGAAAUCUUCCCACUCUUUUAUCUUGGGGUUGUAAACAUCGAAGCCUAAUGAAUUUGUAGAAACAUCUCGAAGAAAGUCAAAGUCCACUUGACUCAGGUCCAUGGGACCAACGACCACUUUGGCUUGGAAAAUAGGUUAGCCUUCCAUUCUGGUAGCGCCUCAGUCAAGUUCCUCUUCAUGUCCUAUUGAUAUUUCUUGAAGGUUUCUUCACUGGAUUGGCAAAGAGUAUCCAACUUAGCCUCAUAGUGCAGCUUCUGGGAUUGGAGUUGUUACCUCAAUGACGAAUCAUUCUUCCCUAGUGACUUGACUCUAUUUUCCAACAGUUUGCACUUAUCCUUUAUUUCCUUGUUUUUAAGCUUUUAAGCCAUGACACAAGAGUCAAGGUGCUCAACCUUGCUUUUAAGAGCCUGCUCCCUACUGCAUUGUUCUUCUAUUGUCUUAAAUUUCAACUGAAUCGACUCCUUGAAGUUGGCAACUGUGGCCCUAUAGAAAUCAUGGAACUCUUGAAGAGAUUCACUCAAUAGCCCGUACUUGACAGAUAGAGUUUUGCAGAUUUGGCCAACUGAAAAAAAUGAGAUGAACCUGACUUGGACACAACGUGAGAACCGAAAGCCUCUUUCCAUUUUUGAGGGAUCAAAUUGUAUUGGCUUUGAAAGAUCAAACUUAAAGAAAAAGGGGAUGACCCUGAAGCAUAAAGGUUGCACUAAGGAAAGAACUCAUCACUUCCACUAGAGGAAGAAUGUGGUGGUUAAGGAAUUGGAAGGAUCAUAGAUCGAUCUAAUAGUAAAGGUUCGACUGGGAUAUCAGCUUAAGAAGGGCACGUAUUUUGGAUAAGGGAACCUACAGUUUGGGCAAACUGGUGCAGCUGGUAAUGAUGGAAUCAACGAAAAAAGAACUUUUGGACUAGGAUUUCCUUUCUUCAGUCUACUCCACUUGGGUUGUGGGGGCUCACUUUCCUUAGUAUUUGGGGUAUCAUCACUUGCCCUAGGCCUCUUCUAAUGCUUCUUAGUCACAGGUUUCUUGGAAUGAGCAGUUGAAUCACUCUCCUUAGUACGAGAUUGGUCCAUAAUGGCCCUAAUAUCCAUCAUUGGUGUUUGAGUGGGAAAAAGUAUGAGAAUUUGGAAUGGAUCCUGCACCACCAAUGUAAGUGUUAGGUUCACUUGGAGAAGAAGAAGUUAGAGGAUGAAUACUAGGAGUAAUGAACCAAUUCUAGGAACGUGUAACAUCCUGUUUUUCAAUGGUGUCAGAAAUAGUGGUUUUGGGACCACAAAUCUGAAGAGUAAUUUCAUUAUAAUUAUUAUUUAAUUCAUAUAAGUCAACUAUAAUUUUAUAUUGAAUUUUUAUUUGAUAAAUUUUAACUUAUUGAACAAAUAGUAAAGAUAAGUGGUUUGUUCCGAAAGUUAAGUGGUUUUGGAAAAUGAGGUAACGGGACCUCAUUUCUGUAAACCGAACUCAUAAAUAUUUUAUUAUUUGAUAUGUGAAAUUCUGGUUCGAAAAUUUUAUUAUUUGACUAGUUAAUUAAAGAAAAAUGACUAAACCGUAAAAGAUGUAAAACUUAAUCACUAUUGAAAUUUAUUGGUUAAGUAGCUUAAUUAGUGUAUGUGUGAGGAUUUAUGAAGUAAAUAUACCAUCUUUUAUUGGUGUGGACGGUGUGAUAGCCCGAAAUAGGGCCUAAUCGGAAUAGUGGUUUCGUAACCACAAAUCCGAAGUGAAAUAGUUUAAUUUUAUAAAUUUUUAUUAGUUACUGAUUGAUUGAAAUAUUGUGUGAAAAUAUGGAUAGGAAAUUUUAAUGCUUUAGUGCUUAAUUGAAUUUUUAGGACUAAAUUGAAAAAAAUGCAAAGUGUGUCUAAUUAGUGAUUAAAUGACUUAAUUGAAUUAUUGCAUGAAAUUGAAAGUGUUUAUGUGGCAAUUAGACCAUAAAUUAGUGUUAUGGACACAAAAGGGUAUUUCUAGAAAAAUAUCUAAGUAAUGGGUCAAGGGCAUUUUUGUCCAAAUUGAAUAAAAGACAAAAUAAAGAUGAAAACAAGUGUUCAUCUUCUUAAAAUCAGACGUUUGCUGCCAAAAAAAUUCAUGUCACCAUAGCUAGGGUUCUUGAACUUCCUAAGCUCAAUUGUAAGUGAUUUCUUGCCCCGUUUUUAAUUAUUUUUGUAUUUUUAUGCUUAUUGAAGCUUGAAUUUCAUGUUUCUACUAUUUAAUUUAAAUGAAAUUAAAGUUUGAAAAUUUACCCAUUCAUGAUAUAAUUGUAAAUUGGUUAAUGAUGUUAGAUAAUGAAUGUUUGAAGUGUUAAUUACAAGUUUUACUAGAUGAAUUUUGAUGGAAAUGUUGAAAAAGGGCUAAAUUGUGAAAGAUGGUAAAGUGUGCAUAAAGUUGUGAUUUUGUGAAAUUGAGGGCUGUUAUGAGCAUGAAAUAUGAUUUAGUGAAGUUUGAAAUUUAAAAAUUUAGUGAAUUUUAUUUUUACGAGCUUAGGGACAAAAGUGGAAUUUUUGAAAAGUUUCGGGGAAAAAUGUAAAUUUGCCAAAAUGUUGUGUAUGAAUUGUAUUUGAAUGAAAUGUUGAUAAAAUGUAUUAAAUUGUGUUAAUAUAGAUCAAGAAAGAAGAAAUAGUGGAAGUGAUCGGGGAAAAGAGAAAGUUAUCGACUAAAUUACAAAAAAUAGUCGUUUUGCAUCCGAGGUAAGUUAUAUGUAAAUAAUAGUUAUAUUUGUAUAAAUUGUGAAUUAUAUUUGAUAUGUGAAUUAAUAUUGAAUGUGGAAGGAAAAUUGUUCAUGAAUUAUUCAAGUAAUAAAGUGUUAAGUGUAAAUUCCCGGUUGAACUUAGGAAUAGAAUUGGAUACAAGUGACAUGUCACUAGAGACCAGUGUUACAGUGUUACAGUGUUACAGUGAGUCUCGGGUGCUGGGUGAUCUAGCAUGUGUUGCAGACACCUGACAGCUUGUGUGAGCAGGCCCGUGGACAUUUCCAGUGUUAUUGAUCAGUGGUAGCUUCGGCUACAUAUCAGUGGUAGCUUCGGCUACAUAUCAGUGGUAGCUACGGCUACAUAUCAGUGGUAGCUUCGGCUACAUAUCAGUGUGGCACUUAUGUGCUAAAUCUCUACGUAUCCGUGUAUAUUCCAACUGUUCAACGGGAUUAAUAAUGAAUUAAAGUGAAUAUGAAAUGUUAAGUGUGAAAAUGUAUAUGCAAGUGAAUUGGUAAGAUUGUGCAUGUGUAAGUGAUUGAAAUUGCUAAGAAAUGUUUUGAUUAGUUAUAUGUUAAAAGUGUUAAUUAUUAAAUGAGUAAUUAUUGUUUACAUGUAACUUACUAAGCUAUUUAUAGCUUACACAUCUCUUUCUUUCCUUUGUUUUAUAGUGAUUUGAACUUGAUCGAAUAGUGGACCGUCGGAGCUCGUAUCACACUAUCAUAGCCAUCUCGGUAUUAUGUGCUUUUCAAAAUGUUUCAACUAUGGCAUGUAUAGAGUCUUAAUCAUUUUGAGCAUGAUCAAAUGAUAUGGCUAAGAUUAGCUAUUGAAAUGGUUAGUAAAGAUUAUGUUUUGGUAUUAUGUAUGUGUAAAUGGUAACUAAUUCAAAGAAGCAGUUUCUUUGACAGCAGCAGUGACGUGAAUGUAAAAAUUCACCAUAAAUAUUAGAAAUGGAAUUAGAGAGUGAAUUAUAUAUAGAAUUAAAUCUUAUCAAGUCUAUUUUUAUAUGAAAGAAACUAUGUAGGAAAAGGAAUUCUGUAUUUUGAGAUAUUUGAAUUUUAGUGAGACAGGGUCAGAAUGGUUUUUGAAGUCCCCUGUUCUGACUUUAGAAAAUCAUUAUAAAUUGUACAGAAAGAAUUAUGGGUCAUAAUUUAUAUGUGUAGAUUUCUUAGUGAGUCUAUUUUCAAAAGAAAAAACGAUAACCUUAUAUGUAUUCUGUACAAAGAGAUAAUUGAUUUUUAGUGCCGAGAGGUCAGAUCUGUCGAGCUGUGAAACAGGGGAUACUUUAAUGAAUAAACUGUACUAAUUGGCCGAGUCAAAAAUUCUGAAAAUUUUAUGGUAAGUAGUAAUAUGAGUCUAGUUUCAGGGAAAAUUUACGGAUUUAAAUUUUGAGUUCUGUAACUCGAGUUAUAAUUAAAUUAGUGAAAGUCACGCAGGUAGACAGUUUUGUUGUGAACAGUGAAUUUAAUUUUAAAAGCAAUUUUUUUAUGCUCCGAAUUGGUAAGUUAAAUUGGAUAACAUCUCGUACUAGAUUCCGGUGACGGUCUCGGGUAAGGGGUGUUACAGACGGUUAACAGGUUUUUUUGUUAUAUUUUAUACAUUAAAUUAAAAUUUAAAAUAUUAUAAUAAAGGAAAAACAUAAAAAUAAUGGGUUAUCAUCUUCCUUAUGGAACUUCCAUCGAAAAAACAAACUAAAACCUCCAUUUCAAGAGCUUGAAGAUUCAGUGGCUUUGGUUGUAUGCAUGUAAGCAAUUUCUUUACCCGUUUUUAAUAAUUUUUAUGUUUUCGAGGUCGUUGUGGCUUAAUCUAGUUAGCCCAGGGACUAUUUCGUGAAAGUGGUAAAAGUUUUGAAACUUACCAUUGAUGAAUUCUAGAUGUUUUUGAGAUUAAAUGAUAAAUUUGUAAUCUUGGUUGUUGAUUAGGACUAUUUUGUAAAGUGAUUUUAGUUAAUUUUUAGUUAAAAGCCUGAAAUGAUAAAAUAUCAAAUUUGACAUGAAAUUCUUGUGAAUUUUGAAUAAUUAUCGGCUGUAACAGUUUAAAGGAAAAUUCGGCUAUCAUGAAAAUUGGCGAAAUUGUGAUUAUUUGAAAGUUUCAGAUUAAGGGACUAAAUUGAAUAAAAGGUAAAAAUUUAGGGUAAAAGUGUAAAAUGUUGAUUAAAGGUCAAAUAUGUGAAUUUAAGUGUUUAAAGUAUUUGAAUUGGUUAAUUGAAUGAAAUUAUUAUAUUUAGAUUAAGAAACGAAUCAAACGGACUGUAAUCGAGGAAAAAGGAAAGUUGGCGGAAUGAAUAUCGAUGUCACGCUCGUAGCCAUUUUUCAUUAGGUAAGUUCGUAACUUGGUUAAACUAAUUAGUUAUUGUUUUGGUAAAUUAAUAUCUAUUUACGUAUGUUGGGAUCGAGUUCAUUGACUUGAAAAAUGAAUAAGACCAUAGUUGAAAUACACUAUGACACUAUACCGUAAAUGAAUAAGACCAUAGUUGAAAGACACUGUGGCACUAUACCAAAAAAUGAAUAAGAACAUAGUUGAAAGGCACUAUGGCCCUAUAUCGAAAAAUGAAUAAGACCAUAGUUGAAAGACACUAUGGCACUAUACCGAAAAUAAAUAAGACCAUAGUUGAAAGACACUAUGGCCCUAUAUCAGAAAAUGAAUAAGACCAUAGUUGAAAGACACUAUGGCAUCAUGCCGGAAAUAAAUAAGACCAUAGUUGAAAGAAACUAUGGCAUCAUAUCGGAAGUGUAUAAGACCGUGGCUAAAAGACGCUAUGGCAUCCUUUGUACAGUUGUUUAUCAAGUAAUAUGUAUCAAAUGUUAAAUACAUUAUAUAAUAUGAACAUGAGAUGGUUGUUUUGAAUUUCAUGGGUUAUUGGUGAAUGUUAAAUGUAUAAAAUGAAAUGGGUAUAUAAAACAGUUAUAUGGAAUGAGACAUUGAAUAAAGAAAUUAAUAUGAAUUAUCAAAAUGAAAUAUGAUUUGGAAAAUGAUUGUGUUAAAUGUGUAAUAUGAAAUGGUUACAUGAGAUGGCUAUUCGAAACGGUGAUAUAUAAAAACAAUAUAUGAAAUGAUUAUAUGAAUCGGUUAUAUGGAAAUAGUUAUAUAACGUGUUUAUACAAAAUGUUUAUAUGGAUAGAUAUAUUAAAUAGGACAUUUGAAAUGAACACUUGAAAUGGGAAAUGUGAAAUGUUAAAUGAAUAGAUGUUGAAUAAAUGGUAUAUCUAAUGUGUUCACUUGUAUAUGUUUUAUAACAUAAAAAGAUUAUAAGUUUUGUAUAUGUGAACUCACUAACCUUGUGAGACUUGUGAUGUGUAUAGGUAAUGAAUGAACGCAUGACCAUGAUAUUGAAUUAUCUUGUAACUCAUGACCAUGAUAUUGAAUUAUCUUGUAAAAUGUUUAAACUACAUCCUUUUCGGUAAGUUAAAGUUAAAGUUUAUUAAGAACAUACUAAGUUUUACGUAAGCUUACCUCGUGUUGGUUUUUCUUCAUUGUAGAUCAUUGGAUUUGAGCUAUCGAUUGGAUUGCUUUUGGAGAUCACACUAUCCGACAACUUAAUCGGUAACUAAUUCUUCACUUUGGUCUGGUUAUAAAUGGCAUGUAAAUAGGGUUUUGGUAUAUAUAUGUUAUAAGCAUUAUGCAUAUGUUUUGUAUGAAUUGAGGUAUUAGAUGUGUUUAUUGAUGUGAAUCUUAAUUAGUAUUUUGGUUGAUUGUGGUGUGUGAUGGCAAUGGUAUGUCUAUAUAGGUGUUUUUGACCAUUUGUUAUAUGCCUUAUGGUAGUAGUUGAUGUUUGGUUCAUUGGAUGUGUAUGAAAUAGAUGUUUAGAUAUGUUUGAUUGGUUUAUAAGGUAGGAACAUGUGUAUAUUGAAAGUGAAUUUGGAUUAGUGUUUGAUUUUUGGUGCCAAUGUGGGCAUAUUGGUUAAACACAUAGGUUGUAUGCUUUUGGUAUGUUUUUGGCAUGUUUAGAUGUGUUUUGAAAAGGUGAAAAAGGUUGGAUAUGGUUUGUUUUCAUGCUUAAGAAAUGGUUGAUGAAUUGGAUUAUUUUUUGUUUGGAUGCACACAACCUGGGACACGGGUUUUCACGGCCGUGUGCCACAUACGGCCACCUCAUACGGUCGUGUGUCAUAUUGAUUUUUAAGUGCAAGAUUUUUCACAUGGGUUCAGUUUGUUAUGCGACCUGGCGACAAAGAUGUGUGGCCCUAUUUUUGAACUGUACACGGUUUGGCCACACAGCCGUGUGACCUCUAUCUUCAGUUAUUUCUACAUUUUUUUGUUUUGUUUCAAAUUGAUCCCUGUGUGUUCCCAAAUUGAUUUUAAGGUUCUGCAGGCUUGAUUUAAGGCCAUUUAGGUAUGAGUGCUAUGAUUAUUGUAUGGACAUCGAUUUAACGGAUAUAGGGGCAGAUGGAAGACGACUUCUAAUAGAAUAAAAGGUAGGAUGAAAUCUUUAGUGUUGUCAUUGAGACAACACAUCGGUGGUAUGUCGGUGUCAUAGGCAAAGUUGGGACGACGGAAACCUCUAGCUAUUAAGAAUCGAUCCGCUUCUUCCUGGGUUGUUAAAUUCUCUAUGUAUACCAUUUGAAUUUCUUCAUUGUCUACACUUUUGUAUUUUAUUAAAAAGUUUGAAAUUUAUUAGAUUUAAUCGUUGUAAUUUGAAUAAUUAGGCUUAAGUACUUUGUAUUAUAGUGGUAUCACCCAAUAUUCGGGUUUGAUUCAUCGGGAUAGGUUUGGGGUGUUACACAGAUUUUGUUGAAUGAUCAACUAUAACCCAUAUGACAUUUCUAUUAUUCGGUGAAGUUGGUAAACCCACAAUAAAAUCCAUCGUGAAUUCAUUCUCAUUUCCACUCAAGAAUUGAAAUAAGUUGAAGUAAACUAGAAAGAACCUGAUGUUCGACUUUAACUCAUUGGUGAGUCAAACACUUUGAGACAUAUUCAACAAUUUAUCUUAUGUUCGACUUUAACUCAUUGGUGAGUCAAACACUUUGAGACAUAUUCAACAAUUUAUCUUUCCAUAUCCGGCCACCAAUACAACUCUUGAAGUCACGAUACAUUUUCGCACCACCAGGAUGCAUAACAAGUGAACCAUCAUGAGCUCCAUGAAGAAUAAAUUAUUUUAACUCAACAUUAUUAUGUAUACAAAUUUGAUUAUAGAAUCAUAAGCAAUCAUCGUCAUCAAUUAUGAAAUUCUCAACACUACCCUAUUGAGCAAGUUUUCUUUUCUUAAACAACUCAACAUCCAAAAAUUGUGCUUCCUUGAUUUGGCCGACCAACACUGAUUUCACUUUCAAUUCAACUAACAGGCUACCAUCGUCGUAAAUGCUCAAUCGAGAUAACAUUAAUUAACAACCCGAUUUUUAGUGGUGCUAGAAAAGGUGGUUUUAGAACCCAUUUUCGUAAACUAAGUCCAUAAAUCUUAAUAUUUAAUAUUUACGAGGUUAGUAUAGAAAUAUAUUAAAGUUUGUUUUAGUAAUUUUUUCGAAUUGAUAAUUAAUUUAGGUACAAGAACUAAAUUAUAAAAAUCUUAUCGUUAUAUAUUUUUUUAAAUAACUAAAGGAUUAAAAUAGUAAUUAGACCAUUUUAAAUUGCCAAAUGUUGGUGGAUGAAGUUAAAAUCCACUAACUUUAGUUAAUCAUGCCUAAGGCUUAAUUAAUUAAUGUUUAAUUAAAUUAAUCUUGAUUUAUUAAGUUUAAACAAAGUAUAUAAGUUGAAUAUAAAAGAAAAAUACACAUUAUAGCCAAGAUAUCAUAACAUUAUCACAAUACAAAUUCACUAUCACAAGUAUAUACAUGUUCAACAUAUCUCAACUGAAUUUGAGUAGUCAAGUUUAAACAUACAUCAUAUCAUGAUGGAUACCAUUUUUAUUUGAUUAACUACAUAUUAAAGCAUAAUUGAAAUCAAAUUAUGAGAGCACAAAACUAGAAUAAUUAUUUGUUGAUGGCUAUUGUUUUUUCUUUAUCCUUAAAUGUCUCGACAUCAUUUUUAGCUACAUUCGGUAAAUUCAAAUACGAAAAUUCAUUAGUUUCACACAUUACACAUUGUAACAUACAAAUUAAACAUAAAAUGCACUUUUUUCAAUUUAGUCCCUCAAAACUCUAAUAUUUGAAACGCUCGUAUCUCAUUAUCUACUAGAUUAAAUCUAAAUCUAAUUUCGUAAAUAUACUACGGAACCUCAAGCUAUCAAUAAACACAAAAGAUCUUACUCACUAACCUUAAGCAUUCAACCAUCGAACUUCAACCAAAACCUUAUCACUUAAACUAUCUAUACGCAUGGGCUAUGCUUAUCAAGUUUCAUAAAUUAAAAUACAUUCAAAAUUCAAAUGGUAAUUGGAGGAAAGAUAAAAGGAAGGAAAACCAAAGAAAUUUCCUUUCUUAAGCAAGUUCGAUGGAGAAGAAGGGAUAAAAUGAAGCUUAUUUCUCCUCUCUCUCCCCUUACACAUUCCUAUUAAAUUUACUUUAACUAUCAUAGUUUAAGAUAUAAUCAAUGGCUAGAAUUUUAUGCAUAAAUAUCUAGAUUGUAUUCAACACGUGACUAGUCAAUUCUAAUUUUUGACCAACUCGAUUUAAGAAAUUCGAUCUUAAAAUUGAAUUUUUAACACUAUUACAAAUUGGAUCAUUGCAAGUAAUGUCUAAGUAACUUAUUACAUGCAACUAUAGCAACUAUCCCGAGUUAUUAUAAGCAAUGUAGAUUAUUACUGGCUAUUAUUUUGGAAAGGUUGAAUCGAAUAAAUAGGAAUUUUUUUUCUAGGGUGUCUCUGAAGAAUCUAAGAAAAUUCAUCUUUCGAGCUGGGAUAAAUGAACACAAACGAAGGUUAAUAGUGGGCUUGAGAUCAAAGUUUCAAAAUUCAGGAACAAAUCUUUUAUGAUGAAACUGGCCUAGAGAAUUCUUCAUGAACAAGAUAAGCUUUGGGUUAGUGUUCUUUACAUCUCUCUCCUCAGAUCUGUUUCACCUACUUGGGCAGCUCUUAAAAGAGUCUACAUGCUUUUCCAAAGUGGGCUAAGGUGGUCCAUUUGUAAUGGGCAUUAUGUGAAUUUUAGGGUGGACAAUUGGUGCAGGCUUGGAUCGCUUAGAUCAUUUGUGAUUGGCCUAUCAAUGAAGAUGAUUUUUCAAUGUCUUUUAAAGCUGCCAAAGACUUGUUGGAGAACAUUGGCCCUAAAUCCGUUCAAAUUCCUAACGAUUUUCUUGUUGUUGCCCUCAACACCCCAAUUUCCUUUGAUCUGAACCAUGGUGAUAUACUGUGUUGGAAUCCUUCGACAGAUGACACCUUCUCCCUUUCUAGUGCUUAUAUUAAAGACCAUUUGAGAAUGAAGAUAAAUGGAACUGCCUUUGGAAAAUGUGUGAAUCAUACUCUACCUACCGCAAGCUUUCUGAAUCGUAGAGGAUUGAACUUCAAUGACUUAUGUACUUUUUGUAAAUCGAGCAACGACAACAUCUCCCAUAUCUUGAGAGAUAGCGACAUGGUGAAUGAAUGGUGGUUUGUCACCAUGUUGCAUAGCCAUCGACUUCCCCCUUUGUCGUGUAACUGGGAGUGUAGGAUUUUCCAACCUUAAAUCCUAAAGCUAGACCUCUAAUCCUAAACUUCCUUCGUACCUCGUCUUCUCUUUUGCUCUUAGGGAAUUAUUACUUCUUAGGAAUGUUGUCACCUUUAAUAGCAAUGCUAGGAAAUGAAGUACUAGGGAGCGAGCUUUGGCUGGUGCAUGUGAAUUAUUUGUUGUCUCACUAGCUUUGAAGGUAAAUACCAACCCUCUCAAGGGAUGGUUAAUUGGCAGUCGCCUUGUUAAGGAUAAAAAAGGCUCAAUACUAAUGGAUCAUCACUUGGCAAUCAUGGUAAAGUAGGGGCAGGGGAUUAUAAAAAAUCAUGCUAGUGGUUGAAUUAUAAAAAGUAAUCGACAUAUCCCUGAAGUUUGUUGCAUCGAGUAGGGGUGAUCAUGGGCCGGGAGGCCGGCCUUGCCCGACCGCCCGGCCUUGCCCGACGGCCUGCCCGAAAUAUGGGAGGGUUCGGGUAAAAAUAUAGGCCCGAAAUAUGGGCUUGGGCAAAAAACGACGUGAGAAAAAUUCUUGGCCCAGCCCGGCCCGGCCCGAAUAUAAUAUAUAUUUUUUUAUUUUUUGUUUUUUCAAACAUUUCUCAAUUCCCCCAUUAACAUUUUUGCUUUAACACCCAUUUCCCCAUUUCCCAUUUCUCCCAUUUCCCGUUUCCCCUGUUCCACAAAUCCCUAACCCCGUGUCCGACUGCCCUCCUCCCUUUUUUUCUCAACCUUCACCUCCGACACCAAUCCACCUCCACCGAUCCACCUCCGGUCCUCCACGGCUCCACCCAUUUCCUGAAUCAGAGGUUAGAACGAAGCUACAAACGUCUUCUACCUUUGAAUUAACAAUGUUUUUUUUCCUCUCUUUUAUGGUGCUUAACUGCUUAUGUAAUCUGUAUUUGUAAAAUGUAAAUCUUCAGUUCUCGAAUUAUUUCCCCUUUGAUUUGUAAAUCUUCAGUUCUGCAGUCUACACCUUUUUCUGCAUGUUAAUUUGUUAAAUUAUUUUUCACGUUUUUUGCUUUUUGCUUUUAAGACACUGAAUAUUUGGGGGGGGGGGAAUUAAAUCUGGAAUUUUGGAAUAUGUAUUCUGGAUUGUAUGCUCAAUUUGUAUUCUGGAUUGUAUGUUCAAUUUGUAUUCUGCUUAGUUUAACAAAAUUACUAUUUGUUCUUUUUAAAGUUUUCUAGUAACAUUUCCAGCAAUAACCUCAAACAUUUCAAACAAAAUGAAAUUCAUUUUUGUCCAAAUAAAAUUAUAUUAAAUUAAUGAAAAUAUUUGGGAAUUAGUUCCCCUUCCUUAAUCGGUCUCAUAGGUCAUUCAGAGUACCUUGAGCCUUGAAAAAGGAUCUCAAAUAGCCUUUUGUAGUAAGCCUAUUGGGAACCAUGCAGGUUAAAGGAGACAAAAUUCUAAUGGGAGAUUUUAAUACAUACAGUGGCUGUUAAUGAUUUCUAGAACUGAACUGGUUGUAGUGUUGUGUGAUUUUUACACCUAAUGUGGAUUUGUUUCGCUUGUGAUUCUCCCCAUAUCAAUUUAAAUAAGGAAACAUACUUUUGUAGAGACCAUGUUGUGUUAAAAACUCAAAUUUCUGAACCUGAUAGUCUUCUCUGCUACCUGUUGUUUUUCAUCUUCGCACUCAAAUUUUGUUUAUUUUGUUAUUUGCUAACCAAAUUUCUUCUGUCUUCAUAUUCAUUCUUUUGUUUUGUAGUGACCAAAUUUAAAUUUAAAAUUUCUUUAAUUUUUAAUAUCAUCCAUUGUGGGCUAUUAGUAGCUCGUACCGCUUCUCUAGUUCAGGUAGUUUAAGAGUUAAGCUAGCUUAGUGAAUCGAUUUCAGUAUGCAACUCUUCCCCUUCAUCCCUUGCUUCUUUGAAAGUGUUUGAGUGAAGUGUUACUAAUUUUAAAUGAUGUAGUAAAGUGUUAUGUUACUGUAUUAAUCCUUUUCUUAAAAAUAAAAUAAUUCACAUGAACACAAAUGUCGGUUUAGAUGCUAUAUUUUACUUCGAAAUUGAGUGAGUGCAAUUAAGAUCUUUAAUUACCUAACACAUUAUUUUUUUUAGCAUAUGGUUGCUGAAUCCUGACAACUGGAAACUUGUUUUUUCAUUUUUAGAAAGCAACUUAUAUAUAUAUAUAUGUAUGUAUAUAUAUCAUUACAGUAAAAUUGCCUUGAAGUGAGUUUUGUAUUUCAAUACGAGGCUAUAGGAUUAAGAGUAGCUGAGCACAAUUAAGAACAAAAUUGUGUUAUUCAAUUAUUAUUGGAUGAGAAUUGAUUUAUGUUUUAUAGAGCAUGUAAUUUGCAAGGUUGAGAUCACAAGCUUAGUUUCUUCAUUUAAUCUCAUCAUUUUUGUUUUUGCUUUGUUUUAUUGCAGAAGCAAGCUAUUUAGUGAGGCAGAAAUACAGCAGGCCCAGGCAGGUUGCUAUCACUAUCUCACACCCUUUCCUUUGAAACAAUCAACCUUAGCGACUUUUCCUAAAUGAUGUGUGUUUUUUUAGUAUUACUUAAAGACAUGCGACAAGUUUGAUCUUGUAUCACAAGGCUAGCAUAGUUAAAUAACUAUUUUAUUAUCUCGUGCAAUAUAUGAGUUCGGUAUUAUACUAUUAUGUAAUAUGUAUUAAUUAAAAUAUAUUAUAUUUAUUUUCUCAAAACUGUUAUAAAAUUUGUAACUUUUUGAAAAAGUAAAAUAAUAUAAUUCUUCACUUUUAUAUUUGAAAAGUAAAAAUAAUAUAAAUAUAUCACAUAUAGAACAUUUUCUUUUGGUUUUGGAGGUUGAAAUAAUCUUACAAAUUAACACAUGAUUUUUUUCUUCUAGGUUUGCAAUGUCUUACCCCUUUUUUGUAAUUUUGGAAAAAAUGAAUAAAUUUUAAUUUUGGUCUCUCCAUUAUGCCUAAAUUUGAUAUUUAACUACCACACCUAUACAUGUGGACGAUGGGUUUAAUGAGUAUGAAAGUGCUCUCAAACGUCAAAAGUCUACCACUUCAAAUGUGUGGGAUGAAAUGACAAAGCUUGAAUGUGAGAACAAAAAUGAAUUGAAGGCAUAAUGUAAACACUGUAAGACUAUCUUCUCUACUAAGUCUUCCAGUGAAACCUCUAAUUUAAUACGUCACCUAGAUAGCUAUUUGAAAAAAGUUAAUCAGGACAUCACUCAAUACACCAUAGCCACUCAACCAUCACCAGAAAGUGUUCCAUCUAUAAAAAACUACAAGUUUGAUGCUGAUGAGUGUCGUCAAGCUAUUUCUUCUUUUCUUGUGUGUGGCAAGCAUUCAUUUAGGACAGCCGAAGAACCGGGAUUUAGAUAUAUGAUGAUAAUUGUUAGUCCUAAUUUUAAGAAUAUAAGUAGACAUACAGCUGCUAGGGAUGUCCUAAUGUAUUAUGCAAAAGAGAGAGAUCAUGUUAAAGAAGAGUUGGCUAGAGCACCUGGUUUAAUUUGUCUAACUUUCGAUAAUUGGAACUCGGAGCAUACUAAUGAUGAAUAUAUUUGCAUUACUGCUCAUUGGAUUGACAAAGAUUGGAAGCUACAAAAGGGAAUCAUAAGGUUUAGAGCUUUAUUUCCUCCGUAUGAUGGUUUGAACAUAGCGGAUGAACUUGUUUUAUGUUUAUCUCAAUGGGGUAUAGAUAAGAAAAUUUUUAGUAUCACUUUGGAUAAUGCUUCUUAUAAUGAUGUUAUGGUUUCUUAUCUUAAAAAUCGUUUUUAUGCAAACCGAGCUAUUUUGUGUGAUGGUGCUUUUUUUCAAGUUAGAUGUUGUGCACAUAUAUUGUAUCUUAUAGUUAAAGCUGGUUUGGAACUUGCUGAUGAUGUUGUUGGUAAGAUUCGAAAUGGAAUUAGGUACAUAAAAAAAGUCGGGAAUUCGUAGGAAAAGAUUUUAUGAUGUGGCCGACAAAAGUUUUCAUUUAAAUGUGACCAAAAAUUUGCAUCAAGAUGUGUGUGUGAUGGAAUUUUACUUAUUUGAUGCUUGAAUCUUCUCUUUACUAUAAAGAUGUGCUAGAUUAUUGGGGCCAACGGGAUAAAGAUUAUCAAAUGUUUGCACUUUCUAACGAGGAGUGGAGAAAUGUUGCUAUUCUUUGCAAAUUUUUGAAAGUCUUUUAUGAUGUGACUUGUGUUUUUCUGGUUCUAAUUAUCCAACGGCUAAUCUUUAUUUUAGAGGGGUUUGGAAGGUUCACAAGGUCUUGCUUGAUACAGUUAAAUGUCCUUAUUCAUUUUUAACUCCAAUGGUUAAGCAAAUGCAAGAGAAAUUUAAUAAGUAUUGGGCUGAGUAUUUAUUGAUAUUGUCAUGUGCUGCAAUUUUAGAUCCUCGUUACAAGUUGAAUUAUGUGCAAUAUUGCUUUAAAACAAUCUAUGGUAUUCAUGCUUCAGAUUUUGUUGAGACCAUUCUUAGCAAUCUUAGACUUUUGUUUGAUGAGUAUGUUAAGAAAUCCAAAUCCACAUCUUCCUCUUUGGCUGGGAGUUCUAAUGUUUCGGAUAAAAAUCUUGUUGAUUCUGGUUUGGAUGAACACAAUGUUAAUAGUUUUGAUUUUGGGGGAUAUUUUGAUGAGAGUGAUGAUUAUAAGUAGUAUUUAGAUGAAUCUAGCACUAGGAGUGAAAAGUCACUGUUGGACAUCUAUUUGGAAGAACCAGAGCUUGAGUUGAAUAGUCAAAUAGAUGUUUUAGAUUAUUGGAGCAAAAGUUCAGUUCAAUACAAUGAGCUUUCAUUAUUGGCUCGUGAUCUUUUGGCAAUUCCAAUAUCGACUGUAGCUUCCGAAUUGGCUUUUAGCAUGGGUAAGAAAGUUAUCACACCUUUGAGGAGUUCACUUAAGCCAAAAACAAUUCAAGCCGUUGUUUGCUUGGAUGAUUGGAUGCGAGCUAAGGGAUUUUCAACAGGUAAUUAUUAUUCUCGUUUUAUUGUUGUAAUUUUAUGUUAUUUUUUCAUCAAUUUGAUUAUCUAAUUAUUUAUUCUUAUUUCAUGUUAGAAAUUGGUUGCAAAAAAGACGAUGAAGACGAUGAGGAUGAUGUUUCUUCGGCUGCUUUUUAGGAUAUUUCCUUUCUAAUUGUUGAAAAUUUAAUUUAGUUUACAAUUUAUAUUUUGUUAUAAAAUUAAAUAUGUAGAUUGGUUAAUGUAUGGAUAUUUUGGUUGUUUGCUUAUAUUUUGCAAGUUUUUUAUACAAUUUUAGUGUUUACCAAAAAAAAAGGGCCGAGCCGGGCCGGGCUCGGGCUCAGGAAUUUUUCCCUGGGUUGGGCCUGGACAAAAUUUGAGGCCCGUAUUUCGGGCCGGGUCGGGCUCCGGCCUAGGAAGCGGGCUGAAAAUUUUUUAGGCCCGGCCCAAACCCGACCCGGCCCAUGGUCACCUCUAGCAUCGAGGCUGAGUUGUGGCAUUGUACGAUGGCAUCAAACUUGUUGAUUUGAAAAUCUCUCACUUAGAAAUAAAAGUCGACAAUAAUUUCAUUUAUUUCUACCGUGUUUAUUAUUCGUGUCAAAACCAUUUUUAUUUUGAAAAAUGAGGUUGACUUUUAAAACGAAAAUAGAGUCGCCACCAAUCUUUUUUUCGAGGUGUGAUCGGAUCACCUUGAGAUUAAUCAUUUUAAUAAAAUAUUUUGAUUUAUUAAAAUAAUGAUUUUGGUCUACAAAAUUCGAGAAAACGGGCUAGGGAGUCGGUUACGCACGAGGAAAUAUUAGCACCCUCGUAACGCCCAAAAAUUGGUACCUAAUUGAUUAAUUAACGUCCUAAUGUCGAAAAUUUGAAAAGAUUUAAAAAUAAGAUUCUCUUUAAAAACCUGAAUAAAUCGAAUUUGAUGUUAAGACCUCUUUGUCCCGAAGUAAUAAGAUGUCACAUCUAGUAAGUUAGGAUACGAUAUUUUAACCCUCGAAACUAAGCUUGUCUCAUGCAUUAAAGUUUAAAAAGGAUAUUCGGUUAUUUGGAUAAAAAAAUCGAAACCCAGUAAGUUAGGACACGAUUUUCUCAAAGCUCCAAAGUACCGAAUAUUGCCUUAUUUUUAAAAGUUUUCUUUUUUAAAAUUGGAGAAAAUUGAUGCAAUAUUAAAACGAUGCGUAAAAACUUUUAUAAAAAAAGGCAAUAUGAAAAUACAAAUAAACAAGUUAUAAAACACGUAAUGACAAUUAUUUAAAUACUAGCAUCAAUAAUCAAAGACCAAUGAAUUUAAAACAAAGAGUAUAAAAAAAUAUAAGGAAAAAUAAAAUGUAAACAAAUUUAAAAAUAAUGAAUUUGAAAAUUAAUAAUAAGGGAAAAAGAAAUUUGAAAUCAACAAUAUACAAAUCAAUAAAUAAAAAAAGGUAGGUAAUAUAUGUAUAAGUUUGGAAUAAAUAAUAUAUAAAAAAUGAAAAUAGGUAAUAUAUAAAGUAAUAAUAUAUAAAUGAGUUUAAAAAUAAAUAUUGUGUAAUAAGGAAUUUAGAACAAGUUAUACACAAAACAUCUUAAAAAUAAAUGGUAUAUAAAAUAGAUAGUAUAAAAAAAUUGCAAUUGAUAAUAUAUGGAAAAAAUUUUAAAGCAAAUAAUCAAACAAUUUAAAAUGGAUGAUUUAUAACACGAGUUUUUAAAAAAUAAACAACAUUUUUGACAUAAUAUUAAAAACAAAUAAAGUAUAUAAUUAAUGGAAGAAAAUAAAAUAAUGAUAAGAAUGGUUAAAUGAAUGAAUAUUAUGUAAAUAAGAAAGUUGAUGAAUAAAUAAACGUAUAAAAGUAAAAUAAUAAUUAAUGAUUAAACAAUUAAAUGGAUAGAUAAAAAAAGGUUAAAAAAACGCUUAAGUCAGCCUAACUCUCACAAUAUGAAGAUUCAACGAAAUUCGUCCACCAAAAUCCAACUCAAAUGAAAGCAACUUAAAAAGAAACAAAGAUGAACGAAGAACAAAAUAAGAACAAGCCACAGAAAAUAAGAACGCAAGAGAGAGAAAAUUUUGAGUGAAUGCUUUUAAGAAUUAUUAUCACUCCAAACUCAAGUCUUUUACAAUGAAGGGAGAGGCCUCUAUUUAUAGUUGAGCCUCCCCAAAUCCAACGGUACAGAUCAAUUACAUUAACGGCUAAGAUUAAAGGGUAUCUACAAAUUAAAUCUUAAAGAUUACAAAAUCUUAUCUUCUAAGAUUGCAUAUCAUAUCUAAGAUUGCAUAUCCUUGAAGAUUAUGUUUCCAUAUGUGUCAAGCUUGUAGAUGGACCUUCAACCUUUUCAAGUAAUGGGUCAUUCCAAUCGGGCCAAAUGAUAUAAUUUUGGACUGGACUUGGACUUUGUUUUAUUAUUUUGGGGUUUUUUUUUGUGAGCCCGGGCUAAAUUGGCCUAUUACAACUGCCCCUCUUUGCUCAUUGACAUGUAAUGAGAAUGUAGCAAAGACUAUAAAAGGGUCAAUUUUGCUUGGUCUUGCGGGUUCUAACUUCUUUGAGUGCUCGUCUUCUUCAAGUAGUCUCAUUCCAUCCCACUGCAUCUUCAGGGGCAUAGGAAUUAGUGCUUCUAUCUGCUCCAAUGUGAUUUCAAGGAGAAGAGAUUUCUAGCUUCGAUCUUCUCCACUUGAACUUCAAGGAGGUAGGAAUUGGUAAUUUCAACCUGCUCCACUGCAAUUUCAGGUAGAUAAGACUGGUGGCUUAAAUCUGCUUCCCUACUACCUCGGGAAUAUAAGACUUGCCGUCUUUGAUCUGCUCCACUACUACUUAGGGAGACAUGAUAUACAAUCUUCAACCUACUCCGCUACUGCUCAGGGAGAUAGGACUGGUGGUUUAAAUCUGCUUCCUACUAUCUCGGGAAGAUAAGAUUCGCCGUCUUUGAUUUGCUCCACUGCUACUUAGGGAGACAGGAUCUACAAUUUUCAACCUACUCCACUGCUACUCAAGGAGAAAGGACUGGUGGCUUAAAUCUAUUUCCCUACUACCUUGGGAAGAUAAGAUUUGCCGUCUUUGAUCUGCUCCACUACUGCUUAGGGAGACAGGAUCUACAAUCUUCAACCUACUCCACUGCAAACUCAAAGAGGCAAGGCUGGUGUUUUCGAUCUGCUUCACUGCCAGUACAGGAAGACAAGAUCUGCUGUUUUCAGUCUGCUCUGCUGUAAACUCAGGGAGGCAAGGCUGGUGUCUUUGAUCUGCUUUGCUGCCAAUACAGGAAGACAAUGUAAUAACCCGAUUUUGGGCCUAGCCAUAAUAGUGGUUUCGGGACCACAAAUUCGACGAUGAAAAAAAUUAUUUUUAUUAUAUUUUUAUGGUCUACAAUUUUACGAAAUAAUUUUGUGAAAAAUUUGUUCGAAAAUUUUGACGUUUGGGCACUGAAUUUAGUCAAAAGGACUAAAUUGUAAAAAGUGCAAAAGUUGAGUUCUACAAGUUAGAGGUGUCCAAUUGUUAUGAAACUUUAAAUUGGAGGUCUUUAUAUGGUAAUUAGACCAUUGGUUAAGUUAUAGACAAAAAUAUACAUGAGAUCAGUGAAAUAGGAAAUUUUUAAGUUAGGGGCAAUUUGGUAAUUUAGUAAUAAAAAGAAUUAACAAGGGAAAAAGAUGGAAAAAUGUGUUUAUCUUCUCCAUGAUGAAUGAAAAUAGCAAGGGGGAAGCCAUAGUUAGGUUUUUCAAGCUUCCAAGCUCCAUAGUAAGUGAUUCCAAUCCCCGUUUUUAAUGUUCUUUACGAUUUUAGAGUCCUAGUAACUUGAUUUAAGCUUAUUCUAGCAAUAAUUUAACCUAGGGUUUAUAUUUGGAAAAAUACCCAUAGGUGAAAUGUGUUUAUUUUGAUGUUUUAUGGAAGAAUGUGAAGCUUUAAAUUAUGUUAAACAACUUUUGCUAAGUGAUUUUAAGUGAAAACGAGUAAAACGACAAAAUCGGUAAAAAUACCUAAUGUUCAUAAGUAAGUGUUAGAGUGGGAAUUUGAUGUUGCCAUAGAAGGGAAAAAUGUUCAGCAUGUCAUAAUACAUAAGAAUAAGGGAUGAAUUUUAAUUUACGAGCUUUUGGGAAAAAAGUGUAAAUAUGCAAAGUUUAGGGGCAAAAUUGUAAUUUUGCCAAAGUUUGAGUCAAGAAAUGUUUUGAUAAAUGUGAGUAUUAAAUAAGUCAAAUGUGUUAUUAUAGAUCAAGAAAGAAGUGGAAUCGACCUUGAUCGGAGAAAAGAAAAAAUUAAAGACUAAAUUGUUAAAUUUUUAUAUUGUUGCAUCAAAGUAAGUUAUGUGUAAAUAAUAACAAUAUAUUUUUAUAAAUUGUGAAUUAUAUUUGAUAUGUGAAUUAUUAUUAUUGAAUGUGGAAGGAAAAUUGUUCAUGAAUUAUUCAAGUGAUAAAGUGUUAAGUGUAAAUUCCCGGUUGAACUUAGGAAUAGAAGUGGAUACAAGUGACAUGUCACUAGAGACCAGUGUUACAGUGUUACAGUGAGUCCCGGGUGCUGGGUGAUCUAGCAUGUGUUGCAGACACCUAACAGCUUGUGUGAGCAGGCCCGUGGACAUUUCCAGUGUUAUUGAUCAGUGGUAGUUACGGCUACAUAUCAGUGGUAGCUUCAGCUACAUUUUAGUGGUAGCUACGACUACGUAUCAGUGGUAGCUUCGGCUACAUAUCAGUGUGGCACUUAUGUGCUAAUUCUCUACGUAUCCGUGUAUAUUCCAAGUGUUCAACGGGAAAUCGACUAAGUGAAAAUAUAUGAGAUUAUGUAACGACUAAGUGUACUUAAAUGAUGAAUAUAUCUGUGGAAUUGAAUUGAAUAGUGAUCGAAAGUGAAAAAGUGAAAAGUGAAAUUAUGAAAUAGUAGAAUUAGCAGCAAAAUAGUUUUGGACAGAAACAAUUGCAUGACUUUGAAAAAUCACCAAAAAUGGUGGAAAUCGAAUUAGAGAGUGAAUAAGAUAUGAAAUGAAAUUUUAAUGAGCCUAUUUUUACAUAAUAGAAAUAGAGUAAGCAAAAGAGUUUUAAAUUUUGAGAUAUUUUAAGUUUAGUGAGACAGGGUCAGAAUGAAUUUGGAAUCCCCUGUUCUAACUUUGGAAAAUUGUUAAAAAUUGUACAAAAAUAAUUACGGGCUAAACUUUAUAUGUUUAGAACCCUGAAUGAGUUUAUUUUCAAGUGAAAUAAACAUAAGUACCUCCAAAUUCUGUACAAUGAGAUAUUAAUUUUUAGUGAAGAGAGGUCAGAACUGUUGAGCAAUGAAAUAGGGGAAAAUUGAAAGAAUGAACUGUACUUAUUGGCUAAGCCAAAAAUUAUGAAAAUUUUAUGGUAAGAAUAUAUGUGAAUCUAGUUUCAGGGAAAAUUAAUGGAUCUUAAUUUGGAGCUCUGUAGCUCCAAAUAAAAAUAAUUUAGUGACUCUGACUCAGAUAGCAGCUUUGAAUAUACAUGUGAGUGAAUAGUAAAAUUAUAGAAAAUGUUAUUUAUAAGAGUGUUAUGUACAUUAAGGAUGUGGAAUGGAGAGGAGGAGGAGGAAAUAUAAAAUAUAUGAAUGAUUUGUAUAUAAAUUAGUCAUAUGCCCGAUUAUAUUUGAUAAAAGUUUAAUUUAAAAUGACAUAAUGUUUCAUUUCAAUUAGUUAUUAUGAAUUGAAUUGUAAAUUCAUAAGGCUGAAACCAAACAAUUAUUUGUUAGUAUUAUGCAUGAUAUAAUGUAUUAUUCUAUAUACAUAUUCAUGGUUGAAUUAUGAUUGUUGAGAAAGAUAGAUAAAUUGGAAUGAAAGUUCAAAUUGAGUAGAACUCAGGGUUGAGUACUUUCGUUUAGUGAUAAAGAUGAAUUGACGGAAAAUACCAUGGAUGGACCAUGGCAAUAAGUGAUAUGUGAUUCCAUGUAAGACCAUAGCUGGGCUAUGGCAUCGGUAUAUGUUAUGUGAUUACGUGUAAGACCAUAGUUGGACUAUGGCAUCGAGAAAAUAAGUACUCAAUUCCGUAAGACAUUCACUAAUUUGACAAAGUUGGUAAGUGUUACAUGGACUCAUGUUCAAGUGAUAGAUUUGUUGUGAUUGUUGAAGUUGAAUUCAAUUAAGUGAUUUCACCAAUUGGAUAUUGUAUAUGGCAAGAUGUGUUAGUGAAUUACAUAUUUAUGAAAUGAUAAAUGAAGUUCAAUAAAUGAUACAUGAAAUUAAUAUGAAAAGAUUUAUGAUUGUUAUUGGUAUUGUUUCUGGCAUAAUGUGGAUUCUUCGAUGUUGAAAUGAUUUAAAGGAUUUAUUGAGCAUAUGAAUGAGUAUGAGACUCACACGAGUUAGUAUAGAUAUGUACUUGUGUCUUAUAAGCUUUGAAAUGAUAAGACUUGUGAAUUGUGAAUUAAUCUGUGUGAAAGUAUAUGGGAUAGAUUAGCGAAUCUUUAUGAGAUAUUGAAUAUUUAAUAUAUUACAAUGGUGGUAGCUAUAAGGCUUGGAUCAAAUGAGUAUAUAUUGGGCCUCGUAAGCCUUAAUUAGCGAUUAGAAGAUAAUAAUUUGAAAAUUUUAAUUUGUAUGAAAUUUUAUAACUUGGUUUAAUACGUUUAUAAGUGUAUAUGUUCUGGUAAUGCCUCGUACCCUAUUCCGGCGUUGAAUAUGGGUAAGGGGUGUUACAAUGUGACAUCGACAGAUUCGGCCAUAACGUUUAGGCCGGGUUUGGGGUGUUACAGACAAGAUCUGCUAUCUUUAGUCUGCUUCGCUGCAAACUCAGGGAGGCAAGAUUGGUGUCUUCGAUCUGUUUCGCUGCCAAUACAGGAAGAUAAGAUCUGCUAUCUUCAGUCUGCUCCGCUUCAAACUUAGGGAGGCAAGGCUGGUGUCUUCGAUCUCCUUUGCUGCCAAUACAGGAAGACAAGAUCUGCUAUCUUCAGUCUGCUCCGCUGUAAACUCAGGGAGGCAAGACUUGUAGCUUUCACUUGUUUCACUGUAAUUUUAAGGAAAUAAGGUCUGAUGCGAUCUGCUCUACUGCAACUUCAGAGAGAUAAGAUCCAUCAUUUUAAUUCGCUCCACUACAACUUCAGGGAGAUAUGAUUGGUUUCUUCAAUCUACUCCACUGCAACUUCAAGGAGAUAAGAUUGGUUUAUUCAGUCUGCUCCACUGCAACUUCAAGGAGAUAAGACUUGUAAUUUCAUUCUACUUCACUGCAACUUCAAGGAGAUAAGGUUUACUAUGAUCUGCUCUAUUGCAACUCCAGAGAGAUAAAAUCUGUGAUUUAUAGCUUCAAUCUGUUCUACUAUAACUUCAGGGAAAUAAGAUUCGCUAUCUUCAGUCUGCUCCACUGCAACUUCAGGGGGAUAAGACUUUACUUCAAUCCGCUCCACUGUAACUUCAGGGAGAUAGGAUUAUUGGCUUUAAUCUACUCCACUACAACUUCAGGGAGAUAAAAUUUUCCAUCUUCUUCAAUCUAUUCCACUGUAACUUUAGUGGUAUACGUUUGUAGUUUCACCAAUCUGUUCUCUGGGGAACAUGACCUAUAGAAUGGGUCUGUGCUUAUGUCAAAUGACUAGGAUGCCAUGAUCGAAAUGAGUCAAAUUCUCCUAAUUAGAUAUGCUAUGAAUGAUAUAUGAAUGCAAAAUGAGAAUGAUCCCUUUUUUAAUGCUUAGGGUGUCAUCAUUCAUUGUUCAUCAGAAGUCUUAUCACUGAUGUAUUGCACUACUAUCUUAUUCGACUGGUAUUUUCCAACAGAAAACUCGAAGAAACAAUCACAUUCUGCUCAACAAGCUUGCCCCGUUGUAAUUUCAGAGUCCCUUCCACUAUAUCGUCUGGGACAUAAAGUUUGUACCUCCCACUGCAACUUCAAGGGAAUAACAUUUGGUUUCUUCCAUUCAUCCUGCUGCAACUAAAAGGUAUAGAAUUUGUAUCAUCUUCAAUCAUUUUGAUCUGUUACACCAUUCCCUGGGUGUAACGACCAGAUGUAUAUGCUUGAAAUUUUCAUGAAUGCAGAGUGUCAUUUUUUCCCAAGAAUGAUCCCCUUUUACACUUGGGUUGACAUUGCUCGUUAUUUGUCGAGAUGGUAUCACCGACAAAAUGUCUUGUCUUUCAAUAUUUCCAACCCUUAGGCUUGAUGAGUUCUAAAUAAUAGUCUUGUUUCAGAUUCUCGUAUUAUUUAGAAGCUUCUAGAGCAAUAUGCGAAACUCCUUUUAUGAAAGUAUUAUUUGUCCAUUAAUCGUUAUUUCGAUAUAAAAUGCUUGAAAAGAUCAUAACAAUAGACAAGAAGGAAAUUAAUUAGGAACAUAGCUCGAAACAAUUAAAUUAAUCAAAGAUAGCUAAGGCAAUAAAAAGAAAUUGAUUGGGGCGUAUCUUGAAAAGAAUAAGGUAAUCAAAGAUAGCAAAUUCAAAAAUGGGUAAGAUGGAAAACUAGGUGCCCUAGAUAUUGUAGCCUGAGCUUCUCUGUACGAACUUCUUGAGGACCAUUUUGAGCUUAAUAUGUGUUUAGGGGAUCUGAAGUACUUUGUCAAUGCCCUAAGAUGUAGCAUACUUCCUCAUUGUUAAUUCAGGCAUAGCAAGACUACCACAUGCCCCACUUUUGAUCAAAAUUUAAGCUACUUUUUUCGAGUUUUCAACUCAAAACCCCUUUGGUCUCAAAGCGCCUUUUGCGGGUUUUCGCCUUGGCCUCUCCUCUUUUUCUUUCUUCUCUUUUUUUUGAAUUUUUUUCUCAAGGCGCCCUUUGCUGGUUUUCACCUUGGCCUCUCCCCUUUUAGGUAAAAUACUUCUUGACUGGAUCUGAAUUCACCGGAUUGGGAAAGUCUUUGGCAUCCAUCUCGGUCAAUAUCAAUGUUCCUCUAGAACAGACAUUCUUUACAACAUAAGGUCCUUCCCAAUUUGGCAUCCACUUUCCUUUAAAAUCCUUUUGUAUAAGAAGGAUCUUUUUCAACAUCAAGUCCCCCUCGUGGAAUUCUCUAGGAUGAACCUCUUUGUCGUAAGCUUGCAUCAUCUGACCGUGACGGAUAGCUUUUAACCCUUUUUUUAUUGGGUUCAACAUUCCAUAAACUAAUGGGCCAGGUGUUGCCCCGGUAAAGGUCCUGGCCGACGUUUGAUGAGCAUAGAGGGUAAAUAGUAACUUUUUUAUGCCAAUCUUUACAAGUCACGGUCAUCUUUCCCACGUUCCUUGUUUUAUUUUUUCUUUUUUGGUUGCCUAUGGCGUCUGAUCUUUGAACAGAAUACAAACUUUUGACAUUGUCCUUUUUGGCAUUCUUUAUCGGGGCCUGAUCUUUUUUUUUGAAAUUAGAAUUUAAUAACUUCGACCUUGUAACAUUGGCAUAUGAAGCUAUUUCUACCCUCUUAGUGAAGUAAUCGAAGACCACAAAAAUGAAUCGAUAUUGGCUAAAAGCUUUUGAAAAGAUUGGCCCUAUCAUAUCCAUGCCCCACAUAUGGAAAAUUUGUGAAGAAAUAGAGGAGAUACAUAGGUUUUAGCUUCCUCAAAUUGGUAUUUAUGGCAUAACUGAUAUUAUUCACUUUCAUGGUGGACUAGCAAUACUGAAACUUCGUGAUUAACUUGGCUAUCGUAAAACCAUUAGUAUGUAUCCUUCUGACACACUUAUGGACCUUUUAGCCUUAACAGUAUCCACAAGUCUUAGUAAGCCAGACAUAUCUUAAUAUGAUCGUGCGAAAGCAUCUUUGAAUUCUUGGAAUAAUUUAAUGACGUUUCACUUUGUUUCGAUAGUAAGAAAGCUCCAAUCUCUUUCUCUUCUCCUAGGCUCACUGUCCACUGACUUUUGUAACGUAGGAUCUAUUUUUUCAUCUUGUUCUACCAUUCUUAACAAAUCAAGAGAUAGGCUACAAUCUCAGUCAUAUUCAAAGCCUGAGCUCCCCUUAGACACAUAUCUUACUCAAAAGGAGAUUCUGAGUUAGUAGCAACAUCGCUCAUGUCGUUGAUAUCUGAAGACCUAUUGUAGGUACAAAGGCAUAUUCCAAAGAAUAAAUAAAUUUAAGGACAAUUAUUUGUAUGAAUAAAGAAUAAAAUAAUAUUUAAAAGAGAGUCCAAAGAACAAAAGAAUCUAUAAAUGAAAAGAAUGAAAGAAUGUUUGCUCAAAAAGAUACAUUUUAUUGAAAUAAAGAUUUUGGACGUAAGCCUAUUUCAAAAAAGGAUUCUUAUUGCCUCUAGGCUUUAAAGUAACAAGUGUGUUUUGAAUAUUACUCUAGAUUAUCUCUAAAAAUACAGUGAUCUCUUCCACAGUCUCGUUGUUCAAAACACUCCCAAGUAUGCAAGGGCUUGGAAACUUUAUUCCUCAGUUCCCUCUUCGGAAACAUCAUUAAUGUUUAGAUUCUCUGAUAUUCCCUUUGGGCUUUUGACUUCUUCAAGGAGUCGCAACUUUCUUGCCUCUUCCUUCAAUUAUCGCAUUUACUGCCUCGUCAAAGUGAUUAGGUUCUGAUGAAACAUCAAACUUCGCAAUUCCCAUUUUAAUGAACCUUUCGACCAACUUUUUAAACGUAGUGCAUUUUUCAAUUGAGUGACCCGUUAUCCCACGUGGUACUCGCAUUGGGCAUUCUCAGUGUGUAUCGAAUAAACUUUGGUACAGCUCCCUAUACGACAUUGGAAUUGGCUUGAACUAGAGCUUCUCAGUGUCUUGUGUCGGACUCUUGUCUUGAUGAACCUUGUUGGUUAGCAGCCAUCUUUCUUGGUUGAUUCACCGUAAUCAAUUUUGAGUAACCCUUUCUAUAUGUACUCAUGUUGUUCACCUCAUUUUCCUUUUUCUUCGAGGCUGACCUUCUGUUACUUUCUCCAGCAUUAAUCUUCCUACUCCUAUGGUGUUUUCAAUCAUUUUACCAUUCAUGAUUAUGUUAGAAAAGCUUUUUGUGGCACCUCCUAACAUAUGUGUGAUAAAUGGGGCUUUCAGUGUGUUAAUAAAUAGCAUUGUUAUUUCUCUUUCCAGGAGCAAUAGCUAAAAUUAGACGGCAACCUCCCUCCACCUUUGUACGUAUUGCCUAAAACUUUCAUUUGACUUCUUUUCCAUGUUUUGUAGGGUGAUUCUAUCAGGAACCAUAUCUAUUACGUGACUGUACUGCUUCAUGAAUGCUUGUGCUAAAUCCCUCCAUGAACUAAUCCUGGUACGGCUCAAUUGAUUGUACUAUUUAGAUGUUGCUAUCUUAGAAGCAAUGUAUUUGCAGUUGGUCGUUGUUAACAUAUCCAGUCAUCCGCCUACAAAACAUGGUGAUAUGAGCUUCAGGGCAACUGGUCCCAUUGUACUUCUCAAAUUCUGACAUUUUGAACUUGUGAGGGAAUACCAAAUCCGGGACCAAGCUCAGAUCUUUAUCAUCAAUCCCAUGGUAGUUCUUAGUGCUUUCCAUUGCCCUGAAUUUUUCUUCGAGCCUUUUACACCUUUCCUCUAGUUGUUUUGGCAAUUCCUCCUUUGUCUUUUCCUUUUCAGCCAUUUUAUUGAAAUUAGGGAUAGUAGGAUUAAUAGGGUUAUCUCCGAGGUUAGAGCCUGAUCCGGCUUAGAAAUUCAUUGGUAUUAAGGCACCGGCCUGAAACUGCUGAGGCCUGAUUGUGACAGAGGAUUUGCGCGGAUAUACCUCAGCUUGGGUCUACACGUGUGGAGGAGUAAAGCCUGAAGGAUAGAAAGGUCUCUCAUUGUCUCAUUCUUCAGCAUUAGCCAUAGGGCCCUUUCCUUUAUCGUUUCCCCCAGCCAACAGUUGAGUCAACUGAGUCAUCAUGUUUCUUUGAGACUCCAGCAUUUUUUCCAUCAUAUCUUGCUGAAUCUUAGCUAGCUGCUCUUGCAUUUGCAGCUGAAGUUGGUCUUGCAUAUCCUUUUGGAACUGUUCAAGUCUUUUCAAUCUUUGGUCCAUGUCUUUGGUUUUUGCUCGAGUACCGUAACGAUGCUUAGUCGAUAGACUCUUUUUAGGUUCAUAGGUUAACUAGAAUAAUUUUACCUAAUUAGGGUCAUUUUGUGAAAAUCUAAUACAUAUGAUGCAAUGUAAUGCAAAUGCAUGGAAUGAAUGCAAAAAGAAAGAGAGGCAUUGAUUCUGAAUUCAAUUCUAUUAGAACAACUUUUCUAGAAAACAAAUUUCUUUACAUAAAAUGAAUUACAUAUGUAGCUUUGCCCUUAUAUUUUAGGCAAAGACAUCGAUCUUUUUCUUCAUAUCUGGAUGCUAGGAUCAAAUCUUGCAAAUUUUCCAAAAUCUGUCUCUAUUAUCUCCUUUUUGUUUGAUCCAAGCCACGACCUAUUGCUCACCCCGUGAUGCUCUUUAGUUUCUUUGAGAUGUGACAACUCUCGAAUAAUCUUUGUCGGUUUGAAUCCUCAAGCAACGAAGCAUAGUCGUAUAUUCCUCUACGAACUUCUAGCCUUCUCUCGUUGUGUUUAAUCAGACCAUAUUUGGGUAGUCGCAUUAUAUUCCACUUUAUCAAGAAAUUCGUUUUCCAUGACAAGCUUUUCUAUUUAGCAAUUAAAUUUGAAUCAACACCUCUUUCUAUGAUGAAAAUGCAAAGCAAUCAUAAACAAAAUAAAACAAAAUACGUCAGUACAGAAGAAAUAAACAACAGAAUAGAACACCUAUCUGGGUGACCACUAGGGUUUGGCGCGGCUUUACCUAGGGUAGGUUCUUAAGGCUCUCUAUAUGUGGUUCGGUUCUAAGGCAAGGGUACCUAAACCAGCAGAUUCCUCGAUCCUCACCCAUUAUAGGUUCAUAUGGACCGAGUUCAAUUCAGGGGGAUACAUUUCCCUAUGGCUGCACGGAGAUGAAAAUCUCACGAAGACAUAGGUACAGAUGUAUCCCGAAAGCGAUCUACUAUCCUGCACGGAGGUGAAAACCUCAUGAAGGAGUAGCUUCUCACUUCCACUUGAAAGGGUGUGACCAACGGUCAUGCAAUGUAAUGUGUGGAGAUAUAAAAAUUUAAAAUACAAAACAUGAUGAAAACUAUAACUCAAAACAGAUGAAAUGCAAUGAGAAGCUUAUAUGUUAAAAACCAAAAUUUCAACUUUCGACAAAAAAAAGGCAAAAAUUAAUCAAUUUACGGCUUGACACUCUUAUGGUCCCCAGUGAAGUCGCCAAGCCGUCGAAACCAUUUUUAUUUUGAAAAACGGGGUUGACUUUUAAAACGAAAAUAGAGUCGCCACCAAUUUUUUUUCGAGGUGUGAACGGGUCACCUUGAGAUUAAUUAUUUUAAUAAAACAUUUUGAUUUAUUAAAAUAAUGAUUUUGGUCUACAAAAUUCAAGAAAACGGGCUUGGGAGUCGGUUACGCACGAGGAAGGAUUAGCACCUUCGUAACGCCCAAAAAUUGGUACCUAAUUGAUUAAUUAACGUCCUAAUGUAAAAAAUUUGAAAAGAUUUUAAAAUAUGAUCCUCUUUAAAAACCUGAAUAAAUUGAAUUUGAUGUUAAGACCUCCUUGUUCCGAAGUAAUAAGAUGUCACAUCCAGUAAGUUAGGAUACGACAUUUUAACCCUCGAAACUAAGCUUGUCUCAUGCAUUAAAGUUUAAAAAGGAUAUUUGGUUAUUUGGAUAAAAAAAAUCGAAUCCCAGUAAGUUAGGACACGAUUUUCUCAAAGCUCCAAAGUACCAAAUAUUGCCUUAUUUUUAAAAGUUUUCUUUUUUAAAAUUGGGGAAAAUUAACGCAAUAUUAAAACGACGUGUAAAAACUUUGAUAAAAAAACAACAAUAUGAAAAUACAAAUAAACAAUUUAUAAAACACACAAAGGCAAUUAUUUAAAUACUAGCAUCAAUAAUCAAAGACCAAUGAAUUUAAAACAAACAGUAUAAAAAAAUAUAAGGUAAAAUAAAAUAUAAACAAAUUUAAAAAUAAUGAAUUUGAAAAUGAAUAAUAAGGGAAAAAGAAAUUUGAAAUCAACAAUAUACAAAUCAAUAAAUAUAAAAAAAGUAGGUAAUAUAUGUAUAAGUUUGGAAUAAAUAAUAUAUAAAAAAUGAAAAUAGGUAAUAUAUAAAGUAAUAAUAUAAAUGAGUUUAAAAAUAAAUAUUGUGUAAUAAGGAAUUUAGAACAAGUUAUACACAAAACAUCUUAAAAAUAAAUGAUAUAUAAAAUAGAUAGUAUAAAAAAAAUUUGCAAUUGAUAAUAUAUGGAAAAAAAUUUAAAGCAAAUAAUCAAACAAUUUAAAAUGAAUGAUUUAUAACACGAGUUUUUAAAAAAUAAACAACAUUUGUGACAUAAUAUUAAAAACAAAUAAAGUAUAUAAUUAAUGAAAGAAAAUAAAAGAAUGAUAAGAAUAGUUAAAUGAAUGAACAAUAUGUAAAUAAGAAAGUUGAUGAAUAAAUAAAUGAAUAAAAGUAAAAGAAUAAUUAAUGAUUAAACAAUUAAAUGGAUAAAUAAAAAAAUGUUAAAAAAACGCUUAAGUCAGCCUAACUCUCACAAUAUGAAGAUUAAACGAAAUUCCUCUACCAAAAUCCAACUCAAAUGAAAGAAACUUAAAAAGAAACGAAAAUGAACGAAGAAUAAAAUAAGAACAAGCCACAGAAAAUAAGAACGCAAGAGAGGGAGAAAUUUGAGUGAAUACUCUUAAGAAUUAUUAUUGCUCCAAACUUAAGUUUUUUACAAUGAAGGGAGAGGCCUCUAUUUAUAGUUGAGCCUCCCCAAAUUUAACGGUACAGAUCAAUUACAUCAAUGGCUAAGAUUAAAGGAUAUCUAUAAAUCUCUAAGAUUACAAAAUCAUAUCUUUUAAGAUUGCAUAUCAUAUCUAAAAUUGCAUAUCCUUGAAGAUUAUAUUUCCAUAUGCGUCAAGCUUGUAGAUGGACCUUCAACUUUUUCAAGUAAUGGACCAUUCCGAUCGGACUAAAUGAUAUAAUUUUGUACUGGAAUUGGGCUUUGUUUUAUUAUUUUGAGUUUAUUAUUAUUUUUUGAGAGCCCGGAUUAAAUUAGCUUAUUACAGCUAGUUAUUUUCUUGCAACGUUGAUUAAUAAAUAUAGGAUGUUUCGUUCUUCUAUUCUAAAUACUAGAAUCAAACAUAUUUCCAAAAGAAAGAAAUUAGAGUGGGGUGAUGUAGCAAGAUUAAGAAUCAACCUUUCUGUUUAUGACCUAUGAACAUAUUAAUUAUGAUUUCACUAUUGUAUGUAAUAAAUCCUUGAUGAGAUUUUGUUCUUUAGUUUAAAAGAAGCCUUUGACCCAACCGUUGAGAGAAUAAUUAUGUAAUCUUUCUUUUCUAUCCAAACUCCUUUUAUUACAAAAAAAAAAAGAAAAAAAAAAAGAGUGGCGUCUUUAGUUUUUUUCUAGUGCUACCAUAUAUUCCUUGCUUGCCAACAUUUCUCUCCCCCUCUCUCUUCCAUAUAUAAAGGGUUAAAAUGUGCCACAAAUACUUAUAAUUUCAAAAAUUAAAAAUUUAAUCCAUUUAUUUUUAUUUUAUAAUUUUAGUUUUUCUUUUUUUAAGAUUUUAAAAUUCAUUCAAACUCAAUUGUUACCAUUAUUAAUUUUUUGGAUAAGUUUAAAACAAAAAAAUUCACUUCAUAUCUAUAUAAUUUUGGAUAAGUUUAAAAUAAAAAAAUUCACUUCGUAUCUAUAUAAUUAAACACUUAAACUUAUAUUUAAUUUAAAUUUAAUAAAAAUUAUAGAUGUUAACAGUUUAAUCAAAAAUAAAAACUCUAAACAAAAUUCCAUUAAAUAAAACUACAGGAUCGACGGACUCGUAAUUUUCCUAAUUUUUAUGAAAUAAAGAAAAUAAAAAUGUUAACAAUUUAACCAAAUAAUUUGAUCUAAAUUCCUUAUUUUCGAAAAGCAGAUUCGUGGAACAUUUUAACAUAUAUAAAUAGGACCGGCGGAUUUUGACAAACGUAGUGAAAGAUCGAAAUUGGCAAAAGAUGAAGGUUUCCGUCAAAACUCUCAAAGGCACUCACUUCGAUAUCGAAGUCAAACCCGAAGAUGCGGUUCGCUUCUCUCUCCCUCUUUUCCCAGGGAUUUUACGUUUCUUGACUAGGGUUUUCCGUUUUCCCCUAUAUUUGAACAUUAAUUCGCGUUCAUCUAGGACUGUAUUAGUUGGACUUAUUAUGCACGUAGUUGAAUUACCAUGCCUGACAUGUAAAAUCGGAGAUCGUGAAUGAUUUGUUCAAUUUUAGUGUCUAAUUCAUUGAAUAUGUUUAUUUAGCUUGUGAAUAGUCUAGCUACUUCGAUUAAGUUUUAGUGGACUGAUACUCGUGUAGCUUGAACGGCAAUAUCAUUUUCUUCUGGCGACAAUUAGCAAUUAAGUACUUCUUCCUACGUAAUGCUUUUUACUAGUUCAUUGAAAUUAGUGAAUAAUACUUUGAUUUGUGGGCUUCAUUUUUGUAUUAGUAUUUCAUUAACUUGUAUCAUUGAAUAUUAAUUCAUAGAUUGCCAUGUAAUUGCUAGUUGUAGUUUGCUAGAUAUAAGUUUGAACUGGGGUAUACACAAGCUUUGAACAUUGAAAUAUGCUAAUAUCUCAUAUUUUGCAAUGUUCUUUCACCUUUUUAAAAAAAAAAAAAAUUUAGUGUGGCUAUAAACACCGGAUUAAAUGUACAGAGGCUUCUUUUAAUAGAUCUUCUAUAACCAAGGAUCAAGUUCUGCAUUCUAUGGUUACAUCUAAUCAAGGGUUGUGUUUUUUAAUGAUGUGGAUUUUCUAACUAUAUAAAUAAGCUAUUAUUAUUUUUAUUGUUUUUUGCUACUUUUUAUGCUUUUAAGGCUUAUAUAUGCAUAUAUAUAUGCACAGACAUGAAAUUCUUGGGAUAAAAUGCAUUCUGCCUUCUGCCUUUUACAUUACUUUGUCACUUGGUAUUAUACUAUUCUGCUGCAAAUGCUUGUCAAUUCUUUCAGGUUGCAGAUGUAAAAAAGAACAUAGAAACUGUUCAAGGGGCUGAUGUUUAUCCUGCUGCACAACAAAUGCUUAUCUUUAAGGGAAAAGUUCUUAAAGAUGACACGACACUGGCUGAAAACAGUGUCAAUGAAAAUAGCUUUAUUGUGAUCAUGUUGACAAAGGUGAGUUUGGUUACAGUAUCCUGAUUUUUAUGUUUGUAAUCUUUCAUCUAACUUGUUCUAACUUUUCUGAACUUUGUCCUAAUAAACGCCUAACUGACAUAAUUAUUUUUCACACUGCUGUUGAACUUGAAAGUUAUCUUAGAUAUAACUUAUGAUGGAGUGUUGUAUCAUUAUAUAUAUAUUUUUUUUGAAAUCUGGUUGUUGCUUUCCUUUAGGUGCAUCUUAAAAAUCAAAUUUUUGCUAAACUAGAAAAUUUUCUUUGCACUAUUUUUCGACCUCUUACUUGUAUUGUAUCUUAAUUUAUUUUUCAUGACUGUCAUUUUCAUACUAAUAAUGUCCUUUUUGCUUAAAUAAACUAGAAUAAGGGUGCAUCUGGUGAGUGUUCAACUGCUUCAACAGCUCCUACAAAGAAAGUAAGAUUAUAAUUUUGCUACCUCUCUUACUGCUACUUGCAUGCAUUUUUAGCUACAUUUCUAAAGGCAUUUGUGAUUGAUAUAACAUGAAAAGCUUUGGGGUUCUGUUUUUGCCGUGAUGGUAGGUGUUCUUUACUUCAAUGCUAUGAACUAGAACUUGAAGUGAUAGUCAAGCAUCUUGAGCAAAUAUACUUUGUAUACGAGUAGAUCAUCUAAAAAGUUAUAGGUAGCAAAUAGAAUGCUUUUAAGAUUUUGGGUUUAUAGAUAUAGCCCAGGUUUGAGUUGUUUUGAGUCCAACUGAUAGAUAUGUUACACUAUUGAGCUACAAACAUAAUGCAUAAUUUGGAGUUUGAGUUGGUGUUAUUACCAAAUUCAACACCUUAAAUGUUUGAGUUAGUCACAUAAUGUCUGUUUUCCCCCCACUAUACAAUCUUUAGGGUAUGUUGCUUCUGAAAACCAUGCCUGUUUGCAAAGAUUAUUGUUGAGUAAGUAGUGAUUUUUGAUUCUUUGUAGGCUCCUGAGGCAAGUAGUCUGCCAACAGCUACAGUACCAGCUUCGACUGCACCUGUUGUGACGUCUGCUGCGUAAGUCCCGCUAUUCAACACUUUUGGUCAGAUACAGCACCUUUGCAAUUGAUUAAUUGCUUAUUAAUUUCUUAUUCAGGGCUGCACCUCCCGCUGAAUCUGCUCCUGUUGCUUCAAGUACUCCUCUGUGAGUAACUUAUUCUUGAUAGUAACUUUCAUGCUUCUAAUUUGAAGGACAGAAGCUUGCAUUUGAUUUAAUCGAAUUGCUUUUAGUAGGAGAGAUCUUGGUUUUUUUCCUUGUUUUCCUUUGCAUAAUUGUAAUAUCUUGAAUAAUGUCUUUGGAAACAGGUCAGAUUCUGAUGUUUAUGGCCAAACAGCAUCUAAUUUGGUUGCAGGGAGUAACUUCGAGGGAACAAUCCAACAAAUUCUUGACAUGGGUGGAGGGACCUGGGACAGGGACACUGUUGUCCGCGCCCUUCGCGCUGCUUAUAAUAACCCAGAGAGAGCUGUUGAAUAUUUGUAUUCUGUAAGUACCUUCCUUGUAUCUUGAAGAAUAUGUGCUUUCUUCUGUGCUUCUAGUUGCUGUUGUUUUAUUAUUCUCCUUAAUGUAGUUGCUGUUGAAUAUAUUUGCUUUCUUCUGCCCUCUCCCCCCCUCCUCCCCCCCCCCCAAAAAAAAAAAAAAAAUUGUAAACAGGAAUGUUGGAUUUCUAUCAUAUGGUGUCUUAAAUUUUCCCCCCUUGGGAAUGGUGGGUUUUGAUGAUAUUUUAUACUGCACCCUUUUCUUUUCUUCUUUUUAGUUUUCAACUAAAACAAGCAUUCAUUUGUUUCCUAAGCUGCAUCUCAUCUUGUCAUAAAUUAUUGUUGCAAAUACUAGGGCAUCCCUGAGCAAGCUGACGCUACACCUGUGGCCCAUGCUCCUGUAGUUGGGCAAACCACUAGCCCUGCAGAACCACCUCAACAGCCUGCACAAAUGGCAGCUAUUCCUACAAGUGGACCAAAUUCAAAUCCAUUAGACCUCUUUCCCCAGGUAAAAUUGUCAUGCGGUAGACAUUUGAUAAAUUUGAUGAUGGGCAAAUGAACCAGUGACUUGAUUUCCUUUUAUUGAUACAGGGCCUUCCGAACAUGGGUGCAAGUGGUGCUGGGGCUGGCUCUCUUGAUUUUUUACGGAACAGUCCACAGGUCUCUCUCUUUCUCAUUUGGUUAUAUAUGGGCUUGUUAGCAUGACUGUCAUGUAAAUACCUACCUAGGACUACACUCAGUUUGCAAUUCUCUUUUCAGUUUCAAGCUUUGCGAGCGAUGGUGCAAGCCAACCCACAAAUAUUGCAGGUUAUUCUCUGGUCCCUUGUUUCCCCUCUUCAAUCUUCAUGUGUGUGUUUCAUUUUCUUUUCUUCUUCCUUUUUUCCUUUCACCUUUCCUCAAUGUCUCCCUUUUUAUAUUUUUGGCAGCCUAUGCUUCAAGAGUUGGGGAAACAAAAUCCUAAUCUAGUGAGACUUAUUCAAGAGCAUCAGGGUGACUUUCUUCGCCUGAUCAAUGAACCUGCUGAAGGUGGAGAGGGGUGAGUUUGUUGUUUUUAGUUGCUCAUUUCUUGAACUUAUAUACUGCAUGUAUAUCAAGUGCUUAUUUGACAUUCCUGUUGUAAAGAAACAUUUUGGGGCAAUUAGCUGAGGCGAUGCCACAAGCUGUGCAAGUCACACCUGAAGAGCGUGAAGCCAUAGAACGGGUAUGUCAUCUGUUACGUAAAGGCUGACUUGGAUGUGUUCACUAUUCUCUGUAAUCAUGGAUUAUUUAGCUAUCUUCCCCACUGCCUCUGGAAAUGCUUUCAUUUCCUUGGACUUUAUCUGAGUUAUGAAAUAUGCAUCACUUCUUUCUUUUAGGCAAUGGUUUUACUUUUAGAUGAUUAAUAAACUCAAAUUUGUUGCAUUGAUCUUGUGCCUACAAAUACUUUUGUAGUCUCCUUAUUCUCUUGUUCAUUCCCCAUCUCUUGCAGCUUGAAGCAAUGGGGUUUGACCGUGCAACUGUGCUCCAAGUGUUCUUUGCGUGCAACAAGAAUGAGGAACUUGCAGCCAACUACCUUUUAGAUCAUAUGCAUGAUUUUCAGGAUUGAGUUGGUAAAGGAAAUGACUAGGGGAAGUACAAUUUCAUUCUCUUUCGUUCUUUGGGUCCAUUGUCAUUCAUGUUCCCCCUCCCGUCCCCCCAAAACUCUACCGACUUUAUUCUUAAACAAGUGAUGUAAGUGUUUGGUGUAGAGACAAGGAAUGUGAAGAUGUUAACUUCAUUUUUUUUUCUUUUUUCUUUUUAUUUCAGGACCCAUUAUUUAUAACGUUAUAUACAAGUUUCUUUCUAAGCUUGUGCGUAUUGUACUUUACAUUUUAUGCUAUUAUAAGCACUUGCGACGAGGAGCUGCACCCAACUUUCAAGUUCUUCGAUCAAUACUCUUAGAGGUCUAGACAUGGAAAAGACUUAAGGCAGUAUGACGCAGCCAAAUUUUCCAUAAGGCGAAGGUAAAAACAAUGGACUAAGGAAUCGUCGGGUGGUGAACUCACACUUUUGAAGUGACAUUUUCUUGGGCCCAUUUCCCCCAAUUACUCCGUUGAGGUCUAACUCAAAAGUGAAAAUGAACAGAAUUUCAUAAUUGCUGGACAAUAUGACAUUCCCAGGAGCAAAGGAGCAAUAGAUUCAUGUUCAACAUUGCGAAAACAACAGGAUCCACUAGGUUCAUACCUCGAAGGAUCAUAAAAUAUCGGGUUGAGAGAGGUGUCCACCCACAUUUCUAAAGGAAGAACUUUAACUAUGAAGGAAGACGAGCUUUCCAAAUCAAAUUCCAGAGAGUUAGUUGACUACCCGGGGAAAUGUCAAUAGAGGGAGUACUAAAUGCUAGGAUGAAAGAAUAAGCAUUAGCCAAGGUAAAAGUUCCAGAUUUCGUAAGCCCCCAACCAACAAAAUUUGAUCCCUAGAGUGCUUAAGAACACAUCAAUUAAAUCUUGCGGGAAUUGGACAAAUAUCGAAUAAAAACCACUACGAUCCUAGCUAUUGCAGACUUGCUCGAAAGACCAAAACUCCUCCAAUGGCAGCAGGGGGCCUUGUACAAGAUUGCGGAGAGGGCCUUGUCUUGACCACUUAUCACUAAAAAAAUUCAUUGUUCUACCAUCCUUAAUAACCCAUCUCAUCUCUAGCUCAAUGAAGUGGCGAAUCUUCUUCAAAGAGGGUGUAUUCUGUACAAGGUUUGGAUUACUAGGGUCAGUGAUGUAUUUUGAUAUAAGGAUUUUAGCCCAAAGGGUAGCCUUCUCCUGGAUUAGUAUCCAACCAAGCUUUACUAGCAAAGCUUGAUUUUUAAUUAUUGCUUUUGAUAUACCCAAACCUCCAUAGGCUUUAGGUUGUACGACCAAAUCCCACUUUAGAAGUUGUCCAUGAUUUGUAUGAUCAUAACUUUCCUAAAGAAAGUUCUUGUUGAUUCAGUCUAGCUGACUAUGAAUACUGGAGGGGAGUAAACAACACUGCAUGUAAUAGUUCUGGAUGGAGGCCAUUGUUGACUGGAUAAGAACCAACCUUCCAAGGGAUAGAAAAUUUGGCUUUCCAAUAGCUUAGCUUGUUAUGGAAUUUAUCAACAAUAAAAUCAUAGUCAUGUUUAGUGACUCUCUUCAUGUGCAUAAAGAACCCAAGAUAUUUCACUAAAGCAUUGGAUAUGCUUUUUCUAGAGUCCGCACAUUUAGGGGAAAAAGCCACUUGGGAUUUCUCAAAGUUUAUAGUUCGUCUAGAUUCUACCAUGAAUAGCUAAAUGAUCCUUUGGAUAGAGGAUACCGGUGUAGCAUAAUUUUUUUGCCAACAAAAUGAUAUCAUAUGCAAAUAAUAAGUGAGAGAACCAGGGUACACUCCUAGAGGGUCGGAUAGGAGACCAAACUUGUUGAUCCACCACUCUUGAAAUUAACAAGCUAAGGAAUUCCAUGCAUAAAAUAAAUAUAUAAGGGGAGACUGGGUCACCUUAUCGGAUUCCUCUAGAUGGUUUGAAGCUAUUCAAUUUUGAUAUGUUUAACAGCACCGAGGUGGAUGUCGUCGAAAUACAACUCAUUAUCAACUUGACCCAACUAGGGGGAAACCAAAGAAUAUAAGAACUUUAUGAAUAAAGCUCUAUUGUAGCUUAUCGUAAGAUUUUUCUAGAUCUAAUUUAAUAGUCAUAAGAUCUUUUUCCCAUUACAAUGAGAAAGGGAAUGGCAAAUUUCCUGCACUAUCAUUGUAUUAUCCGAAGAUAAGCACUUAGGGAGAAAAUUGCCUUGGACCGAGGAUGUAAUGUCAUUGAGGAUGGGUUGAAGACUCAUAACAAGGAUCUUCGUGAUAAUUUUGUAGAAAGUAUUGCAUAAGCUUAUUGGUCAGAAUUGUGAGAUCGAAGCAACUUCCCUAGAUUUGUGAGUAAGCGCGAUUGAGGUUUUGUUUAGCUCAUUGGGGAUCGUAGAGUUAUAAAACACCAUCACAUCGUUGUGAUGUGGGAAGACUCCUCGUCACGAUGUCACCACCGUGAAAAUCCUUCCCAUCUUCAUCGCAUCAUCGUGAUGAGAGAAAUCUUCUCGUCACGACGUCAAGAGUAUUUCUGGCCUUGGCAGCUUCGUUGCUCUAUCAAACUGCCUUGUCUCGUGGCCCGAUGAUCAUCCCUUGAAUUCUUGGACCUGAAUUGACAUCCUACACACUCAAUUAGCCCAUUAUUCACUUACGAGGCCAAAGUCGGUCUUAUGAGUCAUCGAAAUAAAAGAAAAUGCGUAAAAAUACUUUUUUAUUAAUAUUUAGUUUCUAACCUAGUAAUACUGAAAAUGCAAUAAUUAAUUAUAAGACGCCUAGAAAACAAGCUCGUUAAAUGUAGAAAUGACCCAAACUAAAUACUACAUUUGAAGCCAGGUCACAUACCCCCACACUUAAGUCCUUGUCUUCAAGCAAGCAAAACAAAAAUAAAAAACAAAACAAAUUGAAAAUGAAAACUAAACAUGCAAGAAAAGAAAGUGCACUUGAACUAGCUUAAUGCAGGAAAUUGGGCAGAAAUGUAUUAAAAAGAUAAUGUAAAUAAACAUAUAAUUCUAGCAUGAUACACAAUUGACUCGCAAUUUCUAAAAUUAGACAGAUUAGUUCAUUAAAUUACAAAUCAAAUAAAUAAAAGAAUAUUAAGUAUAGGUAUCCAUCAAAAUAAAUAUAUAAAUAUACAAUUAUGUUCAAAUGAAUACAAGUGGUAAAAAUAUCAAAACUUGGCACGACUGCCAUCCAUAUAGAGUACUACUUAGGUCACAUAGGACUUUUUGGCUUGUAACAUUUUGCGGCUUAAGUUGGUUUGGAAUUCAAGGAACAGACUUGACAAAAUGGCUAAGCACAAAACUAGUUUGACACAUUGUAUUGUCCCUGAUACUCCCCUAAUUUCGAAUAAUCUCACCACCUUAUAUCCACUUCCAGGGGCGAAGCUAGAAAUUUUUUUAGGGGGGGCCAAAAUGAAAUUUUAAUUUUUAAUAGUCUAUAUUUUUAUAAUUUUCAAAGGAUUAAAUCAAAUUUUUAUAAUUUUAAAGGGCCAAAGUGAAAUUUUACCUUUACUAAAUUAAAAUUUUAAAAAUUUCUAAAGGACCUAAAUAGUAAUUUUCUAUUUUAGAAGGGUCGGGGCACCUGCCAGCCCCCUAGAUUCGCUUUUUUCAACUUCUCUCACCUUCCUUUUCUCUUCAUCAUUAAUGCCCCGUAUAGUAUUCAUGAGUACAAUCAUUCAAGCUUGAAAUAAAUUUUUUUUCUUUUCAUCGAGAUUUUUUGGAUUGGCAUUUUUCCUUAUUUUGUACAAGCUCAAAAUCUUAUACUCACUAUACCAUACAGUUCCUUAGUCACUCAAUUUUUUUUCUCUUUUCUUUUGAAACCACCAUGAUGCAUCUCAAUAUCAAUGGUCGGACAUCAAAAUCUGUGCAAGGACUAAAAAAUAAAUGAUCAAAUAGAUUAUAUAUUAGGCUUAAGGUUUCAUUUAGGGUUCACCAAGAAAAUGGAUUCAAGCACAAAUUAGGUACUAGGGAAAAUAUAUAUAGGGUUAGCUUUUUGGCUAAAAAAAUUGCCUACCAAAUAAUGCCUUAGGUCGUCCCUAGGUAUUUCAAUGCAUGGAUUAAAUCGGCUAAGUCUCUUGAACGCUUAUAAAUGUGUUAUUUUUUAUAGUAUAAAUAUUGCACCAAAAAUAUAUAAAAUUAAUUUGCGGUGUCUGCAAGCGUACAAGUCAGAUUGUAAUAUAGUAAAAUUUACAACAAAACAUUGGUAAGUAUUCUAAGGAUCAUACCCAAGGGAGGAUGAAAUAAAUCUAUAAAAACCUUUUUAGAAUAAUAAAUUUAAAUAGUAAUAAUUAAUUCCUGUAUUAUGAUAAGCCAUAAAAUAGAUUAAUAAGAGAAUUUAAAUAACUAAAACAAAUAAACAAGAAAAAUAACAAAUGCAUUAAAUUAGUAAAACCAAUUAGGAAUAUUAACUCGUUUCAGGGUUUGUAUUUAACUUUGGAUUAGGGUUUUAGGGUAGAUUAGCUACCAAUUAACCAAUUAUUACCUCCCGUCCUCUACUAAUUAAUCAAUUGGUUGAUACUUGCUUAUCUCCCGAUCUCACUUUCUCAACCAAGAUAAACUAAAAUUUACUUGAUUCGACUUAUCUCCCGAUCUCGUCUCACCUAUGAUAACUUCCUAGGGUUGUCAAGCCUAAGGUUUAAGAACACGUAACCUAUACCAACUAAUCCUCUCAGGAAACCCUAAAUUCUUCGUUAAUCACAUCCAUAUCCACUCGUUAAAAAACCCUUAAGGGAUUUAGCCACUCAUGUUAUUCAUAAUAUCUAACUCAAUCGAAUAAAUCAUGUAAAUAACAUGAUUGAAUCAGAAGAGAAAUGAGAUUAGAAUAAUCGUGGAUUGAUAUCGAAUAGAGAACAGUGUAGGAAAUUAUUAAUCGUAAUAAUAAAAUAUAUCGAUUGCAAUGAAGAAAUAAACUGAAUACUUUAAUAAAAUAAAAUAACUCUUGGAUCGAAACAAAUUCCAAGAGGAAAAACAAAUAGUUUAUGAAAAGCCAAAAUAAAAUUAAUCUAAUCCUACUCUUAAGUGCGAAAAUAACACGAAUUAACUACCACAUUUGAUGGCAGGUCAAAUACCCCUACAUUUAAGUCUUUUCUUGUUCUCAAGCAAACAAAACAAAACAAAAUAAAUACUAAAUAUGAACUAAACUGAAAACAAGAAAUAAAUAUGCAAGGAAAAGAAAAUGUACUCGAGCUAGCUUAAUAAAGUAAAUUGGAUAGAAACAUAUUAACAAGAUAAUGUAAAUAAACAUAUAAUUCUAGAGUGAUAUAAAAUUGACUUGCAAUUUCUAAAGUUAGACGGAUUAGUUCAAUAAAUUACAAGGCAAACAAGUAAAAUAAUGUUAAGUGUGGGUUUUCAUCAAAACAUAUAUACAAAUAUACAUGUAUGCUCAAAUGAGUAUAAGUGGUAAAAACAUCAAAACUUAGAACAAUUUCAUCCAUAUAAAUUACUACCUAAGUCACAUAGGACUUUUCGUCUUGUAGCAUUUUGUGAUUUAGGUUGGUUUGGAAUUCAAAGAAUAGGCUCAAUCAAACAAUUAAGCACGAAAGUAGUUUGUCACAUGAUAUUGUCCUCGAUACUCCCCCGAGUAUACAUAUGCUCACCACCUUAUAUCCACUUCCCUCACCUUCCUUAUUUCUCAAUUUACUAAGGCCUUGUAUAGUAUUUAUGAAUACAAUCAUUUGAGCUCAUAAAAAAAUUAUUAUCUUUUUAUUUCUUUUUUGAACAAAAGUGAGCGUACUUUUUUUCCAGCUCACAUUGUUUUUAUUUUUCAUCGAGAUUUUCUCGAUUGACUUUUUGUCUUAUUUUAUACAAGUUCAAAAUCUUGUACUCAUUAUACCAUACAAUUCCUUAGUCACUCAAAUUUUUCCGUUUCCUUUGAAACCACUGAGAUUUAUCUACCUAAUCCCUCAAUAUCGAUGGUUGGACGUCUAAAUUCGUGCAAGAACUAAGAAAUAAAAGAUCAAGUAAAUUAUCUAUUAGGCUUAGGGUUUCAUUUUUGGCUCAUCAAGAAAAUGGAUUAAGGCUCAAAGUAGGUACUAGGGAAAAUAUUUAUGGGAUAUCUUUUAGGCUAAAAAAUUUCUACCAAACAAUGCCUUAGGUCCUCCCUAGGUAAUUAUAUACAUGGAUAAAAUAGGCCAAGUCUCUCAAUUUCUAAAACUUAUAAUUCAAUUAAAUAUACAUGCUAUUUAUAUACCUGUUUAUCAUGUGGUAUUGUAACACUUUCCACCCGACCCGAAUCACCGAGUCUGAAUAUAGUGGGGUCCACAUGACAAUCCUACUGUGGGGUAGUUAAAUUAUCAUAUCAUGAAAAGAACCACUGAUAGAGGUCGUAGGUCUUGUUUAGGGACCUUCUCCUACUCAAUUUUUUAAAAACAUGCAAGGUUUUUAAUGUUCAAUUUCAAUCAUGAAUGAAUAAUAUAUGCAUGUCAAGUACAUGUGACAUUCUUCCCUAAACUAUAUGACAUGCUUAUCAUACAUAUGCAUGAACAUACAUUCACAGUCAUAUCAAUAUCAUCAUGAUUAUCACAUAUAUAAAAGCAUAAAAAUUUAAAAGACUCUAACUAGCCAAAGUUUCCAUGAUUCCAUCCUAGAAAAAAUAAAAAAAAUUCACCUCAAAGCAUACUUUGGGUCUUCUAUUUUGUCACCAUGGACUUAUGGUACAGUACCAGUUCACGUUUUCAUUGUCAUUGUCUUUUUGCAGCCAUUUUUGUAUCACUGUCGCUGAACCGCCAUUACCGACCAUAGUUGGGUUAUCUCAAGUCACCGUCGAAUCGCCUCUAGCCACCGUCAUCAGCCUCCAUCGCUAACCCUUGUCGUCGAUCAUCACCAUUAGACCACCAGUAGUCGAUUGUUGCCAGACCACUAUUGGUCUCAUGCUAGUUUGGUUGGGUCAGGUUUGCAUCAUCUUGAUGGCCUAGAUACGUCUCAGUUCUCCUAGUUCCGUUGAAAAAUUUAGGUAACAAAAUUCCUAUGUCCGUUUCCAGCUCAAAUAUUUUAUUCUAAAAUAAUAAAAUUAAACCAUGCGUGAAGAUGAUAGUCCACGAUCAAAAAUAUACAUGCCCGAUAAAUCAAUAAAUUUAAUUUAAUUUUCUAGGAAUCACAACUUUGGCAAAUUUAUUUUAUCAUACAUAAUAAUAAAAUAAUAUCAUGAAUUCAUUCCUUUAGACAUGCAUACAAUUACAAGAAUGACACAUCUUAUCAAAAUAAAACUAUAAACAUAAUACAACCCGACACUCUGAUACCAAUUUUUGGAAAAAUAAAUCCUAUUCGAAAACGAUUUUCUUGCAUAGUGAAAAAAUUUGAAAAUCGUGCCGAUUUGUGAUAUUUAUAGCAAUAAACCCUUUACCAAAAUCGCACUUGUGUUUUUAGCUAGAUGAAUCCUUCUCAUUCUUGGCUUUUAAUUGAAUGACCUUCUUCGUUAUUCUCAUACCACAAACUGCUUUGAGUGUGGGCUUGAACAAUUUGAAUCAAACACAAAACCAAAAAUAGUUUCCUUAACUUUUAGUGUGAAAAUGAAAAUCUCUUCUCAAUAGAAAUUGGAAAAAAUUUUAUUUUAGAAAAUAGAUUUAAUAUUUGAGAAUUAACUCUCACUAUUUCCGGGCAAAGUAACAAUAUCUUUGAGUUUUAUUUUUAACCCUAUCGAUGCCAUCUAUUUAUAGGGAAAAGAAGUUAAACCUUUGUUGAAUUAUAGAAGUGUAUUUCCAGUAGAAAAAUGAAGUCCUAUUAUAACUAGAAUUAUAGGGGAUGACAACCCUAGUUAAUAAUACUAGGGAUUGUUGUCCUUCCCUUUAACAUGCGGGGCUUUUGGGCCUCUCUCAUAACAAGUUAAAUUACAAGUACUUCCUGAACUUUUAACCUACUACUUUAUAAUUCGAUCCAACCCGAUAUUUGUUUUUUUUAUUUCCCAAAAUAAAUAUAUCAAUUUAUUUCCAAUUAAAUAAUCUUCUAAACCCAAUUCUAAUUCUGUUAAAAUCACGACUUUACCGUAAAAGAAACUAUGAGAAAAUAUAUUUAAUAUUUCUACAUUUAAUGGGUUCACUAUGACCAAAUUAUUUAUUUCCAUUUUCAAACUUCAUUUAAUUCAAAAACCAUAAAUUCAUUUUCAGGUCAUUAUAUUUUGGAGAAAAUCACAUUCAUUUCCAAAUGUUUCUCAUUUCUCCAUUUUCACCAUUUCUAUUCAUUUAAUUCAACAUGCAAUUUAUUUAUGGUUUCAACAAUAUAGUGGAAAUAUUGAUUGGACACAUACGAUUAGGGCUCAAAUAAUUUAUAAUUAAGUCCCCCCUUUUCGCCUAUUAAUUAUAAAGUCAUUUAGUCACAAAGUCAUUUCACUAUAGUAUCGUGAUUGAGCUCUUUCCAACGGCAUACCAUUAUGAAAGCAACUACUCAGUGCUCGUCUAAUGACCUUGUCAUAAGUGUGUUACCCUUAUAAGAUAUCAUUAAUCUCUUUGGGAUAAUAUAUGUUCUCCCAAUAUGAUCGUAUUUUAUUUCAUGGUAAUCAUUACAUCUUCUUUCAUGAAAGGUCAAUCAUUAUCAAAUAGUGAUCAAAUCAUCCAUCACAAAGACGGAUGAACCUUGGCCACGUUUAAUUUUCAUCAACUAUGUAAUGCCAAUGAGAGGGUAUCAUUUACCCAUGUUUUGGGCUAUGAAUUCCACAUUUGUGAAUCACUCUACAUACUACAGAAGUCGUACACCCAACACACCAGCUUUCAGUUCCUUAUAUAUUUGAACUCAAACUUUUACUUACAUCAAAGUAUACGAGUCAUACAUACAUAACCCGUCAUUCACUUAGGAUUUAGGUAUGCCACACUGUAAACAUCACAACUAAAUAAAUACAUAAACGAAUUCAGGAUGUAUUCUUCUUCGGUCCAGUCCAAUGUACUAUCAUUCCAGUUAGUCACAUCUAUGUCUCUAUCUUUUGGGAGUCAUCCACUUUGAUGCCCAAGACAAAACAUCUCCCCAAUUGGACUUGAUAGAUGGUAUAUUAGUCUUUUAAUCGGUUUUGCUCAUUUCUAAUUAGACUAAGGACAUGUUUAGGUUCAUCUACUAAUAUAAGUUUUCUUUUCGUAUUACAAUACCACCACAUAAUACCGCUUAGUAUUAGUUUAAACAUUAGACAACUAGUGAGCCAAUAUUUGCUUCUAUUUUAAUUUGCAUGCAGAAACCACAUAAGGAAAAUUAUACAAAAUAAUAUUAAUGUAAUUCAUAAUUUUUUGUUAAUCAAUCUGUUUGAAAAAAAUACAAGUUUACAAACGAAUAUACUACACCCGUGGCAUGAGAUCCAACACUUCCUUCUUUUUCGUGUAACUAGGAAUGUUGAAUUUUUUCGACCUUAAAUCCAUACCUCUAAUCCUAAACUUCCCUGGCACCUUGUCUUCUCUUUUUCUUUUUGGGAAUUAUUGCUUCUUAGGAAUGCUGUCACCUUUAAUUGCAAUGCUAGGUAUGGUAGAAUUAGGGAGCGAGCUUUGGUUGGGGCAUGUGAAUUCUUUAUUGUAUCACUAGCUUUGAAGGUAAAUACCCACCCUUUUCAAUGAUGGUUAAUUGGAAGUCGCCUCGUCAAAGAUGGAAAAAGCACAAUACCAAUGCAUCAUCACUUGGCAAUCCCAGUAAAAUAGUGGCGGGGACAAUUAUCUGAGAUCAUGUUGGUGGUUUGGUUAUAAGAAGUUAUCGAUAUAUCCCCAAAGCUAACAUCAUCAAGGCUGAGUUGCAUGUGUUGUGAGAUGGCCUUAAACUUGUUGUUGAUUUGAAAAUCUCGCAUUUAGAAAUAGAAGUCGAUUGUACUGUUGUUGUUUCUUUUAUUUCUAGUAUGCUUAUUACUAAUCCUUUUGAUAUGUUGAUUAAUGAUUAUAGUUUGCUCUGUGCUUCUAUCCCGAAUACUAGAAUCAAACAUAUUUUCAAAGAAGGAAAUUAGAGUGUUGAUGCCGUAACACCUUAUACCCGACCUGAUCGCUAGGUUCGGGUACUAAGUGUCACAAUCAACCCAAUAUACUUAACAAUAAUUCUAUAUUGAUUUACUUUCAACUUUUACAUUCUAAGAUAGGUUUCUUAUAUAUACAUAACUUCACUCCAAUCUUGUAACAUCCCGAUUUAGAGCUUAGUCGGAACAGUGGUUUCGGGACCACAAAUUUGAUGAGGAAAAAAUUAUUUUUACUAUAUUUUUAUGGCCUACAAUUUCACGGAAAGAUUUCUUGAAAAUUUCGUUCAAAAAUUUUGACGUUUGGGCACUCAAUUUAGUCAAAAGGACUAAAUUGUAAAAAGUGUGAAAGUUGAGUUUUAUAUGUUAAAGGUAUUUAAUUGUUAUGGAACUAUAAAUUAGGGGUCCUUAUAUGGUAAUUAUACCAUUAGUUAGUGAUGGAAAAAAAUGGACAUGAGAUAAGUGAAAUAGGAUUUUUUUUAAGUAAGGGCAUUUUAGUCAUUUAGUAAAUAAAUAGAAUUAAAAGGGAAAAAGAUGUAAAAAUUGUAUUCAUCAUCUUUACUUGCUGCUGAAAUUUGAAAGAAGCCAUAGCUAGGGUUUCUUCACUUUCUCAAGCUCAUAGUAAGUGAUUUCAAGUCCCUUUUUAAUGUUCUUUAUGUUUUUGGAAUCCCGGUAGCUUAAUUUAGCUUAUUUUAGCAAUAAUUUAACCUAGGGUUCAUAUUUGGAAAAAUACCCAUAGGUGAAAUAUGUUUAUUUUGAUGUUUUAUGGUAGAAUAUGAAGUUAGGAAUUAUGUUAAACAACUUUUUCUAGUCGAUUUUAAGUGAAAACGAGUAUAUUGACAUAAUCGGCAAAAAUACCUAAUGUUCAUAAGUAAGUGUUAGAGUAAGAAUUUGAUGUUGUCAUAGAAGGAAAAAAUUUUCAGCAUGUUAUAAAACAUAAUAAUAAGAUAUGAAGUUUAAUUUAUGAGCUUUGGGGCAAAAGUGUAAAUAUGCAAAAGUUUAGGGGCAAAACUGUAAUUUUGCAAAAAUUGAGUCAAGGACUGUUUUGAUGAAUGUGAGUAUUAAAUACGCCAAAUUUGCUAUUAUAGAUCAAGAAGAACGAAUCCGGAGCUAGAUCGGGGAAAGAAAAAGAUUGAGGACUAAAGUGUUAGAUUUGAUCACAUUUUUGAAUUCGAGGUAAAUUUACGGUAAAUAAAUGCAAUAUUUCAAUAAUUAUUAUUAAUACUGCUAUUUUCCAACAAUUAUGUACUUAUUUUAUGAAAUUAUUUAAUGUUGACUUAAGAAUGAGAUGACAGAGAAUCAGUGAUAAAAGCCCCGUUGAAACAUAAGGAAUGUAUCGGAUACAAAUGUCAUGACAUUUGGAUAAAGAGAUCUCAUGUAAUACCAUGUCUGGGACAUGGCAUUGCCAUCAUUGAGAUUAUGUGAGGUCCCAUGUAAGACCAUGUCUGGGACAUGGCGUUGGCACCGAGAUGAGAGGUCCCUCGUAAGACCAUGUCUGGGACAUGGCAUGGGCACCAAUAUGAGAACUCCCAUCUAAGACCAUAUCUGGGAUAUGACAUUGGCAGUACUGGAAACAUCUCAUGUAAGACCAUGUCUGGGAUAUGGCUUUGGCAUGUUAUUAUCAAAUAUCAGACCCAAGUAUCCUUAUUAUUCCAAUGUGGCUCAACGGGCUAGAAAACAAAUUAUGUUCUAUGUAAGUUCAAGUAAAAGUAUAAUUAGCAGCUUCAGGUGAGUUAUAAGAGUUAAGAAUAUAUUAUGUUAUCAGUGAGAACCAAUAUUUCAGCAAGAGAAGAGUAAGUUGUAAUCUAAAGCUAUCUAAGCAGGUAAGUAAGUAAACAAGUAAAUGAGAUUAAGUAAAGAGAAAGCUUAAGAACAUGAUACUUGCAUAUCAUUAUUUAUGUUAAAUGCUGUUAUUUAUUUACUUGUAAACUUACUAAGCUUUAUGCAUACUUCUUUUAUUUCUUUUUUCUUUCAUAUAGUAUUAUCAAGCGUAGUCGGGAUCUUGAAGACGUCGGAGAGCGUUCACACUAUCAACCACCACAACUCGGUAUUUUAAGACGAUAAAUGUUUCGAGCUAUGGCAUGUAUAGGGACUUGGUCAUUUCGAUUUUAUAUUCUUAAGAUAUGACCAAAAGAUGAUAUGUAAAUAUUUGAUGAUGAAUAGUUAUUAAAAUGACUAAGUAUGAACGUGUUUGUUGUUAUAAAUGUCUAGGUGAUAAAUUAUGCAUAGAAAUCAUGAAAAAGUAAAAAAAAAUGUUAGCGAAUCAGUUUUGAGACAACAGUAGUGACGUGAUUUUGAAAAAUCACCAAGAAUAGUAGAAAAUGAAUUAGAGGGUGGAUGAGAUAUAGAAUUAAAGCUUAUUGAGUCUAUUUUAUAUAAAAAUAACACUGUAGACAAAGGAAUUAUGUAUUAUGAGAUAUUUGCAUUUUAGUUAGACAAGGUCAAAGUGGUUUUCGGAAUCUCCUGUUCUGACUUUAGAAAAUCAUUAAAACUUGUACAAAAAUAGUUAUGAAUUGUAAUUUAUAUGUCUAGAUUUAUUAUUGAGUGUAUCUUCUGUAGGAACAAGUGGGAACACCAUAUGAAGUCUGUAAAAUGAGAUAAUUAAAUUUUAGUGAUGAGAGGUCAGGACAGUCGAUCAGUGAAGUAGGGGAGACUUUAACUAAUAAAAUAUACUAAUUGGAUAAAACCAAAAAUUCUGAAAAAUUUAUGGUAAAUAUAUAUAUGAUUCUAGUUUUAGGGAAAAUUUAUAGAUCUAAAUUUCAGGUUUCGUAGCUCGAGUUAUAAUUGAUUUAGUAACUACUGCGCAAGUGGACAACUUUGUUGUGAAUAGUGAAAUUAAUUUCAAAAGUAAAAUUUUAUUCCCCGAACUUUUAAGUUAAGUCAAGUAACGCCUCAUGCUCGACUCCGGCAACCGUCUCGGGUAAGGGGUGUUACAAAUAUAUUUAGUUAACAUGUUAAAAAAUAUCACUACAGAUAAAAUUUCUACUAUUUCUAAAGUUCUUAGUAUCAAAUUACCUUAUUGAGCAGGUUUAAGUUUAUAAGUGUACAACAACUUGGGAAUUAAAACUUCUAUAAAAGCCUUCUAUAAAAGCCUUCUUAUUCGAACCCCGAGGCAUAGCCUCUAAGGGUGCCUCUUUAAAUGCAUGUACAACUAUGGCACCAUUUGCGUAACUUCACAACGUUUGGCAUAGUCCCUUCCUAACCCUUGAAUCAUUCUUUAAUCCUGCAUACAAAACAGUAAAAUCAUAAGUUUUGAUGAACUUAGUGAGAUUCUAUACAUCAGAAAUUAAAGGCUCUCAAAUUUUGGGUAAAUAAGAAUAAGAGUAUAGAAUUUAAAACUCCUUAGCAAAACUUAGGAAUUUUGUAGUAACACUAGAGUAGCUAAUGCUCAUGUCUUCUUUGAACCAAUCAUUGGCGGAUAUAACUGCUGAUCUGAUCAUAGGUGCACUCUUUCAAACAACCCAUUUCUGGGGCCCAACCUUGUCUAGCUCCAUCUUAGGCUCCCAUUUUACCUUUCUGGCUCGACUAAUCAAGGUUCCAUAUACACGAAUAUGCGAUUUGACAACUACUUUUGGUGGACUAUCAGGUAUCUCACCAUAACUGUGGAUCCUUACCCUAAUCUCUUCGUUCCACCCUGAACUCAAAAUAGGCUUACUACAUUACCCCGAUAAUUUUCUUUUUAUGACUUAUCCUGUGCUUAAACCCUUAUUCUAAGGAAGACCCAUAUACUGAGAAUCUCAUUUGCUAUCUUGAAUUUGAGAUUUGGCUGAUACAUGAUCACCUUGUUCUUUGCAGACUUGUACUCGUCAAUAAUCUCGGAAGACUUUCCUAUUUCAGAUCGUUCUAUUAAAAUACUCCCAGUAACAGAUAGUUCCCUACGAAGUAUUUCUUUCUUAGAUUUCCCUUGGCAGGCUUUCACAUUUGAUAGUCCUAAGAGGACUUCCCUGCUCUAUACAGUCAUGAUAGACUUUCGUUUCUUCUAUUAUUUCCCGAUGGACUUUCUACUUCAGAUUGUCCUUGGUGUUUUUCUUUCUUAAGAAAGUCCUCGAUGGACUUCCCUCUUAUUCUAGCAACCUCUUUACCCAUGAAUACUUAGGAUUAAUAUUUGCAGAAUCAUCUCACUUUAUUACAACAAAAAACUUGUUUACUUAUCGAACUUUGGUGGACCUUUAUGGUGGAUACCUAUUUGCCAAUACUUUGAAGGAAUUCCUCUUUCCUCUCACAUAUACCCUUGUUAAGACAUUUUUACCAGUUCUACUUACCUUCGCAUUUUUGAGGAUUCUCUUAUUAUCAUGUUUGCCCGUGUUCGCAAAUGCACGAUGCUCAUUUUGUUAGACUUCUUGUCGCGCGAAUCAUACAGUGAUUUCCCUUUUUUUGUGCCUUGACAGGUUUCCUACUUACUAUCCUGGGAGACUCCAUUUCACCAUAAAGUCUACCUGUUCACCACUAGAUUAUGUCAUGGCUAACCAUGGACUUUUGAUUUUGAAAAAUUAGUAAACCCCUUUCAAAAUGUCGUCUCAUAGGGCCUGUAUGUCAUUUACACAGUGUCGCCUUGAAGGACCUAUAUAUUGUAGUCAUGGUGUCACCCUAAAGGACCAUUAGAUAAUCGUCAUCACAGUGUCGCCCCAAAGGACUAGUAGAUAAUUGUUAUCACAGUGUCGCCCCAAAGGACAAGUAGAUAACUGUCGUCACAGUGUCGCCCUGAAGGACCAGUACAUAUCUGUUCCACGAUGCCACUAAACUCCCUUGUAUCCCAUAACAAUUCAUCAAUUCCUUCAUUACGCUAAUUUUUCCUAUCUUCAUCCAACCGUCAUAAUAACUCCUUCCAUACUUCUCAUUUUAAAAACAUGUUUUUUUCACUUAUUACUAUAACAUAUAACAUGCCAUAUUUCAAUACAUCAAUAUUGGUCUGCUGCAAUUUGUUAAAGCAGAUUAAACCAUUUUUCGUACUUAAAGAGCUUGAAUAAAAGCAAUUUCAUCAUGUUUUACUUAGCUUUUCACUUUUAGUUAUGAAAUAAUAAAGAGUGUGAUUUGAGUCAUUUAUAUGACUUUAGGGCCAAAAUAGGUUAAAAGAAGACUAACGUGUUUGGUGAGUGUGCAAGACAUCAUUCAGAUGUAUGGAAACACAAGACUAGUCACCAUGUUCCAACAUAGAGGUUCGACGUCGCAACAUAGUGAGAAGUAUAACCAAAAUAACAAGACUGCCUUUAGUGUCGUGACACAACCUUGAAUUUAAGCCUGAGCCAAGUAAACUACAACCAAUGUUACGACAUAGGGCAGAUGAUGUCGUGCCACCGGCCUGAUGUGAAGAAUUAAUGAGUUGAUGGUGUUUUGGUCUACACAAUGAACUUUAACAUAAAAACGUCAGUCAAACUAGGGCUAUGAACGAUAGCCAACCUUAAAUUUGUAAAUAGGUUUCACUAAACACUUCUUAGACAACUUUUCUAUAUGUUUAAACUUUUAUUCUAGUUUAGGUUACAAAUUUUAUUUACUUUUCAAUUUUUACUCCUUUGUAAUUAGGAUUUCUUUUCAAUUUUAUUUUCACUUUUGUUUGACGGAGAAUCUGGUUGGUAGAUUCAUCAAACUCUUAUUAAAAAAAAUGUUACUUUCCAACCUCCUUAUAUGCAAAUACGCUAGUAGAGGGCCAAACCAAGUGACCAUACUGUAUGUGGUCAAAGACUGGAUUGAAUUGAGGGAGAGAUACAGUCAAUGCAAACUGAAGUGAAUCAGGUGCAAUUUAAGUGCACCUAAAUGAUAAAAACAUUGACAAGACUAGAAGAUCAGAUGAGCCAAUUGAUAAGCAUGAUGGGGAAUAACAAAAGGAAAAUUGACACCGGGAUCCCAAGUAGUAUUGAGAAUAAUCCUCAGAGAGAAAGGAAGGAGCACAUUAAAGCAAUUGUGCUCUAUUUGGGCAAAGUACUCAGUAGCCCAAAGAACCCAACUCAAGAGGAGUGCAAGAAAGAUGUCGAUGAUUUUUGAGAAGAAGCUCCUUGAAAUGAUGAUGCUGAACUAGAACCAAAAAAGGUAGUCGAGCCGACAACUAAGUCGGUAGCUGAGCCAAAUAGAGAACCCGCACCAACCAAGGUACCAUUCCCUUCACAGUUAGAGGAUAAGUGGAAACAGGAUCAAGCGAAAUUUGUAAUUUUUCUAAAAUUAUUCAAGUCGUUUAAUGUUAACUUACCUCUAAUGGAAGUAAUUGAAAAUUUUCCUAAAUACUCCAAGUACUUAAAAGAAUUUAUGGCUAGGCGUAUGAAAAUUAAAACGGAGAGCAAGCUAAUAUAAAUGCAUCAUGUAGUGUGAUGAUUUCUAAAUAGAUACCCCAAAAACUGAAAGAUCCAGGGAGUUUUGCAAUUUCUAUAGAGAUAGGGGAUAUUCACUUUAAUAAGGCUCUAUGUGAUUUAAGAGCCAAUAUAAAUUUGAUGCCCUUAUCGAUAUACAAGAAACUGAGGUUAGCGGAACUUAAAAACACACAUAUCACACUACAAUUAACUUCUAGGUCUUCGGUAAAAUGAAAAGGAGUACUUGAAGAUAUGUUGGUUAAGGUGUGUAGCUUUAUAAUCCUGGUCGAUUUUAUAAUUAUGGACUUUAAGGAAGACCAUGAGAUACCUAUUAUGUUAGGUAGACCAUUUUUAGCCAUGACAAGGUCUGCCAUUAAUCUAGAAAAUAAUGAGUUAAUCAUGAAAAUCAAUGGCGAGAUUGAAGUAUUCAAAUGCGGUCACCAGUAGAAUGAGGGAAGUAGGGAAAAGUUAGGGAAAACAUGUUUUGAAAUAUUUGUAAACAUCCCUAAUUACCUUGAUUUGGAAAAGGUAUUUUUUUGUGAUAAGUGCAGGUCAAAAGAGAUUCAAGGAGCGGACCAAGGUGGAGUGGCAUGAUGGAUUUUGGACCAACACAGAUAGAAGAUCGAUUAAAGGGACAUCUAAGAAUACACUGACUAAGCUAACGGACGAAUCCGACAACAAUACUUGAUAUUUUUAAAUUGAGUUAAUUUUUUUGUGUAUUAUUGCAUUUUAAUAGACUUAUGGGUAGUUUAAGAAUUAAUUUUAUUUAACCUAUCUAAAAAUAUGUUUUGAACAUUUUGAAACUCGAGAAGAAGGGCCAAAACAGAGCCGAUGUUGCAAUACGAACCUGACUGCCUCCGGACGUACCAACAUCCAGAGUUUGAAUACUAGAACUAAAAUAUAUGGAAUUAAGGUAGUGUCCGCAAGUAUACGGGUCAGGUUGUAAUAUAAAUACAACGAAGAAGGUAACUUCUCCGAGGAUUGUACCCAAUGGAGGCGAGUACUAAAUUAAUGUCAACCUAAAUACAAAUAGAAGUAAUUAGUGGUUUAAAUAAAUUAUAGUAUGAUAAAACAUAAAAGAAUUUUUUUUGGGAUUUUAUAAAGAAUGAAAUAAAAAUAACAAAAGGAAAGUGAGCUUUAGAAAUAUAAAUUCUAACUUAAUCAAAUCUAAGUAUGGGUGAUUAGUUCACUUUGGUGAUCAUAACUAAUUCCUAUUUCAGGUUUCUACUUAAUCAACUAGUUGCUACCCUAGAAGGAUCUCUCGAUCUUCCACUAGACUAACGAGUUGGAAAGAACUAAUUAUCUCUCGACUUUACAGUUCAAAUCGAUUUGGGGUAAAGGUGUUCACGGAUAGGCCAUACCAAUUUUGGGUUAAUUCCCACCUAAAUUACUUCCUAGGGUCUCCAAGCCUAAAGUUUAAGUUCUUCCUCUCCCUAACAGCUGAUCCACUAUGAAAACCCUACAUAGCAAUUAAUGAAUCACACCUCCACCCACUAAUCCCCCAUAAAAGGAUUAGUUCCUUGUGGAUCUCAUGUACACAGUAAUCUUGAUAAUAAAGAUAAGCAUGAAUAAUGAAUCAAGAUAAAUUUUUAAGAGAACCCUGAAUUGUAUUGAUUGAAGUAUAGAAUCUAUAGCAGUUUGAUCACAGUUACAAGUCACGUUCUCUGACGAACACGGAAUAGAAUAGAACUGAAAUAAACCUAACACCUAAAAUAAAGGAAAAAAUAAAGACUAAAUUUACAAGGAAAGUAAAAGUUGUCUAAAAUAAGUGUUUUAAGAGCCUAUUUAUAGAGUUAGGGUUGCCGUCGUCCUCAACCUUAGGUCAGCUGACGUUCUUGUGUUUUAAUUUCCAUUGUGCAGACCAAAAUGCCUCUGAUGUCGUGACACCCUAGUUCUUGUGUCGGGACAUCAAAGGUAGUAUGCAUGGUUCAAGGCUAACUUCAGUAGUGUGUCGUGACAUCUCUUGGCUAUGUUGCGACAUCCAAGGUAGUAUAGUUGUUCUAGUAUUCUGCUCCCUAUGUUGCGACAUCGAAUCCCCGUGUUGCAACAUAGCGACUAGCUUUGAGUUUCUAUGCAUUUGAAUGAUCUCUUGCACACUUAGUAAGUACGUUAGCUCACAUUUAGGCCUCAGUCGGCCCCUCAGGUAAAUAAAAGACUCAAAAUGCAGUUUUUAUUGAUUUAACUAAACUAAGAAAACACAUGUAAAACAUACUAAAAUUUCUCAUCUUCAAGCUCCUCAAGUGUGAAAACUAGUUUAAUAUUCUACACCGAAUUACAAUAGAUCAAACUUUCCUACACUUAAGUCAUUGCUUGUCUUCAAGCAAAGCAAGACAUAAAUAAAAACAUAAAAGAAUACCCUUGAAAAAGUAUAGUACAAAGAUUGGUUUUGGAGUACAUAACUAGGCAUUUUCAUGUUUACACAUAAUCCUGAAAUGAUAUAUAAACAACUUACUGAUAACUCUUGAAAAAAGUUAUAUCUCAUGCUUUUAGACCUAGCUAAUUGCUUGUACUUAAGUACAUUUUGUUGCAUUUUAGAACAUUUUAGUUAGCAUUUUUAAAUAUUGCAUUAGGACUUGGAUUGUGUUGGAAUUAGGUGCUUUUAAUCGCUUGUAGUGGAGUUUUUUUUAACUAGUAGGAACAUGUUUUUGAACGAGAACAUAAAGGAGUGAAGUUUUUUCAAGGCAAAGUACAGACAGUUUGCCAGCGCGGAUGCCGUUACAAUGCCAGGAAGACCAAGUCAACAUUUUUCGUACUGCAGUCUCGGUUCAAAUUCAAACUUGUACCAAAUAAAUCCCCCUAAAAUAGGAGAAGAUAAUCAUAAGUUGUUAGCCAACCCUAGCCUAAUCUAUCUAUAAAUACCGAUGAAGGGGACCUCACAAAUGACAAAAAAAGGAGAGAGAGAUCCUUAGGCAUAAAUAAGGGUAUGACUGCGCAAAGGAAAGGAAGUUGAAGGUAGUCCUUCUUAGCCAUCAUAGGAUGCUUUGCUGCCAAAGUGUGGAUUGGGCAUGCAAAAGUUAUUUCUUGAAGUUCUUCCGUUAUUUCCAUUAGUGUUCCUUUGAAAUAGUGAAUUAAAGUAGUGGAACGCAAUGUCGGAUAAUGUUUUCGUUUGGAAUUUUAUUUCCCAGCCCAUGAGUUAAAUCCCAUAGGGUUGGGAUUACUUUCGAUGAAACUUUAAUUGUUUAUGGUGCAAUAUAUAUUUGAUUUAUUUUUCUGUUUCAUUUGAUUGUUUUUAUUUCGUAAUUUAAAUGCAACGAUCUCUAGACAUAGAAGGCUAUCGACAUACUAUAAACUGAUUCUAAUUCUAGAAAGGCUGGAAUGGUUGGAUAAAAAUUAAAUGAAAUGAGCAAGUAUUCGAUAGACACUUGUAGUUGACUCUAGACAUAGAGUCACAAUCAUAAAAUAGGAACCCAUGCAAGAUAUCUAAAAAGCCUAUAGACACAGGCAAGGUAACUUGAGGUUUUGCUCUCGCGAGAGGCAAGCCAUUUUAUAACUCUUCCGUGUAGUAAAGUAGAUACGAUUUUGCCAAGGCAUUACUGACAGUAAGGGUCAAGUCUGGGUAAUCCCGACCUUCCAUAUCAAUAACACUCUAUCCUUAUUCUUUGUCGUAGUAUCUCUGCCACAACAUAUUUAGUUGUUUAUUUCUGUUCGGAUAAUCACUCUCGUUAUUGCCAUUACAUUUCUACUUUCACUUUUGCCAUUACAUUUCUACUUUCACUUUUGCCAUAGCAUUUCCAAUCACUCAUCAAUUUUCAUCUAUCGCAUACUUUACUGCAUACUUACCUUAGUUUACCAUUCAUCAAUCUUAUCAUAGCAUUAACCAGAUUAUAAUAACUUGACAACUUCUGUGCCUCGAUCUGGUCCUCAUGGGACCGGUACUCACUCAUCACUUUAUUACUUAAACUGACGUGUAUACUUACACAAAAUCACAUAUCAUUUUACACGUGACACUUACCGCUCCUAAUAUUAACCACCUAAGUUCAGUAUAUUACAAAGUACACAAGUAUUAAGGUUUUCAAAUAUAUGCAUCCAUCAACAAAUCAUAUAUGUAAUUUGAUUAUCCUAGCAAAAUAUAAACAAUCGUGAAAGCAAUUACUUAGUAUGAUGUCAAUUGAUCAUUAAGUCUACCUAGGUCACAUAAGACUUUUCGGCUUCUAUCGUUCUGAAGCUUAGGACGGGUAUGGAAUUCAAGAACAAGAAGCAUUGAUUACCUCUAGACGUACCCACGUCCAGAGUAGAAAUCCUGCACAGAAUAUAUGAAAAACGCGAUAUCCGUAAGUAUACGGGUUAGGUUGUAAUACAGUUACAACAGAGUAGAAGAGUAGUCUGAGGAUCGUAACCAAGGGAGGCGAACACUAAAUUAAUUCUAACCUAAGCAUAAAUAGAUCUAGUUAUUACUUUAAAUAGAUUACAUUACGAUAAAGAAAAAAGAAGGUUUUUAUGAUCUAUACUAAUAAUAAAAUAAAUAAAUAAGCUCAGGAAAUCAAAUAAUAAAAUCUAUCAAAUCUGGGCAUGGGUGAUUAGCUUGCUUCAGUAAUCAUAACCAACUGUUACUUCGGAUUUUCUUAUUCCAUCGACUAGUCAAUAUCCCAGUAGGAUCUUUCGAUCUUCCACUAAAAUAAUGAGUUGGUAACAACUACUUAUCUCUCGAGCUCACAGUCCAGACCAGUUCAGGGUUAAGGUGUUUACGGAUAGACCAUAACAAAUUUGGGUUAAUUCCCACCUUAAUGACUUCCUAGGGUUGUUAGGCCUAGGGUUUAGGUUCUUCCUUUCUUGAAUAGUUGAUCUGCUAAGAAAACCCUACAAAAUAGCUAAUCAAUCAUACCUCCAUGCACUAAUCCCCCAUAGGAGGAUUAGUUCCUCAUGGAUCUAAUAAACAAUAUAAACUUGAUAAAACAAAGUAACCAUGAAUAAUAAUUCAAGAGUAUAAAGUUUAGUAGAAGCUUGAUUUGUAUUAGAAUUGAGCACAAAAUCCUCACAGGGUUUGAUUGUAUUUCACAAAUUUGAUCUCUCCCAAAAAAGCAAAUAACAAGAACUAAAAUUAACUUAAAACCUAAUAAGGGAAAAACUAAAGACUAAAUCUAGGAAGAAAAUUAUACAAUACAAAAGCCCUUCCCUAAUAUGUGCAAAAUGAGCCUAUUUAUAGACUUUAGAAUAGUCGUCGUCCUUAACCCUAGGCAACUGCUGUCCUCGUGCUUAACAUUUGAUUAUGUAGACCAAAAUGCCCUUAGCUCGUAAUUAUUUCCCGAACAAAGGUGAUGUCGAGAUAGACUAGGUCUUGUGUCAUGACAUCGAGGGUAGUAUGCUCAUUUUCCAGGUAUCUUCAGGGGUGUGUCGCGACAUCCUCAUGCUGUGUCGUGACACUGAAAGAAGUCUUAGAAUUCUUCUACUCUGCUUCCUAAGUUGUGACAUACAAUGCUCUGUGUUGCAAUACAUCGACCAGUAUCGAGUUAGCAUGCCUUCAUGCUCAUAAAGUAUAUUAGCUCACCCUUAGAUGUCUUUCGCCCUCUAAGGUUAAUAAAAGACUCAAAUUACACACUUUAGUAAAUUUAACUAAAUUUACAAAAACAUAUUUAAAACUUAACUAAAAUGCUUAUGUUCAAGCUCCUAAAGUGUGAAAACUAGUUUAAUCUACUACAUCGAAUUACAACAGAUCAAACUCUUCCACACUUAAAUCAUUGCUUGUCCUCAAGCAAAACAAAAAAAAAAGUAAAUGAAAAGACGACCCUUGAGCAAGCAUGGCAGAAAUGUUAGCUUUGGAGCAUAUGAAUAAGCAUUUCAUAUUCAUACAGAAUAUUGGCAUGAUAUAUAGCUGACUUACCACUUUUGAUAUCAAGGACCUAUGUUCAGUAUAUUACAAAGCAUACAAGCAUUAAAGGUCUCAAAUGUAGGAAUCCAUCAAUAAAUUAUAUAAGUAAUUUGAUUAUCCUAGCAGAAUACAAACAAUCAUACAUGCAAUUAUUUAGUAUGAUUUCAAAUUGUGAAUAAGUCUACCUAGAUCACAUAGGGUUUUUCAGCUUGUAACAUUCCAAGGCUUAAGAUUGGUAUGGAUUUCAAUAACAAUAAGCAUCAAAUAGUUUCAAGCACAAAAAUAGUUUGGCACAUCGUAUUGUCCCAUAUUCUCCCUUUUAGUGACCCUUUCCUGCUCACCGCCUUAUUUCUCCUUCUCUCCUCUUUCUUUUAUCUCCUUAUAGUAAACCUUAGCAUCAUAUAGUAACUACAACUAGCUCACGAGUUUUUGUGCAAUAAUGAUCAAGUUUUUCUAUAGUUGUGACUUUGUCACUUUUCUUUCCUUUUCAUAGUACCUCAUUCAUAAUUGUUUCUAUUUUUCACGUAUUCUUUUCCUACUCGUUUAAAUUUUUUUUUGAAUAUAUCUUUUUUUUAUAGUUUUAAGCUAACCUAUAAUCACUAUACUCUACUAAUCUUUCAUAUCACUUUAUUUUUACAAAGCUACCAUAAUGUAUCUAUUUAACCCUCAAUAUGUAUGGCCAGACGUCUAUAAUCAUGCAGUUCAAGACUAAAGAAAAGGGUAAGCACAAAUCAUCGCUUUUAUCUCACAUAUUGUAUAGAGGUUCAUCAAGAAGUGUUUUCUGGCUCAAAAUAGAUACUAAGGAUGAAUAAAUAGGGUUAGCUUUUUGGCUUUGGGUGUAUACCAAAGAAUGCCUUAGGUCAUCCCUAGGUUUCUGAAUAUUCCCAAAUUUAGUCAACCAAACAAUCACAAAUUCAAUAAUUUAUCAUUCAUACUAGCAUUCUCGUUUCCUAGUAUUCUCUAUGUCAUUUGGUACAAUCAAUUGCUUCAUACCUAUUUACAAUGUAAUAUAUAGAACUUAAUAGUCUAAUAAUAAAAAAUUUAAAAUCACUUAUCCUCAUGCCAAAUUUACUAUAAAUACAAUCAACCUAUGUACAUGCUCCUAACCAAUCACUUGUACUUUUACAAGCUCAAGCACACAAAUGAUAAGAAAAAUCGAAGAAAAAAAAAAAUUAAAAAAAAUCUUCUAUGUUACCCCCCACACUUUAGAUAACUCAUCAUCCUCAAUGUGUAGCCCUGAAAAAAAAUAAGGAACAAAGUUACCCUAUUGAUCGUGAUAGUUUCAUAGACUAUUGGUGGGUACCUCUGUAAACUCGAAAUUAUAUAGGGUUUUUCUAUAUAAUUUUACCACCUUUUUACUUAAUUAUUUUGUUUAUCUUGAGUAAUUAUUAUUGAAAUAGGUUAAUUUUAAUUAAUUAGUAAUUUUGAACAUGAAUUUUGAAAGUAUGUGAAAUUAUGCUUAAUUACAUUAUUUUUAUGCAUAUUUUAUAUGAAUUCAUGUUAAUUUAUUAAUGUAUUUAUUUUUCACCAUGUAGAAGGUCCAUUGGAGACAUGAUUUAAAUAAAUAAAAGAUGGUCAUGCACAAACUAUCCAUAUGGAUGGCAAGACCAUGCAAUUUUGGGCAUGGGGUUGACUAUUUGACCCAGUAAGGAAGAUGAUGAAUGAUGUACAUAUUUGCUAAGUUAUUGGACUGAAAAAAGUUGUCAAACAAGGGGAAUUAAAAGCCCAAUUUCAGCAAUAGAAGAUGGCUACCAAAAAUAUGUUUUGAAAUAUUUAAUGGAAGGUCCUUACAGUUGGAAAAUAAUUAGAAUUCAGCCCAACAACUUCCCUAUUGAAACCGUACACUACAUAGCUAUUUUUAUCUUGAAUUUAAAAUUCAAAUUGAGAAGACUUGGUCAUCCAUUUUCCUUGAAGCAUGGUCGACCACAUAAGAAAAGGAAGCAAGAGAAUUUAAACCUAUUUUUAGUAAAUACCUUGUCAUCCCUCACUUCUAAAUCGUUCCUUAUCACUCAACAUUUCUCUCUCAUUCUCAAUAGUUUUCUCUCAAUUUCUUCUCUCUUUUUCCCUUGCAUAGCCAUUCAUACCCUCUCCAAUAUCUAGCUUCAAAAGCUUUUUCAAAAGCAAUAUUUAGUCGACUACCUUCUAAACCCUUAAAAAAAACCUUCAAUCAGAACGAAGGAGCGCUUCAGUCAAAAUAGAUCCGAAAGGCUGCUGAACUGAGUCUACUCUUUCCUCUUGUCAUUUAUUUUAAACUUGUUUGCUUUGAGUUUUAUGUUUUUAACAUCAAAUAUGAAGUUUUAAUUCCUAUAUUCUAGAAUGAUUAUAUUAAUUUAAUGAGAUUUCUUUAAUUCAUGUUAACAUGUUUUGUGCUUCAGUUGAUUAUGUUUUCAAUUAAUAUCAUGAUGCAUUUCAUUCAUACAUGAUUGGGUGCACUUAAAUUAGAUGAGCAAUCCUAACCAGAUGACGACUAAUAGACGCAUAAUUGAAAAGUGCAAUGCUUAAUUUAGGUCAUUAAAACCGACUAAGUUAAGGUUCAUAAUAUCUUUAGUUAGCUUUAUUAUCUUGCAUGGUUUUUAGAUUUAUGUAAUUGCAAAUGUAAAUAUCCAUGUGACUUUGCAUAAAUGCCAAGAAACCCUUAGUCUAAUAUGAUCAUUAACAUGCAUAUUUAACUAAGUAAAAGAUCUGAGAGGACUUAAUUUGGUUUCCGAACCCAUACGAGAUCAAGUUGCCAUGGAAAUAAUUUCGAGCAUGUUAGCAUGAUGAAAGUAAGUUGAUUUGAUUAAUAUAAUUAUCCUAGCCCAUUUAAUGUUGAUUGUUUUUGUUGCUAAAGCUCUCAUUUCAUACAUUUAGGUAAAUUACAUCUAGAUUAAUUUUGCAUUAGGGAUCACUCUUACAUUUAAUUUAUCUAAUCAUCACUAUCAAAUUUAUUGAGUUUUUUUACAUCAAAUUGUUAAUUAUAAUUUUGCAAUUAAUUGUUUAAGCUUAUAUAGUCCCCGUGGAGACGAUAACUCAUUUGUACUUACUUAUUACUUGAACGACUAUGUACACUUGCGUAAACGUUACAAUUCAUUACAACCUCCUCCUUUGAUCAUUGAUAGUUCAAAAUCAUUACGCUUCUUCCAUGUGAGGCUCCUGUAAAGAAAAUUUAAGCACAAAACAACAACUAGUCUAUUAUUACUCCUACUCCUAACAAUUUAAAUUAAAAAAAUGAUCCCUAAAAUUAAUACAAUCUUUAAAAACAAAAAUUAUAAGUUCAAUCCUCCUCCUCAAAGACUGUCUCAUCAUCCGACGUAUAAUUAGGUACCCUAAUAUUGUUUUGCUGCACGAAUUCCUAAAAAAUAGGCCCAACUCCUGCAUCUAGGUUAUCAUCCAAUCUAGCUUGGGAUGAUUGCCCUCGCCAAUUUAUUAUUGAGUGGUCAAUUUUGCUUUCCUUUGAGAUGAAGUUGGAGAGACCAUCAUCUUUUGCUGGCGUUUAUUCUAUUCCUUAAUCUGUUUAUCCCGAAGCUCAAUGUACUAUGUAUACAAUGUUUCGCCAAUUAUACUUUGGGAUGGCUGCAUUGAUUGUUUCAUGGAUAUCAUCGAUACACCUUCUCUUUUACAUAAGGCCCUCUCUAAGUGAGGAAAGAAGACUCCCACUCUCUAGCCACUAACGCAUCGCUUCAUAUUUUGGUAUAUCCAUGUUCCGAUGUGUACCUAUUUUUCUACAAAAUAGAAUAAAGCAAAAUCGAUCGAAAAGUAUUGACAUUAGAAACAUUCAAAGCAGAAGCUAUUCUAGUGCAUAGAAAUUGAAUCCACAUUUUUGCUUCAGGAAACAUUAUUGCUUAAUUAAAGAAGGUUGGAAUACCAGUACUUGGGCGACAUUUGCAUUCACCCCUCCCCUCUGUUAUCAAGUUUAUAAUGUUGUCAUAGUUAUAUCUCAAAAAUAUUUCAAAUCAAUUUCUUCUGUAAAAUCUUUUUCAUAAAAUGGAGCAUUAUAAAAUUCACAAAUAACCCAAGGGGUAAUUCAUACAUCUUUCCCUCGCACAGGUAUCAUUUCCCAUGUACAACCUUUGGCUUUUCUAGACUCUUGGUCUCAUAAAGAUACAUAAAAUUCCUGAACUACAGGGACCACGAAAAAGUCCUUUGGGAUCGUUAAAAAAUGUUCCCAUCUAUGAUAUCUAACUAAAGGUCUUAUCUCCUGACAGAGAACCAUCGAUGGUUCAAAUCCCCUCUCUUGGAUAAAUAUUUUUCCCUGAAGUUCUAGAAAAUAUUUUUCAACAGUUGGAUUUGAUAAAUUAAAGGGGUUUAGAACCGUCGAUGGUUCUGAUUCAUUGGUUCUUCUCACUUUUCUUCGAGGCAUUUUGAAUAUUGUUCAAGUUCAAUAAUUAAUGAACUAACGAACAAAUUUUCCAAUGGAACAAUAAAAAUAGGAGUUAGGAACCCUUAACCUUGGAAAAUGAUGUGUUGGAUUCCUUGUAAUAUUCAUUUGUGGUCACUCCUUUUAGUUCUUCCCAUUUGUUUCUGUAUCAAAUAGAGAUGAAUAAAAGAAAUUUUAUAGUAAACUAGUAAGAAGAAGUAAGAAAAGAGUUUUAGGGUUUAUCAAAAUUAAGAGGUUUUGAGGUGUUUAAAGUGUUAAGAUUGGGUUAGGUAGUGAUUUAAUAUGUUUUUGGGUUUUAAAUAAGGUUUUUUUAGGGUUAAAAUUGGAUUAAUAAGGUGUUUUAAUUGGCUGGUUUGCGCAGUUGGGUCGGGUCAACCUUGUAAAACAUCCCCAGUAGUUUGCCAUUGUCGCAACAUCGAGGUUCGAUGUCGCAACACACUCUGGAAUUUUGGAAUUUUGGGUAAACUAUCUUUGGUGUCACAACACAGGAUUGCAGUGUUGCGACAUUGGCCCUAUUUUUGCCCAAACUUCCAAUUUCUAAAGUGUCACGGUUCCUAUAAAACAUAAAUUUCAUAAAAAUUAAAAUCUAGACUAAACAGUUAGUUAAAUAUAUAAUAAUUUACAAAGAAUUAAAUAUCAAUUUAAAAUAUCAAUUUUUACUGUCGGAUUCAUCCGAUAGCACCAUUAAUGCAUAUAAGGACGUUUUUCUGGUUCUUUCAAUGUUAGCCCAUCGCCCGUCGUGUCACUCCACCUUAUUUCAUUUAUCUCUUUCCCAGAACCUGUUCUUUUGACCUGCAUUGAUCGUAGGAAGUACAUUCUUUGAUUCUGGAUUAUUAGGGUUAAAAGCAGAUAAUUCAUUACAAUGUUCCCCUAGUCCCUUUUAUUUCCUCACUCUGUUGGUGACCACAUUUAAAAAAAUUUGUUUUGCCAUUGAUCUUCAUUGUUAAUUGAUUUCUCUUUAGAUCAAUGGUGGAGCUUGAUGUAGCUAGAAAAUUUCUGCAAAAUAGAAUGGGUUUCUCACGGUCCUCUUCAAAGUCUAAAACUACAAAGUCCGCCGAAAUGAUAAAGUUGCGCACUUUGACUAACACAUCUUCUAGUAUUCCUUUCGGAUGUAGUGUAAUUUGUGUAUUCUUGAGGUCCCUUAACCUAAGUUCUUCACAUAUUGAUAGAGGCAUUAAAUUGAUACUAGCUCCUAAAUCGCAUAUGGCUCUAUUGAAUUGAAUGCUCCCUAUCUCUAUGGGAAUUGUAAAGCUUCCCAGGUCUUUCAGUUUUUGGUGAACUUGUUUAGAAAUAAUAGCACUACAGGAAGCGCUCAUGUUAAUUUGUUCUCCUACAUUAAUUUUCCUACGUCUAGACAUGAUUUCCUUUAAAAUUUUGACAUACUCAAGAACUUUCUCAAUAGUUUAACUAAAGGUAGUUUCACAUUGAAUGUUUUAAACAAGUUUAAAAACCUUAGAAACUCGUCUUCAUCCCAUUUUUAUCUCUUCCAACCUUGAAGGGAGCAAUAUCUUUACAACGAUAGGGUCUUUAAUUGUCUCUUUCUCUAGUUCAACUACCGGUGCAACUACUUCCUCUAGUUUUGGUUCAUCAUCAGCUUCCAACCUUGAAGGGAACAAUAUCUUUACCACAGUAGGGUCUUUAAUUGUCUCUUUCUCCAAUUCAACUACCGGUGUAACUACUUUCACUAGUUUUGGUUCAUCAUCAGCUUCUAAGGGUCCUUUAUUAAGAUCACUUGUACUCCCCAUAGGUUCCUCCUAAGUAAGGUUCUCUGGGCUACUCAGUACUUUACUCGAUCAAAGCACGAUUGCUUUCACAUGCUCCUUCCCUUCUCUCCAAGGAUUAUUUUUGAUGUUGUAGGGAUACCUAUGCCAAUUUGUGUUUUUAUAUCACCCAUCAUGUUCUUCAAUUGGCUUAUCUGAUCUUCAAACUUAGUCAAUGUUUUUGCUGGAUUGGUGCAUUCAGACUGCACCUGCUUUACAUCUAUCCUCAUUGAUUGCAUUUUCCCUUUGAUUUGAUCCAAACGUUGACCACAUAUAGCAUGAUCAUUUGGGUUGGCCCUUUCCUAAGGUUUUUGUAAAUAAGGAGGUUGAUAGUUAGCAUUUUUAACCUGAUUUGAAGUAUUACCUCAUCCUUGAUUUCCUCCCCAUCUUAGGUUUAGAUGAUCUCUCCAUCCAGGAUUGUAAGUAUUUGAAUAAGGAUUUUCACCCCUAUUCCUGAUGUAAUUCACAUCCUUAGUGAAUUGUUAAUAUAGUGGAAGAGUAGUUUGUCUCCUCCAUAUAUAGACGGUGCAUUCUUUUCAGAUUUUAUUUAAUUGAUUCUAUCAAUUGUUGAUAUUUGUCAUCCUCCUAAACAGCCUUCACCGUAGAUGGUCUUUGGCCAUAUUUGUUUCGUUCAAUUGGCCACUGGUAGGAGUUCAUCGCCAUAUUUUCUAUUAAUUUGUACGUAUCCUCAUACAUUCGGUUCAUUAAAGCACCUCUUGCGGCUCUAUCCAAUCCUAACCUUCAGUGCACAUCCAACACAUUGUAGAAAAUUUACAGUCGUAACCACUCAGGAAAUCCGUGGUGUAGGCAUUUCUGAAUCAACUUUUUAAAAGACACCCAUGCUUCGUGAAAAAUUUCUCCUUCUAAUUGUUUAAACAUAGAAAUUUCCCUUCUUAGCUAGACCGUCUUGCUAAUGGGGAAGAACUUUUGUAGGAAUUUCCCUGCGAGUUCGUCCCAUGUCGUGAUUAAUCCUAAUGCCUGCGAAUCUAACCAAGGAAAGGCAUUACCAAUAAAAGAAAAAGGAAACAACCGAAGAAGAAUAGCGUCAUCAGUGACCCUAUUGUAUUUGAAGGUAUCACAAAGCUGGAUGAACCAUUUUAGACCCUGACUCGAAUCUUCUAUCAUCGUUCCUCGAAACCGCAAAUUAUUUUGAAUCAUCUAGAUCAUAGCUGGCUUGAUCUUGAAAUUAUUGGUCGUGAUGGCUAGCCUCGUUAUACUCCCUUGAACCAUAUCCAGAUUCGAUAACGUAUACUCUCUUAGAGUCCUUUCAUUAUAUGCCUUGAGAUUGUUUGCGGGUAAUUAUGGUGGUGGUGAUGGGUAGUCUAGAUUGUUAUUGUUAGCUUCGUUGAACAAUGGAUUCUCACAUGGUUGUAAAUUACCUUCAGUAGGUAGUUGAUUCUGCAUUAGUUGUGGUUGCUAUUGACAAUUUCUUCAGAUUAUUCAUUCUAAAUCUGUGACUAGCUCUAUAGGUGUUCCCCUACUACAAAUCAUACACUAAACCCAAAGAUAAAAGAUUAGUAUAAAAUAAGAAAAUAAAAUCGUAGCUAUAAUCUAAAAAUUUCCUAAUUAUUCUAUUAAUAUGCGAAAAAUUAAAUUUAAAUCAGUGACGUUGCCUCCCUAGAAACGAUGCAACAACUUGACCGCCUCCGGACGUACUAACGUCCAGAGUGUGAAUACUGCUACAAAAUAUAUGGAAUUUGAGGUGGUGUCUGCAAUUAUACGGGUCGAUUUGUAAUAUUUUGUUUACAACGAAACGCUUCGUAAGAAUUCUGGGGAUCGUACCCAGUAGAGGCUAGUACCAAACUAAUUCAAACCUACAAGCUAAUAGAUCUAAUUAGUACUUUAAAUUAUUUAUAGUACGAUAACAUAAAUAAAAGGGAUUUUUGGGAUUUUUAUAAUAGUAAAAUAAUAAUAAAGAAAUAAAUAACAAGAGAUUGAAAAGUAGAAUUAAUCAAAUCUACGUAUAGGUGAUUAGCUCGUUUCGACAAUCCCCAUCAAUUUUCACUUUGGGUUCCUCAUAAAUCAAAUAGUCACUAUUUCAGUAGGAUCUUCUGAUCUUCUACUAAAAUAACGAGUCAGUAAAAACUACUUAUUUUUCGACCUCACAGUCCAGACCGGCUUGGGAUGAAGAUGUUCACGGAUAGGCCAUACCAAUUUUGGGUUAAUUCCUACCUUGAUGACUUCCUAGGGUUGUCAAGCCUUGGAUUUUGGUUACUCUUUUCCCAAAUAGUUGAUCCAUUGAGUAACCCUAUAAAAUAGUUAAUAGAUCAUACCUCUACUCACUAAUCCCCUAUAGAAGGAUUAGUUCCUCAUGGAAUCAAUAAACAUUAUAUCGAAUAUAUGUAUAAAGAAUAAAACAAGAGUAGAGUUUAGAGAAUCCUAUUUGUAUUUGAUAUAUGAAGUGCUGUAAUCCUCAACCGUUUGUUUGCGUCUACAAAUCAAGUUCUCCGAUGAACACGAAUGAAAAGAACUAAAAACAAGUCUAAACCCUAAGAGAAAGAAAAAUAAACUAAAAACUAAAUUUUACAAAAGAAACUAAUAAUAUGAAAAGCUCUCUAUAACAAGUGUGAAAUGGGCCUAUCUAUAACAAGUCUAUAUUCAUGUAGUUCAGGACCGAAGUAAAAGGGUAAAUACAAAGUAACAUUUUUGGCUUGAGUUUUGUAUGAAAGUUAAUCCAGAAGUCUAUUCUAACUCAAAAUAGGUACUAAGGAUGAAUAAACAAGGUUAGCUUUUUUACUCUAGGUGUAUACCAAACAAUGCCUUAGGUUAUCCCUAAGCAUCUCAAUAUUCGCAAAUUUAAUCAAUCAAACAAUCACAAAUUCAACUAUUUAUCAUACAUACUAGCAUGCUAGUUUCCUCGUAUUUUUUAUAUCAUUUGGUAUAUUCAAUAACUCAAUACCUAUUUACAAUGUAAUAUAUAGAACUUAGUUGUCUAAAAAUUGAAAAUUUAAAACCAUUCACUAUCAUGCCAAGUUUAUAGUAAACACAAUCAACCUAUGUACAUGCUCCUAACCAAUCACUUAUAUUUCUACAAGCUUAAGCAUGCAUUUGACAAUAAAAGAAAAGAAAAAGUAUAGAAACAAAAUAAGAAAAAAAUUCCUAUGUUACCCCCCACACUUUAGAUAGCACAUUAUCCCUAAUGUGCACCCCUAUAGAUAAGGAAAGAAGUUACCCGAUUGAUCGUUACAUUGUAGUAGUCUUAUGGUGGUUGCUUCCUACCUUGUUCGUUAAAAGCUCAAAAAUGUUGUGCUUUCUUUCAUGUGAAGUUCCUACAUAGGAAACUUGAAAUAGAAUAUAUAUAUAUAAAUCUACUGUUACUCCUACUCCUAAAAUAAAAAUAAAAAUCAUCCCAAUUAUUUACAAUAGAAAAAGUUAAAAGUUAAUUUAAUCAUUCUCCUCCUCCUAGUAAUCCAUCUCAUUCCCACCACUUCAGCGUCCUCCUCUUUACUACCUUCCCCUUCCUCGGUUCCUUGCUCUUCUACUUUAGACCACAUUUUUCUGGCUGAUAAUUUGGUACUCUCAUAUUAUUCUACCGCUCGAAUUCUUGAAGAACUAGGCCCGUUUCUUGUAACCAUCUUAUCAUCCAUUCCAUCUUUAUGUUACUACUCUCGCCUGUUUCUUUACAAGAUGUCGAUUUUGCCUUUCACUUAAGUGAAGUUGGGACAUCCAUCUUUUCCUUUCGGCAUUUUUUUCUAAUCGUUUAUUUUCUUUCGUUGAAGCUUCAUAUAUUGCUUGUAUAAUGAGUCUCCUAUGAGACAUGGCUUCAUGAACUACUUAGUAUUUGUCAUUGGAACUUUGGCCUUCAUGCACAAGGUAGUCACUAAGUGGGGGAAGAAGACCCUAACAUUUUGGUCACUAAUGCACUGCUUCAUAUAAUGGUAGAUCAAUGUCCCAAUGCACACCUAUUUAUUCUUGGUCGAAAUCUUUUGAUUCCUCGUGAAAUUUCCUUGCACAUUCUUUGCUAAUGUAAUGUGGUUGUUCUGAGAAGGUUGAAUCCUUGUUGUUGUCUUGACAUUGGGAUUCGUUUACUCCAAGUGGGCAAAUGAAAAAUAUGCAACAUAGUAUAAAGGAAAUAAAAUAAAAUAAACAUUAAAGUAAUAAAAGAAAUAAAACAAAAUUUAAAACAAGAAAUAGAAGUUCUUUAAAGAUUGAGACGUUCUGUGUUGCCACCAUAAAAGAACCUCUAGCUAGUUCUCGGCACCUUGAUCCGAUGUUUGUUUUUCUGUUGAUGUAUUUGAACCAGUCACUUUGGUUUAUUCGAAUUAUUUUGUCUUAUUUUUUACCGUCGUGAAAUCCACAUUGUCAGUCAUUUAGUACCAAAUCCGAGCCAACCCCAAACUUUUUUUGAGGUAUUAUUGUCUCGAGCUUCCUCCUCUCCUUGUUAUAUGAGGCUUUGGUGACUCGAGCCUUGUUGCUGUUUUCGAAUGAGAAUGAGUCAAACUCCUCGACUUUUUUAGUUGGAACCUUUUCUGCUAUUGCCAGAAAGUGUAUUAACUCUUCUGUACUUUCAUUCAAUAUCGGUUUAACCUCUAUGUUAGUGUUUAAUUCAUCUUUUACUUAUACCUCUAUGGUUAGAUCUAUUACUAUGUGAAUUGGAUCAGAUACCAUUUCCACUAUGUUCAACUCAUCCCCAUAAUCUUUAGUUCUAAGCUCAAGUUGAAUCUCAUCAUGGCUAUCGGUAAUACCAAGGUUCUCAUGAUCCAAGUUGUGAAGGUCAAACAUGUCCUCUUUGAGGUAGCACUUCGGAUAUUUUUUUUCAUUAUUUGCACCAUCAUGUUUGACAUGUUUGAUAAGACCUUAGAGUUGACCAUCCUUGUGGUUUCACAUGGAAACAUCUCAGAUGAAUCACUAGGAGGCUUGUCCGAAUGUUUGGGCAUAUCAUGUUCUUCAAGUGUUAGAAAUUGUAGAUUGCAAAUUCAUAACUACUUAUAAGCACUUAUUAGAAUGUGAUGAUUUACUCAAAAGAUACAUUUGAUUCCAUGAGACAUGUUUUUCUAAGAAGUAUGUCCAAUUGAAAUCAAACAUAAAGAAUUGUGACUUUUAAAAAUAGUGUCUAUUGGGUGUAUAUAAAUAGAGGGUCUAUGGUGCUCAUAAAUUACAAUUACAAUCAAUCCUAUUUUUAAAAAAUUAAAGUAAGAGUUAGGGAAUUCCUUGAUUUUUCUAAUCAAAGGAAAUUCAAAAACUUCAUUGUAUCCUGGGAGGACCUUUGUCUUAACCCUUUAGUAACUUUGUGUGGGGGCAAAUAGUUCGUUUUAGAAUGCAUCACCCACUCCUCGAAGUCUACUGUUUAUUUCAAUAUCUUCCCCACUCUAUAUAUCUAACAAUCAAAGAGAAAUACUUUGGAGAUGGCGAUGGAGGCUACCACACAUUCAAAGUAAUGAACUAAGAGUUUGUGAAACUUGACCAAUUUGAUGGUUCACACUUCAAUCGUUGAAAUGACAAGAUGUUGUUCAUUCUUACUAUCUUAAAUGUGGCAUACGUUCUGGAUCUGAACCUACAACCUGUGGAGGACCCCACCCUUAAUGCGAACCCCGAAGAAAUUAUAAAAGUGGCCGAACUAAAGAAGAAGCAUGAAGAAGAAAAUUUCACAUGUCAAUGACACAUUCUCAACACCUUGUCUAAUCGAUUGUAUGAUCUCUACAUGUCGAAGUAAUCCCUGGUGGAAAUAUGGAAAGCUCUUGAAGAAAAAUACAACACCAAGCGGUAAUGUACUGAUAAAUUUUUAAUAAUGAAGCAUUUUGAAUUCAAAAUGCUCGAUAGUAUCCUGAUCAUAGAUCAAGUUCAUGAAUUAUAAGUCCUUGUAAGUAGGCUUCGUGACUUGAAAUUUGUUAUUUUGGAAUUGUUACAAGUCAUCUUGAAGUUGCCCUCAUCUUGGAACAAUUAUUGGAAGAAACUUCAGCGUAUGGCAGAGGACUUCACUGUGGAGAAAAUACUUAGGCAUUUGAUAUUGAAGAAGAAACUCGGAAGCGUGAUGCGGUGUAUCUUUCCCAAAUUUCUAAAGUGAACCAUAUGAGUGACUCCAAGAACUCUCGAAAUGGUAAGCGAAAGGCCACAUCCGAGGCCAAUGACAUGCAAGACAAGAAGAAAAAAAUCUCGCAAUUGUUAUAAUUGCAAUAGGAAAGGACAUUAUAUUAAGGAUUGCAAACUUCUCAAAAAGAAGCAAGAUGCCACAAAUUCUAAAGCCAACAUGGUGGCGGACAUGGACUUAAUGGCCAUGGUUACGGAAAGGAUCGAGAGUUUGGAGAUUGUUAUGAUUACUGAACUUAACAUAGCCAUGACUGAUAAGUCUUGUAAUUGAUGGCUCGACUCCAGAGCUACCAUCCAUGUGUGUAAUGACCGACAACAAUUCAAGAGUUAUGAACUAGUAGCAAACCGUGAAGUGCUUAUAGGCAACUAUCAAUCGACUAAGGUACUCGAUCAAGAGAUGGUGGAACUUAACUUCACAUCUGGGAAAAAAUUAGAUUUGACCAAUGUGUUGCAUGUUCCUGAUAUGAGAAAGAAUUUAGUGUCCACGACUAUUCUGUGUAACAAGGGGUUCAAGAUUAUCUUAGAAUCUGAUAAGUUUGUCUUGCUUUAGUGUCAGCAAGGGUAUGUUCAUGUUGAGCAUUGAUAUGAAUAAAGUUAAUUCUUUUGCUUAUAUUGUUGAAUCUAAUCCUUUGUGGCAUGCGCGUUUAGCACAUUUUAAUUUUAAAACUUUACAAUAUAUGCAAAACAAUGGUUAUAUAAGUCUAAGUAAUGAUGAGUUUGUGGAGAAAUGUGAAAUUUCUAUUCAAUCAAAAAUUACCAAAAAUUGGUGUCCUAAUAAGUGUGAAAGGAAUUCACAAGUGUUAGAUUUAAUUCAUUCAGAUGUUUGUGAAUUAAAUGAAACUCUAACAAAAGGUGGAAAACGAUAUUUUAUCACUUUUAUAGACAACUUCUCUAGAUUUACUUAUGUGUAUCUCAUGAGAAGUGAAGAUGAGGCGUUUGAUAUGUUUAAACAUUUUAAAAUUGAGGUUGAGAAUUUGUUUAGUUAGGAAAUCAAAGUGCUUCGUAGUUAUAGAGGUGGUAAAUAUUUUUCAAAUGAAUUUAAUAUAUUUUGUGAGGAACAAGGUGUGGCACAUGAGUGUUUCGUGCCUUAUACUCUGCCAACAAAAUGGUUUGGUAGAAAGAAAGAAUCGUACUUUAGUAGAUAUGGUUAACUCGAUGUUGUUAAAUGCUAAACUUCCAUAUAAUCUAUGGGGUGAAGCAUUAUUGACUAUAUGUUAUAUUCUUAACAAAAUACUGUAGAAAAAAUUCAAAGUAUCUCCAUAUGAGUUAGGGAAGAGCCAGAUGCCAAACUUAGAUUAUUUCAAAGUGUAGGGGUGUUUGGCUUACUAUAGAGUUCUCGACCAACGGAGAACAAAGUUAGGUCUAAGAGCCAUCAAGGGUGAAUUCAUUGGAUAUGCCCAACACUCUAAGGCUUAUCGUGUUCUUGACUUAGUGUCAAAUACAAUAAUUAAAACAAGAGAUGUCGUAUUCAUUGAAAAUAAGGUUUUUAAUGAUUCAAAAGAUUCAGAAAAAGAAUAUCAACCAAUGGUCUCAAGUGAUCAAACCAAAAAAAUUCUUUGUGACAAUAAGGAUAUGGAGCCGAGGAAAAGUCAAAGAGUGUGAAAAGUAAAGAACUUUGGUCCUGAUUUCAUUUCCUCGCAAUCUCUAGCAUUACUUGUUAAGGGAAAUAAAGAAUCUGUAAUUAGGAAGAUUGUAACGCUGAAGUUUGUGCAAGUGUACACAGUCAUUAUCAAGUAAUGAGUAAGUAUCGAGUUAUCGUCUCCAUAGGGAUUGUAUUUGUGCUAAGUCACUUAAUUUGUAGAAUUAUAUUAACAAUUUGGUAAAUAAAAACACAAUAUAGUUGAGAUGUGGUGAUUAAAAUAUAUUAAACUAAAUGCAAUGAUCCCUAAUGCAAAUUAUCCUAAGUAUGCAAACUAUAUGAAUGAAAUAGAUUUUAGUAAAAUUAAACACAAUUCACAACAAUUAUAACAUAAAUAAACUAGGGCAAUUACUUUUAUUAAACUCAAUUUAUUAUCAACAUGCUUAAUAACAUUCGGAAAAACAUUCCAUCGCAACUCGAUCUUUCAUGAGUUUGGAAACCACAUUAGGUCCUUUCGGAAUCCUUUACUUAGUAAAUACGCAUUUUACUGAUCCUUAUUUACUAAGGGUUUCUUGGCAUUCGUGUGAGUUAACAGGGACGUGUUAGGUUUGAAACAAUUUAAUCACACAAAUCUAAAAAAUAUGUAGAUAAUAGAGCUUGGUUAGAGUUGUUAUGCAACCUACAAUUCAAUCGGGUUAGGAUCUAAAUUGAGCAUGCACAUUUCAAUGAUGCGUCCAUUACUCGUCAUUUGGUUAGGAUCGCUCAGCUAAUUCAGGUGCAUUUCAAUCACGUAUGAACGAAAUACAAAGUUGAUUUUAAUUGAAAACAUAAGCAUGAACCAAAUAAAUAUUAUUUAAUAAAAAUAAUCAUCCUAGCUUAAAUAAAAUUAAGCUAUCAUUAUUGUAAAUAAGAACAAAGAACACUUAGCAAAUAUCUUUAAAUUAAAUUUAAAGAAAAGGAAGAUUAAACCCAAUUCAGAGUGGCUGUCACCCAAGACUAUGAAUAACGAGGCUCAUUCGCUUCUUUGCGUCGCUUCUUUGCGUUGCUCCUUUGCUGAUGGCUCUCCAAGGUGGCCGACCAAGGGUUCUUUAAGAGGCUUAAUUGCUAAAAUCCUUAUGCAAGGAUGAUGAAGGGGAAAGAUAUCUAAAAGAGUUGAGAGAAUGAUGAAUGAGUGAGAGAUGAUGGGAUGAGGGAUGAUUGAAAAAGUAAGAAAUGAGCUUUUAUUUAUAGGUGAAGCAAGGGAGCUAGUUUGCUAAAAAUAGGUGUGUCCAUCCUUUGAAACUUCCUCCAAGAGUGGCCGGCCAUGAAUUGAGGAAAGGUGGCUGAUUUUUCCUUUAUUUUUGGUCAAUUUGAAUGCCACAACAACUCAGGACUAAGACUUGGUUAUCAGUAAAUCUUCGAGAAAAUCUCCAAUUUCUUUAACUCUUCAAAGACUUUGUAUAAUUAAACCAAAAAAUGGUUUAUGUCAUCCAUGUGCAGCCAAAAAUUGGGUUGACUUGGUCCCCAAUUUGGACGGUUUUGCAAUUAGAAGUAAACUCUCAGACUUGUCCAAAAAUAGUAGAUAGUUUAGAGGACCAAAUAAUAUAAUUUAACCACUUUAAUUAAUCAAUUUACCUAAUUAACUAAAACCCAAUUUAUUAAUGAAUUAUUAAAAAUGAACUAUUAAACAUAACUUUAUAUUUUAUUAUUUAAUUUAAUCAUGCAUGGCCCACUUUAUAGCUUAAAAAUAUAAUAUGCUCAAAUUAAUAUAAAAUAAGCCAUUUUAUGCAUGAAAACUAUAUAAUAAAGUAUAAAAUCACAUUCUAAUAAUUUCUAUGUCCUAAUUUCAUAUUUUCUCAUUUUUGAUUAAUUUAUUAAACAAUUACUUGGUUUUAACAACAAAUUUAAGUAAAAAUGUGAUGAAUUAUGUAGGAAAAAUCCUAUAUAUUUUUCAGUUUACAAAAAUCCCCAUAAUGUUUAAUGUGGAUGGUGAUUCACAAUCUUAUGGUGAAACCAUGACUUUUAGGGAUGCAAGAUUUUGGAAAGAGGCGAUCAAUGAUGAAAUGGAUUCAAUAUUAGCCAAUAAUACUUGGAUUUCUAGUUGAUCUUCCUCAAGGAUUGAAGCCUAUCGGGUGUAAAUGGGUGUUUAAAAGGAAAAAUAAUCCAACAGGGGGUUCUUCUAGCUUUAAGUCUAGGUUGGUGGCUAAAGGAUUUAGGCAAAAGGAAGGCCUAGACUAUUUUCACACUUGUAUCUAUCCAUAAGUUACAUAUACAUAAAAUGGAUGUUAAGAUAACUUUUUUAAAUGGUGAUCUCGAAGAGGAAAUCUACAUGGAGCAACUACAAGGCUUUGCUCUUCCUAGGAAUGAACAUAAGGUGUGUAAGUUUAUCAAGUCAUUAUAUGUUUUAAAACAAUCACCUAAACAGUGGCAUGAGAAAUUUGACUUGAUUAUCUUGUCCUAUGGUUUUUUACAUAAUGGUGCAGCUAAAUGUAUUUACACUAAAUUCAUCAAUAGAUAUGGUGUAAUUAUUUGUCUUUAUGUAGAUGACUUGUUGAUUUUUGGUAUGAACAUGGAUGGUGUUCGUGAGACCAAAGAGUAUUUAGCCUCGAAUUUUAAGAUAAAGGAUCUCAACGAGGGAGAUACAUUUCUAGGUAUAAAGGUGAAAAAGCAUGAAAAGGGCUUUGUACUAAGCCAAUCUCACUAUAUCGAGAAAGUAUUGGAAAAGUUUAAACACUUGAAUAUGAAGGAUUUGAACACGCUAUACGAUUGGAACUUCAAGUUAAGUGAGAAUAAUGGUAAGGCUAUAGUGCAACUUGAGUAUGCCAACACAAUCGGAAGUCUAAUGUAUGCAAUGCAUUCCACUAGACACGAUAUCGCAUUUGUUGUGUGCCAAUUGGCGAGAUUUACAAAUUGUCCUAGUACCGAUCAUAGGAAAGGAAUUUGUAGGAUUUUUCGCCAUCUUAGGAAAAUAAAAAAUUUGGGAUAAUUCUAUAGUGAUUAUCCCGCGGUACUAGAAGGUUACUCGGAUGCAAGUUGGAUUACAAGUCUAACUGACAAUAAGUCCACAUCGGGAAGGAUUUUUACAAUCAGAGGUGGAGCCAUUAGUUGGGCCUCCAAACAAAAACAAGCAUCUCACGUUCAGCUAUGGAGGCUGAAUAGUGGAAUGGCUAAGAGAUCUUUUGCUAGAUAUAAAGUUAUGGCCACAACGUAAGUUCGCCAUUUUCGUAUAAUGCAAUAGUGAAUCUACCAUGUCUCAAGCAUACAAUAAGGUGUAUAAUGGAAAGUCUAGACAUAUAAGUUUGUGACAUGAGUAUGUCAGACAAUUGAUUAGUGACAGUGUGAUAACUGUUACCUAUGUUAAGUCAGUUGACAAUUUAGUGGAUCCAUUGAAAAAAGGUUUUUAAAGAGAUUUGGUUAAGAGUACCACCACUAAGAUGGGAUUAAAACCAUUCUAAUCGCUUCAUUGAUAAUGGAAACCCUAACAUAUUCUAGCUAAAAGUUAGUUUCGAGGUUCAAAGGGUAAUAACAAGUUAUUGAAUGACAAUGUGAACUAAGGAUCAGGAUUUAAUGUUUAUAUUAUAGGAGGAUAAGUUUUACUCUUAAUAGAUUGACAUUAAUUGUCAUGAAAUCCACCAAUAUGGACAUGAAGUGAUGUCACUUCAACGAGAUUUUCUUUAUGGUUUUCUCUCAUACAUUUUUAUGAAACGGGAUGAGCACAUGGCCAUAACGGUGCUAAAGCAAAUUAAACUCUUACUCUAAUACUUUACAGUUAUGUGUGAAAUUUUUCCAGUACUGACUUUAAGAAUGAUGGUCCAAGCGAAUAGCCACCAUUUACUUUGUUGAUAUUUUGAAGAGUUUGCACUAAAGGAAGGUUCAAUCUAUGGACACCUUUCUUUAUGCAUAAUCAUUGUGUACUUAUUUUUUGGAAUUAGCAAUCUAGUUGGGGACUGUUAGAAAUUGUAGAUUGCAAAUACAUAAUUAUUCAUGAGCACUUAUUAGAAAGUGAUGGUUUAUUCAAAAGAUACAUUUGAUCCGUGAGACAUGUUUCUCUAAGAAGUAUGUCCAAUAGAAAUCAAACAUAAAGGAUUGUGACUCUUUAAAAUAGUGUCUAUUGAGUGUAUAUAAAUAAAAGGUCAAUGGUUCUCACAAAUUACAAUCACAAUCAAUUCUAUUUUUUUAGAAAUUAAAGUAAGAGUUAGGGAAUUCCUCGAUUUGCUAAUCAAAGGAAAUUCAAAAACUUCAUUCUAUCCCGGGAAGAACUUUGUCUUAACCCUCUAGCAACUUUGUAUGGGGGCAAAUAGUUCUCUUUGGAAAGCAUCACCCGCGCCUCGAAGUCUACUAUUUAUUUCAAUAUCGUACUCGGAUUUUUCUUCUCCACUCUAUAUAUCUAACAACAAGUGCCUCACACAAAUUACCAGUGAACUCAUGUGGAUGUUCAACUAUAUUAGUCCCUUGAUCAUUACUCCACUAGUGCGUUGAGGCUUCGUUUCCACAUUGGCUCAGCUCUAUAAUGAAAAUUCUUUUAUUCUCCAUAAUCUCUAAUUCUUUAUAUACUCCCUUUUCAAAUAUUUCGUCAUAAAAAAUUAUCUCAUCGUUAAACCACAUGUAAUUAGUUUCAUCCAUAAUUGAAUGGUUUUUCAAGAUUAAUCUCUAUGGAUUAGUGAAUAACUAAAUAGAUGUUCCUUUCCACUAAAGCAUAUACUGAAAUUAACAAAGAAAAAGAAAGAAGUUAGUAAACUAAAUUAAUAAAAUUCAAAUUACAAAUUGUAUCUAUAAUUCAAAUAUUUCCUAAUUAUUCUAUUAAAACGUAAAAAUUACAUUUAAUUUAGUAAUGUUGCCUUCACAGCAACGACGCCAACAACUUGACCGCCUUCGGACGUACCAACAUCUAGAGUAUGAGUACUACAACUAAAAGAUAUGGAAUUAAGGUAGUGUUCGCAAGUAUACAGGUUAGGUUGUAAUAUAGUUACAACGAAGCAAGUAUGUACUCCGAGGAUCAUACCCAACGCAGGCGAGUACUAAAUUAAUGUCAACUUGAACGCAAAUAGAACUAAUUAGUAGUUUAAAUAAAUUAUAGUACAAUAAAACAUAAAAGAAUAUUUUUUGGGAUUUUAUAAAGAAUAAAAUAAAAAUAAAAAAAGGAAAGUGAGAUUCAGAAAUAUAAAUUCUAACUUAAUUAGAUCUAAGUAUGGUUGAUUAGUUUGCUUUGGUGAUCAUAACUAAUUCAUAUUUCGGGUUUCUACUCAACCAACUAGUCGCUACCCUAGAAGGAUCUCUCGAUCUUCCACUAAACUAAUGAGUCGACAAGAACUACUUAUCUCUCAACCUCACAAUUCAAACCGAUUCGGGGUAAAGGUGUUCACAAUAGGCCAUACCAAUUUUGGGUUAAUUCCUACCUGAAUGACUUUCUAGGGUCAUACCUAGGUUUUAAGUUCUUUCUCUCCCAACCAGUUGCUCCACUAAGAAAACCCUACAUAACAAUUAAUUAAUCACACCUCCACCACAAAUCCCCCAUAAAAGAUUUAGUUCCUUAUGGAUCUCAUGAACACAGUAAUCUUGAUAAUAAAGAUAAGCAUGAAUAAUGAAUCAAGAUAAAGGUUAAAGAGAAUCCUGAAUUGUAUUGAUUGAAAUGCAGAAUCCACAGUAGUUUGAUCACAAUUACAACUCAAGUUCUUCGACAAAUACGAAAUAGAACAGAACUGAAAUAAACCUAACGCCUAAAAGAAAGGAAAAACUAGAGACUAAAUUUACAAAGAAAAUCUUAGAAUUUAAAAUCUGUCCUAAACAAGUGUUUUAAGAGCCUAUUUAUAGAGUUAGGGUUGUCGUCAUCCUCAACCCUAGGUUAGUUGAUGUUCUCGUGUUUUAAUUUCCAUUGUGCGGGCCAAAAUACCUUUGGCUCGUUAAUACUUCCCGUAAAGGACUGAUGUCACGACACCCUAGUUCCUGUUUCAUGACAUUGAAGGCAAUAUGCAUGGUUCAAGGCUAACUACAGCGGUGUGUCGUGACAUCCCUUAGCUAUGUCAUGACAUCCAAGGCAGUACAAUUGUAACACCCCAAACCCGGCCUAGAAGUUAUGGCCGAAUCUGGCGGUGUCACAUUGAGGUGUUUAGUGAAAAUUGAACUCGUUGGUAAAAAUUCAUUUCUAGGUUUAAAAACCCCAUUAUUAUUAUUUAACAAAUCAUCUAGUAAAAAAAGUUUACCUUGUUAUCUGCUAUUGUGAUAAAAGUUUGAUCUAAAAUCGCAGAAGCUUUUGAAAACUCUAAUGUUUAAAUUUCGUGUCUUUAAAAACAGUAAUUAUUUUGAAAAUUCAUCUUCUGCUAAAUUAGCAGUUUAAAAUAAGUAAGCAAAAUCCCAAUUAAAAAUUUAAACAAACAUAAAUGGCCUUAUUACAAAAACAAAACCCAACAUAAACUUUAAAUUUAUUUAAAAACAAUGUAGAUCAGUUGCAGUUGUGUGGCCACCUCCGAGUCCCUCGCAGCACCAAAUCGCCUAUAGCUGAGGAUUACCUGUACAGUAAAAACGAAAGGGUGAGUUUACGAAACUCAUUGUGUAAUCCCUUACCAAACAGUUAGCAUACAACAUUCAGUAACAGUCUGGGCCUGAGCCCUAUACAGUAAUAGUACAGUGUGGGCCUUAGCCCAUUACAGUAACAGUAUGUGGGCCUUAGCCCAAUAUAGUAACAAUGUGUGGGCCUUAGCCCAAUACAGUAACAGUGUGAGCCUUAGCCCAAUACAGUAAUCAAUACAAUGCAGUAAUGCAACCCAUCCCAAUCCAACUAACAUACCACUCCGUACCACCAACACACCAUGUGGGGAUAAAAUCGACCCACCCAGCCAACACACCAAUAUCGCAGCAAAGCUGCCAGUAACAGUAUCGCAGCAAAGCUGUCAGUAACUAUAUCGCAGUAAAGCUGCCAGUAACAGUAUACUUCCUCCAUAACAGUAUCCCAACCCCAUACAGUAUGUCAUGUCAUAAAUCAUAUGUGUAUGCUAAAUGUCAUACUCAUUCAUAGUCAUACAUAUCAUAAAGCAAAUCAGUUAUACAUAACAUAAGGCCAUAUCAAUCAUUUCAUCUCCUAGGGGUAUAACAGUUAUUAUUUUACCCUAUGGGGGUAAUUCAAUCAUUUUACCCUAUAGGGGUAAUUUGUUCAUUUUACCCUACGAGGGUAAUUCGGUCAUUUUACCCUACGAGGUAAUUCAGUUAUUUUAUCCUACGGGGGUAAUUCGAUCAUUUUACCCUACGGGGGUAACUCGAUCAUUUUACCCUAUAGAGGUAAUUCAGUCAUUUUACCCUACGAGGGUAAUUCAAUCAUUUUAUCCUUCGACAGUAUUUCAGUUAUUUAACCCUAUAGGGGUAUUUCGAUCAUUUUACCCUUCGAGGGUAUUUUGAUCAUUUUACCCUUCAGGGGUAUUUUGAUCAUUUUAACUUAUGGGGGUAUUUCGGUCAUUUUACCCUAUGGGGGUAUUUCAAUCAUUCUACCCUAUGAGGGUAUUUCGAUCAUUCUACCCUAUGGGGGUAUUUCGGUCAUUCUACCUUAUGGGGUAUUUCCAUCAUUUUACCUAUGAGGGUAUUUCAGUCAUUUUACCUUAUGGGGGUAUUUCGGUCAUUCUACCCAAUGGGGGUAUUUCGAUCAUUCUACCUUAUGGGGUAUUUAAGUCAUUCUACCCUAUGAGGGUAUUUCAGUCAUUUUACCCUAUGGGGGUAUUUCGAUCUUUCUACCCUAUAGGGGUAUUUCGGUCACUUUACCCUAUCAGGGUAUUUUGGUCAUUUUAACUAUUUUGGGGUCUCGAUGCAGAUAUCAACCACCCAGAAUUCCUUCCAGGGCCUGCUGAAUUACUUUUAUAGAUUCCGUCAUUUCACUGAUUCGGACUAAAUAACGAGCUAAUGAAUCUCCUUCUUUUUGCCACUGGAUUUCCCAAUCAAAUUCUUCGUAACACUCAUAAUGAUAAACUUUCUGAAGAUCCUAUUUGAUUCCAGAUGCUCGUAGCAUUGGGCCGGAUAAACCCCAAUUUAUUGCUUCUUCUCCACCAAUAACGCCUAUCCCUUAAAUUCGUUCUAAAAAAAUAGGAUUUUCAAUGAUUCCUGUUAAAAAUAAUCAAAAAAAUCCAAACAUUUAUCUAUCCAGCCGUAAGGUAGAUCGGCCGCCGCUCCUCCGAUACGAAAAUAAUUAUGCAUCAUUCUCAUACCGGUGGCAGCUUCGAAUAGAUCAUAUACUAAUUCUCUUUCUCUGAAAAUAUAGAAAAGGGGAGUCUGUGCACCAAUAUCUGCCAUAAAAGGUCCAAGCCAUAACAGAUGAGAAGCUAUAUGACUCAACUCCAACAUAGUGGCUAAAUAAUCCCAACGCGUUACAUACGGCAAAUAUUGUAUAAUUGUUCGGUUUUCUGCAAUUUUAUCCAUUCCUCUAUGUAAAUAACCUAAUAUUGGUUCACAGUCAACAACAUCUUCACCAUCUAGAGUAACAAUGAGACGAAGAACACCAUGCAUUGAUGGGUGGUGAGGCCCCAUAUUGACUAUCAUAAGGUCUUUUUCUGUAGCUGAUAGAUUCAUAAGUUUUUCCUCGAUUCAUUCUUACAUGAAUUGUUGAAAACGAAAACAAGUACAUCAAAAUGAAAAUCUAAUAAAUCGACUAAUUCAAAAUUUACAAAUUAACGAUUUUUUGAUUCCCGAAUAUCCAACUCACUAAUUAAUUCUUUAUAACAUAUUUUAUUUGUCUCGAAAGGUCCGCAAUCUCCUUGACCGACUCAGGUAACCUAAAUGGUCAUAACAGUGUAAAUGGGCCCAAGGCCCAUUACUCGGCCCAAGUGGGCCCACACGCUUGGGUGGCCCGUUCAGCCCAAAUUUCGCCACGGCUAUGAGAUAUACUUAGCCCCGACCAGUAUUUGCCACAAAUCAAUGAUCAUCGCACCCUUGGUUCCCAGGCAAUGUGCCAAUCAACCUCGACCACCACCAGUUAGGAAUGAAAGCAAUGCAGGUUGGAGAGAGCGACGAAAACCUUGAAAACCUCACCGAUCUCCCAUCGAGAACAAGGAACAAAUGAGAUGAUAUAUAUCUCUCCACAACAACAACCUCCCCAAAUCCCAAUAUUCUCUCCUCAAAUCUCUCCAAGUAUCCCUCCUUAAUUCUCUCUAUGACCAGUUCAAACUCCAUUUAGCAGUAUUUCAAUCCAACUCUACCACCCACACGAAUUAGGCAGCAAAAUAAAUAUUCCCUUUCUGAUGCGCCACCACUCAAACCUUAGACCCCAUGUACACUCCAUACGCCCCUUACCACUAGACCAACAACUCAUUUGUAUCAUAUUUUAACCACAAUAAUUUAAGAACCUACUAUCUAGAUCCAAGGAUUUUAUUCACUUAAAAUAAAAAUUUUGCAUAAGCCAAGGCUUGAACCCCUGACUUCUCAGACACUUCCAAACACUCCUAAGUCUCUUAACCACUGAAGUAGAUAUUCAUUUAUGUCACUUCCUUGCACAACUAAAUAUUUGUGUGCAGUCUCCUAACUGUUCCCUUGUUCAAAACCUAUUUCUUCUAGGCCCAAAAUUCGGGGUGUUACAAUAGUGGUUCUGGUCUUCUACUGCCUAUGUUGCAACAUAGAACUACCCAUGUUGCAACAUAGCAACCAACUUUGAGUUCCUAUGCCUUUGAAUGGUCUUUUGCACACUUACUAAGUACAUUAGCCCACCUUUAGGCCUCAGCCGGCCCUUAAGGUCAAUAAAAGACUCAAAAUGAACUUUUCAUUGGAUUUAACUAAACUAAGAAAACAUAAGUAAAACAUACUAAAACUGCUCGUAUUCAAGCUCCUCAAGUACAAAAACUAGUUUAAUUAGCUACACCGAAUUACCACAGAUCAGAAACUCCGUGUUGCAACACCACUGACAAGAUCAAUGAAUAGAGCAAUUUAGCUCUAUGUCGCGACACGACACCUUUAUUUCAUGACAAAACAGUCAGAUUGUCCCAAAUUCUAAAGAUUUCAAGGUGUGUUGCGACAUCAAUCCCUGAUGUCACGACAUCAGUAUCCUGCUAAGGGUGUCAGGACAUAAAACCCCUAUGUUUCAACAUCACUACAAUUUUUUAUAGGGUCGACCUAACCCUCCAUGCAACCCAUUGGUUUUAACACUUGUUUAACCCAAUUUUUAACCUAAAAACACCAACAAAUUUUAAAUCUAAAACACUUUUAACUUGUUUUUAAACUUUCUCUAACUUUAAACUCCCUCUAAAACCUUCCAAACUCUUGAAACUCAAAAACCUUGUUUUACUUGUCUUUCUCUUUUGCUACAAAUUUUCUCCUGUUUUUCUUAUGUUUCUAUUUUUUGUAAGAUAAAAGCAACACGACAACGAGGAACUUGCAAUGGAUUUUCAAAAAGAAUCACAAGUUCUCAAGUAAGGUUAAGGCUUCUAAAUAGAUUUUUACUAUUUUAUUACAUUAUUUGCUUGAUUUUUGUUAUUUUUUAGUUAGAAUAUUAUUCAAAAUGCCUGCUAGGAAAAUCUAGAAGUACUAGGGAACAAAAACCAUUAAUGGUUGCAAAUCUCUUGAAAUUUCCAAACGAGAAUGUGGAAAAAUAUUUUUUAGAACUAUAAGGAAAGACAUUCAUUCAAGAAUAGGGUUUUGAACCAUUGACGAUUCUUUACAAAGAAAUUUGGCCGUUAGUUUGGUAUCAUAGAUGGGAGAGAUUUUGCGUGACUCCCAAAGAAAAUGCAAUAAUCCUCAUAAUCCAAGAAUUUUAUGCAUUUUUUAAGGAUUAAGAGACAAGGAGACUAUAUACGGCUAUUUGGGAAACCAUAAUAGUACUAGGGAAAGAGGUGCACUCACCUCUUGUGAAAUUUGUGAGUUUUACAAUAAAAUGUUUUCCUUGAAAACACAAAUUUAACAAGUUUAAAUGACAUAAAUAUGGAUAAUAUUGUGAACUACUUAACUGAAGAGAGGGGUGAGUGGAAUCAUUGACAGCAUACCGGUCUACCGAUCAAUUUUAAUCAAGCAAUAAUGUUCCCUACUAUGAAUGUUUCUAAUGUAAAUACUUUCUAAGCCAUUUUGUUAUAUGGUAAUUUGCAGAAUAAAUAGAUAUGCAUCGGGGAAUGGAGCAUGAAACAUUGUAUCAAUGACUAGAAGGUCGGGGUUUUCUUCCCUCACCUAGUGACGACAAUACGCAAAAAGGCUAAAGUUCCAAUGGAAGCGAAUGAACAAUUCACGAGGCCAACGAAAAGCUUAAUAGGUGACUCUCGUAUACAUAGUAUGUCAAGCUCAAGUGGAAAAAAAUAAAGGAUUGGAACCAGCGAAGAAAGCAAAAGAUGGAUGUCCUGGCAUCUCUGAAAAGAAAAAAGGUAUCAAAAGCUCGAAAAGGAAGUGAAAUCUCGAACAACGAAUGGCUGAUUAGAUGGAUGCAAGAAACAGUCCCAGUUAUUCAAGAAUUUGCAUGGAAAAAUGGUAUGAGAAUACCAAAAUUACUGCCACCCAAAUAUGGCCCUAUUCGAUCCCAUAACAGAUCCAAAGAGUAAUUUUAUAUUUUUUUUUGUUUUUGGUUUUGAAUUUUCUAUGUAGGAACCUUUCAUGAAGGAAAAACUACAUUUACGAGCUUUCAACGAUUAAGGAAGUAGUACCCACCAUAAGAAUACGUCAAUGUCACAAUCAAUUGGGUAACUUCAUUCCUAAUCUAUUUAAGGGUUGCACAUUAGGGACAAUAUGCUAUCUAAAGUGUGGGGGUAACAUAGGAAAUUUUAGUUUCAGUUUUACACUUUUUCAUUUAUUUUUCUUGUCAAAAGUGUGCUUGAGUUUGUAAAAAUACAAGUGAUUGGUUAAGAGCAUGCAUAUAGGGUGAUUGUAUUUAUGAUAAAUUUGGCAUGAUAGUGACUUAUUUUAAAUUUUUAGUUAUUAGACUACUAAGUUUUAUAAAUUACACUGUAAAUAGGCAUUAAGUAAUUGAAUAUACCAAAUGACAGAGAGAAUAUAGGGAAAUGAGCAUGCUAGUAUGUAUGAUAAAUGGCUAAAUUGUGAUUACUUGAUUGAUUAAAUUUAUGAAUAUUGAGAUACCUAGGGAUGACCUAAGACAAUGUUUGGUAUACACCUAGAGCUAAAAAGCCAACCUUAUUCAUGAAUCCUUAAAACCCAUAUUUGAGCUAGAAAACUCUUCUUGAUAAACCUUCAUGCAAAACCAAAGCCAAAAUAUGAACUUGUACUUGCCUUUUUUCUUUGGUCCAUGAAAUGCACGAAUUUAGACAUCCUGUCAUAUGUAUUGAGGGAUAAGUAGAGACAUCAUGGUGGUUUUGUAAAUAUAAGAGUGAAAUAGAAAGGAGAAAUGUGAUAUAGUUAUUAUAAGGUUCAGCCAAAAUGUGUAAAACAAAAGAAAAUUUCAGAAAAAAAUCAAAAUGAGUAGAAAAAGUACUUGAACAAUUGAAAACAAAAUCAUUGUGAGUGGGAAUCAUUGGAAAAGUCAAAAGUGACUCCAAAAGUAAAUGUAAGGCCCCAAAAAUAGGUCCAGUAGUUUCGAGUAAGUUUACCGAGUUUCGAGUGAAAAUUGAGAAUUCAUCGGGUUAAUUAGCGAUUUAUAUUCUUAAUUAGUUAGCUUAACUUUAUCUAAAAAUCGUUAAAUAAUAUUUCGAAAAAUAAAAAUAUUUUUAGAAAAAUUAAUUUCAAAAAAUAAAAAUAUUUUUAGAAAAAUUAAUUUUAUGGUUUUAAAUAAUUUUUGGGUAAAAAUAAAUAUUUUGGGUUAAAUUGGAAUAUAAAAAUAAUUUAAAAUAGGGGUUUAAUUGGGUGAUUUAAAAUAUUAAUUAAAUGAGACUAAUUUGAAAAAAAAAAAGGGGAAAUGUGUAAGAGGUUUUAUAGAAAAUAAAUCAUAUUUUCAGAAUUUUAGAGGGAAAUGAGCAAAUUGUAAAACAAGGGAAAAGGGGGAGUGGCCUAAUGGCAAAUUUCCCAAAUUUUGAAAAUCAGGUGGGGGUUUUAAGUUUUAAAAACUCUGCAACUACCUCACUUUUCACUCAUUUUUCACCUGAAUUGAGAGCGCUCUCUCUCUCUCUCUNNNNNNNNNNNNNNNNNNNNNNNNNNNNNNNNNNNNNNNNNNNNNNNNNNNNNNNNNNNNNNNNNNNNNNNNNNNNNNNNNNNNNNNNNNNNNNNNNNNNCUCGUACUCUCUCUCUCUCUCUCUCUCUCUCUCUCUCUCUCUCUCUCUCUCUCUCUCUCUCUCUCUCUCUCUCUCUCUCUCUCUUUGCUUAUUUUCAUAAACCAAAUAUCAUAGAAUAGAUUUAAACAUUUUCUCUCCCAAAAUUCUCCCUAAAAUCUCUCAAAAUAAUUUUAAAAGUUGGGCGAAAAAUCAUCCGAAUUUCUUCAAGCAUUUUGAUUCAAACUUCCAAAUCAAUGAUUUGAGUUCAAUUGAAGGUAAUUCACAUCUUUAAACUUUUUUUAAGUUGAUUUCAAUCGUUAUUUAUUAAUUAAAGUGAUUAUAAUGGAUUUUUAACUUUAAUUUCUUCUUCCUUGAACUUGAGGAUCAACAAUGGUGGAUCUUUAAUUUUGAGUUGGAAUCCAAAUAUUAAUAGAUGUGAAAGCUCAAAAUAGGUCUAAUAAGAGGUUUUUAAUCUUAAACCAAAAGAUCAAACAUGUUUUAUGGAUCAAUUUUGAUAAACUCGAAUUUGAUGAAGAACAUAGAUGAUUUUUUCGAAAAAUUAUGAAACAGAUUAAAUGAUGAAAUUAAUACUUAAAAUACAUGUUAUUGGACUAGGAAUGAAGAUUAGAAGUGGUUUGAGGUGCUGAAAAGGGAGUUUAGUUGAGGAAUUCCACAUUUCGACUUAGUUUUCAACAUCGGUAAGGGAGUUUAGAGCAAUGAUCUAGAUUCAUAUUCUUUAUCAAAUUUCGUUUUUCUUGUUAUUAUUCUUAGUUUGUAAUGCAUACUUUAUCUCUAUUAAAACUUCACAUCAAGAGGAGGAACAUGCAAAUCAGAAUUGAAGCCCAAACUUGCUUGUUUGAAGCCCAAACUUGCUUGUUUGAACACUUUGUUUUUUACUUAAAGAGUUAAGUGUGGAGGUGAGUGAUAUUGAGAGAAAUUUGGUAAAUUGGCCUAAUUAUGUGUUAAAUUAAAGGUUUAAUUGGUUUUAUUAACGACUUAACUAUAUAUUGGAUGGUUGGAUUUGCAAAAAUAGGUUUUAUUUUAUAAAAGAGCGAAAUGGCAAUUGGUUUGGUAAGUUGUGUAUUAUGCUUUUAGCAUGAUUAAAUUUUAUAGAAUAAAUUGAUAUUUGGAGCAUGAAUUGUUGAUUUAUUGAACAUUUGAUAAAUGUGUUCAAUUGGUAUAUGAAUAUUGGGAAAAUGAUAUUUGCCAUGAUUAAUUUUAUUGAUGUUAAAAUUGCUUAGCGACAUGCUUUUACUUGCAUUUUAACAUCCUAAAUUAAGUGAUUAAACAAUAGAUUUGAUGCCUUGUAUGUAUGAUUAUAUUGGCAACAUUGCAUGGUGAUCCAUUGGAUACAGUUGGCAUGCCAUAUUUGUGAGUACUCACCAUUAUUUGUGAUAUUGUGAGCCUAUGGCUCUUGGUGGAUUGAUUUGUUUGGAGUAGAUAAGGGAGUGUUGAGCUUGAGUCUUCACUCACCAGGUUAUUUGAAGCGCUAUAAAGGAGCAUGUGGCUUUGGCCCACUCAAUUCGGAGGACUGUAUUUGAUUUGUGGGAGUUCGGAGAUGCGUUUAUCCAAUAUAUGAUCACACGUUUACUUAUUGUCAUGGAUGUAUUAUGUCAAUAUAAUUGAUUGAUUGUGCCAAUAUAAUUGAAUGUUAUGUGUUAAAAGAUGCUUUUAUAUGCCAUGAAAAAAAAUUAUUCUUAAUUAUUCUUAAUAGUAUGUGAUGUUAUGGCGAAAUAUUAACAUGUUGUGACUGAAAAUUUAAUGCUUAAUUGCUUUGAUUUAUGACUGAAAAUUUAAUGCUUAAUUGCUUUGAUUUAUGCCUGAUUGGGUACAAAUUACUUGAUGUUUUUACUAUCAUUCAUUGAGCUUUUUAAGCUCACACCCUCACAUUACGUGCAGACAAUUUUCGGGCGGAAGGAGUCGAGAAGCGAGUGCAAGGGCAAUCCAAGAAUAAGGCUCGGUAGUGGCUUAAAAAUUUUACUUUAGAGACUAUAUAGGGCAUUGUGAUGCUUUUGGGACUAGUGUUAUUUUACUUGUAAUGGACAUUGGACAUUAAAUUUUGGACUUUAAUUUUGGUGAUUUUAUAGUUGCUUUGUCUAAUUGAUGUUUGAUUUAUGGUAUGUUGAUGAGUGUUCGUACGGUGGUUGAUAACACGAUGAAUGAAGCAUGUAUUUUGUACUAACAAUGUUUAAUUGAAGCUUACCAUAGAGUGGAUUGCUUGCGACUAAGGUAUGUAGCUUGUGUGAAUUAAUUGGUGUUUGCUAAGCGUGUAAUUGGGUGUUAAAUUUUGAUUAAUUGUUGCAUAUGUGUUGUAAAUAAAUUAAAUUGGAGACGUGUGGAUGUUUAUGGUGAUUAAUUGUAACUAUUUCAAGUUUAAUGUGUAAGUAAAAUAUGUAAAAUCGGGUAAUUAAAAUGGAUUUUAAACAAAAUAGGUGCAGUGGUUUGCACACGGGCGUGUGUCUUUUCACACGGGAAUGUGGGUUUUGGGGGGUUUAAUUUUUCGUUUUUGUAAUCUAGUAUUCUAAUUUGCUUAAUUUAUAAUUUAGUCCUAAAACUUGAUUAGAUUAAUUAAAGCCUUUGAUGAUAGGGAAACUUGGUAAUAUUUUAGACUUGUAACUAUUAAUAUUUGGUAGAAACAAUCUUAAUUUUUAAUUUGAAAAUGUACUAAAAGUUUGUGAAAGUUACGAUUUAGUCCCUAAUAAUAAAACCUAAAUUAGAUAUAGUAAAUGAACUUGAAUUAAGUUGAAAUUUUUAGGGCUUGCAUAAUUUGAAUAAAAGAAGGUAGAUAACUAUUUAGAAAUAAAAUCAAGAUAGUUUAACCUUAGGCGGUAAAAUAACCAAAAUACCCUUAUGUUUAAAUAUUUAGAAAAAGUUUUAAAAUGGUUCACAAAUUGCUUCCGUAUUAAUAAAUGAUAGUUAAUUAGUCAUAAAUGAGGUAUUAUAAGGUUGGGGUGCACGUCGGGUGGUCGUCAGCUAGAGAGUCAAUUCGGUGGCUAAUGUAAUGCUUCGAAUUCGGGUCGGUCCAUCCCAGUCGGGUUUGGGGUGUCACAAUAAAAGUCACAAAAUUAGAAACCUCAACAAUUAGUGCACAAAAAAUUGUGAGCUAACCAUAGUUGCUUUAUUAUACCGUGACUUGCUAUAUGGAGAAAUAAGGAAAGUAAAAGAAUGAGAAAUAAGGUGGUGAGCAGGCAAGGGAUAUUAAGGGGAAGAAUAGGGAACAAUGGAUGUGCCAAACUACUUUUGUGCUUGAAAUUGUUUUGAUGCCCUUUUUAUUAAAUUCCAUACCAACCUUAAGCUUUAGAACGUUACAAGUCGAAAAGUCCUAUGUGACGUUGAUAAAUCUAUUCAUGAAUGGACAUUAUAUCAAGUAAUUGCAAUAAUGGUUGUUUGUAUUCUGUUAGUAUAAUCAAAUUACAUGUAUGAUUUAGCAAUGGAUCCAUAUAUUUAAGGACCUUAUUGUUUAUAUAUUUUGUAAUAUACUGAAUUUAGGGGUUUGAAGUUGAGAAUGUUAAGUCAUUGAUGUUGGAUUGUCGGUACGCCCUGUGACACAACGAAAAAUUUAUUCCGAUGAUCACCAUCAAAGGAUCAAAGUACGAGGAAUGAAUCGGGUUGAAACAUAAUUGGAAAUAUACCUUUAGCAAUCUAAUUUCCUUUGUGGUGUCGAUUCCAAGCCGUAACAGAAUCAUUUUGGCAUCUACGUAAUCCACUCAGUCAAGCAUGAACAAUAAAACUCUUUGAACUUUUCAGAGAGAAUUCAGACUGGCUGCUAGACCUCUUGAAUUUUUCCUUACUUCUCAAUCGCAUCAUCAGGGAUCUUUUUCCUUUUAUUAAUUACCUAUAAUAAAAACGGAAUAAUUCCCUUUUACUUCUAGAGAAAAUCAUGGAAGGUAUUAAAGUUUUCUUCUGUCCAAAAGAAUAUUAACUUUCAUAAAUAUUAACUCUGGAAAAUAGUUGCGAAUCGUAUUCACUAGGCGAUAUGUUAGUCAGGCGAUAUAGUCCGCCAGACGAUACUGUCCACCAGGCGAUAUUGUCUGCCAAAGAUGUAUAUAGGAAGGUAUAUGGCCAACAUUUUGUAUGAAGUCUAUUCGCUUUAACCAUAGGGUGUGACCUUGUAGGUUAUUGUAACAGUAGUAGUAAUACUAAAACAUUUCUAAUGUUACAAGCAAUGAGUGGCAUCUAGUAAUGCAUCAUUGCUACCUAAGUUACAAGAAGUUGUGAUUCGACAUAAAAUUUCUAUGAUAAACUUUUAUCCUUUAUAUCUAGAUUGGACGCAAGUCAUGGUAUAGUCACACUUGUAUAGUCCAAUCUCAUAGUUCUUGAUAUUUUGAGUAGACUAAAAUAAACAAAUAAGUGCGAUAUCUCAUAUCAACUUAUUUGAGUAUGGCCAUGCAUUUCUAGUCUCACUUCAUCAAAUGGCCCAAGAUAUUACUCCCAUUAUGUAUGAGGGAUAAAUCAGAUUUUGAUCAAUCAUAUCCCACUACAUGGUUUGUGGUAUAUCCAAUAUCAGUCUUUAUAGUACAACUUUGACUACAUCAAAAUAUACAACUCAUGAUGUUAGGACAAUGGUGAUUUCAAGUCUGAGGAUCAUAUACAUAGUUAUCACUAUGAGUAAUGUUGUGAUUAUUACAUAAUAAUCUAAGAAACAUACUCACAGUGGGUCAAUCCAAUAUGUUGUUCUCUAACACAUACUCAUGUAUUGAUUUUGACAUCCCUAUGUCAAUGACGACACUUUGUCAUCAAUCAACUACACAUUAGUCUCAAUGUAUUAUCGCUGUCCAAACCCACAAUAAUACUUGACUAAGGAAUUUUUAAGAAUAAUCAUAUUAUUCUCAGGACUUUAUUAUUUAUAAGUUUAUUUAUACACACAAAAAUUGAAAUAACAAUGGCAAUGUCUUAUAUUAACAACGUCAAUGUCUUAUAUUAACAACAAGGUAAAGACGAGUAUGUAAUUACAAUAAUAUCAUGCCAUAAUUACAUGUAUAUAUGAUUAUUCCUAGUUAUGUGUUCCAAAACUGGUAUUUGUAUCAUAUUUGCUCAAGAGUUGUGUUUUAUUUUUCAAUUUUUAUGUUUUCUUGCUUGAGGACAUGCAAUGACUUAAGUGUGGAGGAGUUUGAUCUACCGCAAUUUGUUGUAGUAGAUUAAACCAUUUUUCAUACUUAGCUUGAAUAAAAGAAAUUUCAUCAUGUUUUACUUAAUUUUUCACUUUUAGUUAUCAAAUAAUAAAAAGUGUAAUUUGAUUUGUUUAUAUGACUUUAGGGGCAAAAAUAGGCCUAAAGGAAGACUAACGUGUUUCGUGAAUGUGCAGGACACCAUUCGAAAGCAUGAAAACACGAGCUGGUCACCAUGUUGCAACACGGAGGUUCAACGAUGCAACAUAGUGAGCAAGACACCUAAAAUAGAAAGAUUGCCUUUGGCGUCCCGACAUAGCUAGAGGAUGUCGCGACACAGCCUUGAAUCUGAGCCUGAGCAAAGUAAACUACCACCAAUGUUGCGACACCGGCUUGACGUGAAGAAUUAAUAAGCUAAGAGUGUUUUGGUCCGCACAAUGAACUUUAACAUAAAAACGCCGGCCAGACUAAAGCUAUGGACGACAACCAACCCUAAAUCUAUAAAUAGGCUUUACUGAACACUUCUUAGACAACUUUUCUGUGUCUUUAAACUUUUAUUCUAGUUUAGGUUGUAAGUUUUAUUUAGUUUUCAGUUUAUUUUAACUUUUGUCUGGCAGAGAAUCUGAUUGGUAGAUUCAUUAUUCUUGUGGAUUUUUAUUUUUUCAAAUCAUCAAUACAAUUUAGGAUUUCUCUUAAACUUUUACUCUUGAUUUAUUCUUCAUGUUUAUCUUUUUUAUCAAGUUUAUGUUGUUUAUGAGAUUCAUGAGGAACUAAUCCUCUUGUGGGGAAUUAACGAGUGGACGCGAGAGUACUUAAUUUUUGUGUAAGGUUUCUUAGCAAAUCAACUUUUUAGGAUAGGAAGAACUUAAACCCUAGGCCUGACAACCUUAGGAAGUCAUCUAGGUGGCAAUGAACCAAAAAUUUGUAUUGCCUAUCUGUGAACCCCUUACCCCAAUCAGGUCUCGACUGUGAGGUCGAGAGAUAAGUAGUUCUUAUGGACUCGUUAGUUUAGUGGAAGAUCAAGUGAUCCUACUAGGUUAGUGACUAGUUGGUUGAGUAGAGCUCAACAUAGGAUUUAGUUAUGAGCACUAAAGUGAGUUAGUCUUCCAUGCUUAGAUUUGAGUGAUUCAACAAAUUAGUUUUCCAUUUUUUAUUAUUUUAUGUUAUUUAUUUAUUUUUCUUAUAAAAUAAUUUCUCUUCACUUUAUGUUUUAGUGUAAUGUAAUUUAAUUAAAAUACUAAUUAGAUCUAUUACGUUAGAGAUAUUAUUAAUUUAGUAUUCGCCUCCCUUGGGUACGAUCCUCGAAGUACUCUCCUACUUCAUUGUAAAAAACUAUAUUACAACCUGACCUAUAUACUUGCAAAAAUUGUCUAACUCUUAUUUGGUUGCAAGAAUUAUACUCUAAACGUUAAUACAUCUGGAGGUGGUCAAAUACACAACCACAUCGUGCAUUCAGAGAGCAUACCAACAAUCAUCUAUAUAUAUCCAUGGUAUUAUGCAUGCAUAGUUUACCCUUUAUCGUAAUCAUAUACAACCAUGGAUUUUAGACUGGACUCAAAACAAACACUCGAGCAAAACAUUUAGCAGCAUGAUAACAAAAAAUAACCAAAAUAGAUUCCAGAAACUCACCUUAAGUCCUUUGUCCUCGCCAGCUUAGCUUGUCCAAACACCAGAGUCUCUUUCGUCCUAGAAGCUAAGUAUGACAACCAUAUAUAUUGGUUAAACCGAAAGUAUUCAAAUCUUAAAACUUAGAAUUCAGUAUCAUUCAAAAGCUUCCUAGAGAUUUCAGAAAUCCUUAUUUCCCUUUCUCAAUCCAUGAAUACAAAAAGAUAGAAAGACUUACUAGUUCCUUAAAUUCUCUACUCCCUAACCUCAAUCCUCACGAUCACUGCCCCAUGCAAUAUUUCAUCAAUUUUCUCUCAUUCGGAGCAACCAGAAAAGACGAUGGAGAAGGAAGGAAAGUAAAACAGAAAUGAGGAGAAUUCUGCCUUCAAAAUAAUCCUCCACUCUCAUAUAUAUAACGAUUCUUAUGCACGGCUCAAGGCCCCAAGUAACCAUCCAUCGGCUAUCAUUUUGUCUCCCACUAAGGAAUCAGCUGGUUCCAACGUAACCAAACUAGAAUUGGUUCCCAACUAAUUACCAUUCAACCACCAAAAUUUUCCAAGUUUUCCAGUAAAGCCCUCCAACUUACUAUUUUAUUCAAUUAACUCUUAGCUCUCCAUUAAUUUCUGGGACUUAAAGAAAACCGGGUGUGACAAAUAUCGUAGCAAGACUAAAAACAACCUUAUUGUUUUAUGACCCUCUAGAUGGUCCAAUUAGUUAUGAUUUUUCUAUUUUUUAUAAUUAAUCCCUGAUGAGAUUCUCUCUUAUUUUGGAAGAGGCCUUCAGCCCUCCCAUUAGGAAAACAAUUAUGUAAUCUUUCUUUUUUAUCCAAGUUCAUUUUAUUACCAAAAAGAAAAAAAAAGUAGUAGUAUCUUUAGUUUCUUCUAGUGUCACGGGUAGCACAAAGAAGCCCGCAACCAAAGCACACUUUGAUGUUCCCUUUUGUUCAUUGGGGGUCAUUUGGCCUGACAAGAUUGACCCAUUCCUUGGAAGAGACUCAAGGCCUAUCUGCUUGGAUCCUAGCUAAAUUGUAAGCAUUGUAUUUUACCAAGGUAAUUAUUGUAAAUCCUAAAGGAUAAACAUGUAUAGAAUUUGAAUCCCUUAGGACUCUCUUAUUGUAGAUAAGAACUAAUCUCAACCAUUAAUGUAAUUCGAUCUGUACAGUUGGAUUUGAGGGAGCUAAACUAUAAAUAGAGUCAUCUCCCUUCAUUUGUAAUAAUUCCAUUCUUGAGUUAAAGAAUAUAUUGAGAGCAUUUACUCAAACACUUGGUGUGCGAUAUUUCUUUUUGGCUUUUUUGUUCAUUCUUUGCUCUUUCGUUUUUAGUUUGCUUCCAUUUUGCUUUGGUGUAUUAGAGAAUUUCUGCAAAAAUUUUCAUUUUUCCAGAGUAGGCUGACUUGGACAGGAAUUCAACCCAAGAAAUUGCCUAAAGCCGCGCGGUUUGCCAAACUAAAUUUCUAGCCCCAUGACAUUAAUAAUACCAUAUAUUCCUUGAUGGUCAACAUUUCUCUCCAUCUCCUAUAUAUAAAUGGUUAAAAUGUGCUACAAGUCGCUGUACGUUUCAAAAAUUAGGAAUUUAGUCCAUAUACUUCUAUAUCAUUGAUUUUAGUUCCUCUACUUUUUAGAUUUCAAAAUUCAUUUAAGUCCAAUUGUUAACAUUUUUUUUUUGGUGACAUUUUUGAAAUAAAAAUACUCAAUUGAUACCCAUGUAAUAAAAAAAAAGACUUUGUAAUUAAAUUGAAUUUAACAAAAUAAUAAUAAUGUUAACAAUUAAACCUAAAUUUUAAAAUAGGGAUAAAUUUUAAAAUUAUACAUGAACUUUGAUUUAAUGUGUAAUUGUAUAAAGAAACUUUAAUUUGGUGCAAUUAUACAUGUGAAACUCUAAUUGUGGUUCAAAUAUAUACUUGAAACUUUAAUUUUGAUUAAUCGUACAUAUUUAAAAAAAUAAUACAUCAAUUUAUUUUUAUUUGGGAAAAAUAUAUUUAUUUAUGUAUGCAAUAUAUAAAUAUAAAAUGAUGUUAUAUCAAUAAUUGUGUUAAUUAUUUACAAAAAUUGGAUCAAAUCAAAAUUUUAUAUAUAAAAUUAUACAAAAUCAAAAUUUAUAUAUAUAAUUAUAUAUUAAACCAUAAUUCAUAUAUAAUUUUAAAAUUUAUCCCUUUAAAAUAUGAAAAGUAUAAAAAUAAAUUCCUUCAAUUAAGAGUACAAGGUUCAUAUUCUCAAUUUUCAAAAAGUAUAGGUACUUGUGCCACAUUUUAACCUAUAUAAAUAGGAUCGGCGGAUUUAGACCAACGGAGUGAAAGAUCGAAAUUGGCAGAAGAUGAAGGUUUCCGUCAAAACUCUCAAAGGCACUCACUUCGAUAUCGAAGUCAAACCCGAAGAUGCGGUUCGCUUCUCUCUCCCUCUUUUUCCAGGGCUUUUACGUUUCUUGACUAGGGUUUUCCGUUUUCCCCUGCAUUUGAACAUUAAUUCGCGUUCAUCUAGGACUGUAUUAGUUGGACUUAUUAUGCACGUAGUUGAAUUACCAUGCUUGACAUGUGAAAUCGGAGAUCGUGAAUGAUUUGUUCAAUUUUAGUGUCUAAUUCAUUGAAUAUGUUUAUUUAGCUUGUGAAUAGUCUAGCUACUUCGAUUAAGUUUUAGUGGACUGAUACUCGUGUAGCUUGAACGGCGGUAUCCUUUUCUUCUGGCGACAAUUAGCAAUUAAGUACUUCCUACGUAAUGCUUUUUACCAGUUCAUUGAAAUUAGUGAAUAAUACUUUGAUUUCUGGGCUUCAUUUUUGUCUUAGUAUUUCAUUAACUUGUAUCAUUGAAUAUUGAUGCAUAGAUUGCCAUGUAAUUUCUAGUUGUAGUUUGCUAGAUUUAGGUUUGAAUUUGAGUAUACACAAGCUUUGAUCAUUGCCAUAAGCAUCUCAUAUUUUGCAAUGCUCUUUCACUUCUUUUUAAUUAGUGUGGUUAUGAACACUGGAUUAAAUGUACAGAGGCUUCUUUUAAUAGAUCUUCUAUAACCAAGGAUCAAGUUCUGCAUUCUAUGGUUACAUCUAAUCAAGGGUUGUGUUUUUUAAUGAUGUGGAUUUUCUAACUAUAUAAAUAAGCUAUUAUUAUUUUUAUUGUUUUUUGCUACUUUUUAUGCUUUUAAGGUUUAUAUAUACAUAUAUACAUACAUAUAUAUAUGCAUGUAUACAUACAUAUAUAUAUGCAUGUAUACAUACAUAUAUAAGCACAGACAUGAAAGUCUUGGGAUAAAAUGCAUUCUGCCUUCUGCCUUUUUCAUUUCUUUGUCACUUGUUAUUAUACAAUUCCGCUGCUAAUGCUUGUCAAUUCUUUCAGGUUGCGGAUGUAAAAAAGAACAUAGAAACUGUUCAAGGGACUGAUGUUUAUCCUGCUUCACAACAAAUGCUUAUCUAUAAGGGAAAAGUUCUUAAAGAUGACACGACACUGGCUGAAAACAGUGUCACUGAAAAUAGCUUUAUUGUGAUCAUGUUGACAAAGGUGAGAUUGUUUACAAUAUUCUGAUUUUUAUGUUUGUAAUAUUUCAUCUAACUUGUUCGAACUUUUCUGACCAAAGUAUGCUGACUUUGUCCUAAUAAAUGCCCAACUGACAUCAUUAUUUUUCACACUGCUGUUGAACUUGAAAGUUAUCUUAGUUAUAACUGAUGACGGAGUGUUGUAUCCUUAUAAUUUUCUUUUGAAAUCUGGUUGUUUCUUUCCUGUAGGUGCAUCUUAUAAAUCAAUUUGUUGCUAAACUAGAAAAUUUUCUUUGUGCUACUUUUUGACCUUUUACCUACUUGUAUUUGUAUCUGAAUUUAUUUUUCAUGACUGUCAUUUUCAUACUAAUAUUGUCCUUUUUGCUUAAAUAAACUAGAAUAAGGGUACAACUGGUGAGGGUUCAGCUGCUUCAACAGCUCCUACAAAGAAAGUAAGAUUGUUGUUACCUCUCUUACUACUACUUGCAUGCAUAAUUGGUUGUAAGCAAUGAUUGUCACUGUACCUUUUGAGCCACAUUUCUUGAGACAUUUUGCAAUAAAUAUGACAUGAAAAGUGUUGGGAUUCUGUUUUUUCCAUGAUGGUAGAUGUUCUUUAUUUCAAUGCUAUGAACUAGAACUUGAAGUGAUAGUCAAGCAUCUUGAACAAAUAUAAUUUGUAAACGAGUAGAUCAUCAAAAAAGUUAUAUACAGCAAAUAGAAUGCUUUUAAGAUUUUGGGUUUUUAGAUAUGGCCCAGGUUUGAGUUGUUUUGUGUCCAACUGCUUUCUAUGUUACACUAUUGAGCCAUAAACAUAUUGCAUAAUUUGGAGUUUGAGUUGGUGUUAUUACCAAAUUCAACCGCCUUAAAUGUUUAUGAGUUAGUUACACGAUCUCUUAUCCAUGUUUCUCAAUUUCACAAUUGUUUUCCCUUUCUCCUUUCCAGUAGCAUAUCAAUAUGAAAGAAUAUUGACUCCUUCUUAGAACUAUUUAGCUUGAGCUAUUAACUCUCACAAUCAUUAUGCAAAUUCUGAUUUGAUCUUCAAAUUUCUUUUUGAGUAUGAAUAUAAAUUUCUGUUUUCCCCCCACUAUACAAUCUUUAGGGUAUGUUGCUUCUGAAAACUUAGCCUGUAUCCAAAGAUUAUUGUGGAGUGAGUAGUGAUUUUGGAUUCUUUGUAGGAUCCUGAGGCAAGUAAUCUGCCAACAGCUCCAGCACCAGCUUCUACUGCACCUGUUGCAACAUCAGCUAUGUAAGUCCUGCUAUUCUACACUUUUGGUCAGAUACAGCACCUUUGCAAUUGAUUAAUUGCUUAUUAUUUUUUUUCAGGGCUGCAGCUGCCGCUGAAUCUGCUCCUGUUGCUUCAAGUACUCCUCUGUGAGUAACUUAUUCUUGAUAGUAAUUUUCAUGCUUCUUAUUUGAAGGAUAGAAGCUUUUGAUUUAAUCGAAUUGCUUUUAGUAGGAGAGAUCUUGAGUUUUUCCUUGUUUUCCUUUGCAUACUUGUAAUAUCUUGAAUAAUGUCUUUGGAAACAGGUCAGAUUCUGAUGUUUAUGGCCAAGCAGCAUCUAACCUGGUUGCAGGGAGUAACUUAGAGGGAACAAUCCAACAGAUUCUUGAUAUGGGUGGAGGGACCUGGGACAGGGACACUGUUGUCCGCGC